RNAcentral lists this long non-coding RNA (100320 nucleotides) under Daucus carota (carrot). Its description in RNAcentral is "long non-coding RNA (DCAR_LNC002600)". The record is from RNAcentral. Lineage: Eukaryota; Viridiplantae; Streptophyta; Magnoliopsida; Apiales; Apiaceae.
UCUCGACUCUUGGUCACUCACCAAUCUCGAUAAUCUUUGUAACUGGACUGGCAUUACUUGUAACUCUGCAGGUUCAGUCUCUGAGAUUAACCUUAGUGAGAAACAACUUGAUGGAAUGCUGUCCGAGUUUGGUUUCACUUCAUUUCCAAAUCUCAACAAUCUCACCCUCGCAUACAACUUCUUCUCGGGUCCAAUACCGCCAGCCAUUGAGAAUUUAACACAGCUUCAAUACCUUGAUUUAAGCUUUAAUUAUCUCGAUGGUCCCAUUCCGUUCCAGGUUAGCCAUCUUCAGAGGUUGCUCAUCUUAAACCUGUCACAGAAUGCAUUGCAAGCUCCAAAUUGGUCCCAUUUCUCUCCCAUGCCUUUCUUGCGCAUCCUCGACCUUAAUAGCAAUCAUCUUGCGUCGAACUUCCCAGAAUUUAUAUCCAAUUCUCAUAGCUUGGCUAUCCUUGACCUUGGAUAUAACAACUUUACAGGUGACCUUGUGCGUGAAUUUACUAAUCUACAAAAUCUUGAAACCCUCUACCUAGAUGAAAAUUCUUUUGAGGGGCCAUUUCCGCCGGAUGUAUUCAGGCUUUCCAAAUUAAAACAUCUUCGCCUGUCAGGUAACAAAUUCUCAGGUUCAAUUCCCAAUGACAUAAGGUUGCUUUGUGAUCUUGAAUCCCUAUAUUUAAGCAACAAUUCCUUUAAAGGACCCCUUCCAUCAAAUAUAUUCAAGCUUUCAAAAAUAAAACAUCUUGUUCUUUGGAGUAAUAAGUUUUCUGGUUCUGUUUCCAAUGAUAUAGGUUUACUUUCUGAGCUUGAAACCCUCGAUCUUAACUCUAAUUUUUUUGAGGGGCCGCUUCCGUCAAAUAUAUUCAAGCUCUCCAAACUAAGGUAUCUUUCCCUUUGGGGUAAUAACGUUUCAGGUUCUAUUUCCAAUGAUAUAGGUUUGCUUUCUGAGCUUGAAACCCUCGAUCUUAACUCUAAUAUUUUUGUGGGGCCGCUUCCGCCAAAUUUAUUCAAGCUCUCCAAACUAAAGAUUCUUUCCCUUUAUAAAAAUAACUUUUCAGGUUUUAUUUCUAAGGAUAUAGGUUUGCUUUUUGAACUUGAAACCCUCUAUCUUGGCUCUAAUUUUUUUGAGGGGCCGCUUCCCCCACAUGUAUUUAGGCUCUCCAAAUUAAGAGAUUUGGGUCUCAGAGACAAUAGAAAUUUAUUUCAAGGAAGUAUUCCUAUUGGACUGGGACUCUUGACUAAUCUCAGGUACUUGAGUCUAUUUUCCAAUGAUCUCAGUGGCUAUAUUCCAUCUGAGAUUGGAAACCUGAAGCUACUAAAAGUUCUUGAACUCGGUUCUAAUCAAUUGACAGGACCGCUUUUAAAGAUAGUUUCUAAUCUCAAAAAUCUUAUAUAUCUUGGUGUAAGUGGUAAUAGUCUUAGUGGAAAUAUUCAGAGUGACUUGUGGAAAUAUAACGAUCAUCCAACUUUGGAAUACAUCAAUUUAAGUGGGAACCAUUUUACGGGUAUAGUUUCUCUCUAUAGAUCUUUGUCAUAUGUAACUAAGCUAGUAAUCUGAUUAUUGCCUUUUCACCAAAGUUUCAACAAUCUUGACAGGUGAGCUUCCAACAACAAUUUGCAAUGUCACAUCCCUUUUGCUUCUUGAUUUGUCAAAUAAUGAAUUAAGUGGUGCACUUCCAAACUGUUUCGGAAAUCUUGCUGAUAGAUUGCUUUACGUUAAUCUUGCUAAUAAUCAGUUUCGAGGAACAAUACCAACUACUUUCUCCAGGAGUUGUCAGCUGAAAUAUCUAAACAUGGAUAAUAAUGAGUUUGAAGGAUUGUUGCCCCCGUCUUUGGAAAACUGUAAGCACUUGAGAAUUCUUGAUAUUGGCAAUAAUAAAAUAGGUGGUACAUUUCCGUCAUGGCUUUAUGUACUUGGAGAGCUAGAAGUCCUUGUCUUGCAAUCAAAUAAACUCUAUGGUACAAUAAGUGGAAGGAGCAUAGAAGAUCCCUUCCGCAAGUUGCGGAUUGUGGAUCUGUCCAACAACCACUUCACAGGCCAUUUGCCAAUUCAAUACUUUAAGAAUAUGAAAUCAACUGAUAAUUUGUAUAGUUAUCAGCUUUCCACAGCAGUUUUUUCUUUCCAUUAUGAAGCAGCAGUCUCAUUAAUUGUGAAGGGAACAGAGUAUGAAGUAGCAAAUAACCUUCAUAUUUACACAGCCAUUGAUCUGUCGUGCAACAAAUUUCAGGGAGAAAUUCCAAAGGUUACUGGAGAGCUUAAAUGGCUGGCAUUGCUCAACUUAUCUCAUAAUAGUCUAACAGGACCUAUCCCGUCAUUGCUGAGAAAUAUGAAAGAACUCCAAUCUUUAGAUUUGUCCUCAAAUCAACUGACGGGGGCUAUUCCACCUCAGUUAACUGCGCUGACAUUUCUAGAGGUCUUAAACCUCUCGGGAAACCAUCUUAGUGGAGAGAUUCCUCAGAAAGGACAAUUCAGCACAUUCAACAAUGAUUCGUAUCUAGGAAACUCCGCUUUAUGUGGAUCACCAUUGACGAAGAAAUGUGCAAACACAGCAUCACCUCCACAAGAAGUCGGAAAUGUUGAUGAAGAUUAUGCGGGUGAUGAAUUGACAUGGGAAGCAAUCAUGAUCGGAUAUGGAUGUCGACUGAUAUGUGGAUUGUCAUCUGCAUACAUUGUUCUCAAACUAGGAAAGCCUUGGUAGUUUGUGAGAUAUGUCGAAGUACUGCAACAGAAGUUGAUGAAAAGAUGCUUGAAGAAAGGUACUGGUCGACCAAUAAGAACUUGAAAGUUGUUGUCCUGGUAGACAUUUCUGAACCAGUAGUAUUUGGUAUUAUGUGAUAUUCUGUUUGGUCCGGACUCAUAACGAUUUCGCUUGCUUCAGGAGUAUUAAUAUUAACCUUCCUAUCUUGAUCAAUGUUAAUGCAAAUUAAAAUGAAAAGGCAAAAAAUAUGCAUCAAAUCCCCUCCUGUUGUACCAAGAUUCAUUAAUUAAGAGGCAUGGCUUUUGUCUCUCCAAGUCUUCGAGAAAUUAUUCCAAGUCUUCUUUGGAGGCCUACUGCCUCAACAACCUUUCAAAGAUGUAGCAGUUGCUCGACAGUGAUAUAUAUAUUAGAUAAAGACUAUGCAACAACCAACGUGACAGAAAAAUCAAAAUAGGACAAAAUCCGUACGAAUCAAAAUAGUUUAUUUCUAAGGGGAAUAGCUGAAUUAAAUUGUAAGAGAAGUAAAACAGAUUCUUUUAUAUUUUGGAAUAUAACUGAAAAAGAUUUUGAGAUAAUUUUCAGAAAUCAAACCAGUCAAAUAAAUAUUCGCUGAAGGAACAGAGUAAAGAUACAACGAAUAUAACAAGUUGUAAGAUGAAUAUCGCUGAAUCAAACAGGGUAGAACCCGUACAAAAACGCCAAACAGAAAGGAUCAAAACAGAGUAAUCAAAUUUACCUAACACUAAUAGAAGUAGUGCUGAAUAAAAGAGAACGAAAUCUGUACCUUAAAAAUAGCAAACGCAAACACUAACCAACCUCACAAGGGACCAUCUAAACUCCCUAACCCCGACUUUAUCUUAAACUCCAAAUAUCUCCCUGACUCCAAUAUGCCCAGAACAAUAAACGAAUGUUUUGACCUUCUAAACGAUGUUUUCUGGAAUAACGCAAAACACGAAAAUCGUAGAGAACGAAAAGACCUUUCCGAAAAGGUAAGGCUCGUCAAGAACGGAGUCAUAACGAAUCGGGAAUUAAAUAAAACGUCCGCUGAUUCAGAACUCAAAGCGAGAACAGGAUCUGAUUAAGUUUUGUAAUUUUGAGAACAGUUUGAAACAUAAUCUGAGAAAACAUUAUAAACGAAAGUAUAUGAGAUUGAAAGAGCUUUCCGAAACAUCAAGAAUCAUCAAAUUCCGAUAAGAAUUGAAUUUUCUACGAAUUUUACAAGACAGCUGAUUUGUGAGAAUAAAGCCCUACGAAUUUUUGUCAUAAAAAUGAAGAGAAGGUUGAGUAGCUCUCAAAAGUAUAUAAAAAGAAUGAGAGAACAAAUCAAUAUACUCCCUUUGUCCCUCUCGUUUAUUUACAGUGUUUGACACGCAUUUUAAAGCGCAUAUAAAACAUAGUUCUAUGAUUUAUUUUCAAAAUUUUUCUUUUUUGUAUAAAAAUUUAAACAUCAAAUUUUUAUCUAGAAAAAAAGGAAGUUCAAAAUAAUUUAUUGAACUACGUUUUACGAGAGCAUUAGAAUGCGUGCCGAGCCCCCGUCCCCCAAUGUAAACAAAUGAGAGGGACGGAAGGAGUAUAUAUACAGAGUCUUGAGACCCUAAUUCUAAACCUAUCCAUUAUCUGAAUGCAAGGCUGAUCUAUAUUUUAAGUACACUAUCCUAAUUCAAUUUUAAAUCCUAUUCAUAAUCUAAUUUUAAUCCUUUAUUAUUAUUACUAACCAAUUAAUAUUAUUUUAAAAAAAUACUGGAUAUUACAUUCCUGAUCAGACUAGUGAUCGGAUUGCAACCGCAAAGCAGCCUAUAUAUAGUGACAAUUAAAUACACAACAAAACAACUUCUUUCUUCUCUCUUGGGUUAUAAUACUCAGACGGACAAGCUAUAUCUGAGGCGAUUUUCUGGGCGAUUAAACACACAAUAAAAGCAGCUUCUUCUUCUUCAAUUAAGGUUUAUUCUACACCCAAUCACAUACACACACACACUUUAAUAUGACUAGUGAGUUCAAUUUUUGGUGGUAUUAUAUGAUUAUCAUGUUCUCUUUUUAAAUAUUAGUAACGUUAUUUUCGGAGUGGACUCUGUUGAUGUUUAAAUUUGAUAUAGAUAUUGUAAUUGAAAAUUUAUGUUGAUUUGUUGUUCAGAUUUCAAGUAUUAAUUUGUGUGUGAUCAAAAUUUUGCUUCUACAUCGAUUAUCAGGAGGAAAUAUGAGGCCGAUCUUGAUCAAAGGACACGAAAGGCCAUUAACAUAUCUAAAGUAUAACAAGGAGGGUGACCUCCUCUUCUCCUGCGCAUUAGACAGAAACCCCGCUGUUUGGUACGCUGAUAAGGGAGAGCUUUUAGGCACUUACCGUGGGCACAUUGGUUCUGUUUGGGGUUGUGAUGUUUCUAGGGAUUCAAAACUUUUAAUAACUGCAAGUGCGGAUCAAACAGCAAAGGUAUGGGAUGUUCAAACUGGGUCUGAGCUGUUCACGUUUGAAUUUAAGUCCACUGUGAAAUCAGUAGAAUUUGGUGUCGGAGACAAGCUUGCUGUCAUUGCAACAGACUCCUUUCGUGACAUGUCUUCUGCAAUUCAUGUCAAACACAUAGCCAGAGAUCCUAGUGAACAGUGCGGUGAUUCUGUGAUUGAAUUCUCACCUGGAGGAAGAAUCAAUAGAGCUGUUUGGGGACCUUUAAAUAGGACCAUAAUAAGUGGUGGUGAACAAGGCGUUGUUCGUGUGUGGGACGUUGAGACAAAGAAAGUGAUUUAUGAGUCAGACAAGGAUACUGGUCAUCAGAAGGCCAUUACAUCACUUGCAAAAUCAAGAGACGGUUCACAUUUACUUACUGCUUCCAUUGACAAAUCAGCUAAGCUUUGGGACAUCAGAUCAAUGAAACUUCUCAGGACAUACAAGGCUGAAGCCCCAGUUAAUGCAGUUGCACUCUCUCCACUACUUGAUCAUGUCGUGCUCGGAGGUGGUCAAGAUGCAUCGACUGUUACAAACGAUCCUCGUGCUGGCAAGUUUGAGGCCAAAUUUUAUUCCAAGGUCCUUGAAGAAGAAAUUGGAUCUGUGAAAGGACACUUUGGUCCGAUAAAUGCAUUGGCAUUCAACCCUGAUGGAAAAAGUUUCGCAAGUGGAGGUGAAGAUGGUUAUUUGCGAUUACAUCACUUUGAUCAUGACUACUUCAACAUGGCGAUUUAAUUCGAAUUACUUACAUUGCUACGUCUUUUUUUUUUUUUUUCCGGUUUUAUUCAAGUUAUUUUCUGGUUUUUAUGUUGAUCUUAUGUUCUUUGUUAUAAAUAGAAGUGUGGUUCCUUUUAAAACUAUUUACAUAAGUUUUUGGCUUUUCAUGUAAUUUAAUCAAAGUAAAUGCCAUGAGAUCCUGAAUAUAUCUACUUAUCUAUCUAUCUACUUAUUAAAGCAGAAUCAGGGGAAAAAUAUACCAGAAAUUGGAUGAAAAAUUUACAUACACACCCUCAAUUAUUCAUCAAUUCCGAAAUUGGCCUGUAGUUUAGCUGUUAACUUGCAGGAUUUUUGUAAAAGUAGGAAUCAGCGAUUCUUAGGUACCCCAGUGACCCCGAAUCGGUUUCUCAGAUUCUUGGAAAUCCUCGGUCAGUUGAUUUAGAUUGUGGGCAUAUAUACACCUAUAGUCAGCCUCCGGCGGUGCAAUCUUUUGGUGGUGUUUUUCAGCCUUUUCUGCUAUAGCGAUUCUUGUUAAAACAUUCAGGUGCUAGGGUUGUUUUGUUGGUAAAGGGAAUUGGAUUGUUGUAUCUGCGGUUGUGGCAAAGGUAAUUUUCUUGCCCUUGCUAUUCUUUUGGGAUGUCUGAUUAUAAAUAGCCCUUCUAACUUUGUUCACCUGUUCUGUAUGAUGUGUGUCAUUUGUGAUUGAGUCGAGCAGUAUAUCAUUUUGAUGCAUAUUGUUAAUUUCACUCUGGGAAAUUUUUAUGCUGAUGUUUGGGCAAUUAAUUCUGGUUAUUUCGUUGAUUUUGUUUGUGGUUUGUUUCCACCUGCCAUUAGAACUGUAAAGUAAAGUGUAUUUAUUGAUCAUGAUUCAAGUGUUUGUAGAUAAUCGAUGUGGGUGACAAAGAAGCUGCAAAUGAUGAUGGUUCUUCACAAAUUUUAUCUGCUUUGCUUCCUUUUGUUGUGGCUCUCACCAUGGUUGUCAAGUCGACGACUGCUGUUGCUGCUCUUGCUCAGCCCUCAACUUUCACCUGGUAACAACUUUUGUAUGUUUGGUAAAAUAUUUUGAUUUUUUUUUUUUUGUAAGGGUAAAAUAUUUUGAUUGUGAUAAGCUAAUUUAUUGUUUUUUAAUGAUUCCAACACUACAACAGAUUUAGCAUCACACAACGGUUUUUGCCCGUUGUCUGAGACCACGGAAAACCGUGGUCUAUCGAGACGCCGUCUGAUAUGCGUAUCAGACAACGGUGCGCACCGUUGUGUGAUAGUGCUAAACACGAUGGUUUACGUUAAAAAAAUUGUUGUGCAACACCCAGAACCAACAACGUUUACUCUUAAACGUGGUGUUGUUAGAAACACUCCUUAACAAUAGUCGAUUUCAAAAAUGGUGUUGUUAGAGAGACUAUCCACAACAGUUUUAUUAGCUCGCAAGACUUGUUGGAAAGAUGAUCAUACAACAGUAGUUGAAAUAGAGAAGCUCGUUCUUUCCUCUCUUGUACAACGGGUUUCGAACACCAAGCCACUUGUGUAAGGCCCCUUCUAACAAUGUUUUAAUUAGUGAGGUUGUUGUGUUUAGUUACGUCAGACAAUGGUUUUCUUUCAUAGUUGGUUGUCGUUUACAUGUUUUAACAAUUGUUUCUGUUUCAUCAUUAUUGCAAGUCAUUUGUUUGGACAAUGGUUUUGUGACAAUAAAUCAUUGUUUCCAGUUUUAUGAGACAAUGUUUUUAAUGAAUAAUGAUUAUUGUAUCAUGUUCAGUAUGACAAUGGCCCUGUAUUAUCCCAUUACCUAAAUACAUAAUAGACAAUGAUUAACAUAACUCGAUUAAACUAAGCUAGAGAAUGUAAUUAAAAAGCCAAAAAUUUGUAAACAAAAAAUUUCAUUAUGCACUAAUAACCAUUGUUACAACCAAAUCAUAUAUACCAUCCAAUAUCCAGAAAUAUUUCCCCCGAGGAUGGCAAAUCUCAAAAAUAUAAAUACCUACAAUAAAUGGUAGCAUCUAGAGAGGCAUAUGUGACUACAAGAGUCUUUUGUGAGCUUUUCAACUACCCAGCCCAGGAACAAUCCUCUGAUUGCAUUCUUUUGAUUCGGAUGGAGCCCUCCUGCUAUCUCUUUUGGAAGUGACUCUACUGCAACCACCUGUAAUACAUAAAAAAGUUCUUGAUAUGCUUUUCGUACAAAGAAAUUAAUGUGGUUGAGGAGUAUGUUUCGAGUUCAAAAUAUACCAGUGUGCCAUCUUCCAUGGUUUCACGUCAUUCAUACACAAUAAAUUGUAGCAAUUGUGAGCCCUAUCAACAUACCAGUCUUUCUGUAUUUAGAGUUGGAGCAGCUAAGCCAAAAUCAGACAAAUGGGGAUUGAGUUCAUCAAGUAAAAUAUUUGCUGACUUUAAGGUACUAUUAACAACAUAAGGAACAACAUCAGCAUCUUGCUUCUAUCAUCAGUGAAGUAUAAAAACUCUUGCAAGCUACUAUUUGCAAUAUAAUCAUGGACCAGAAGACGUACCAUGUUCAGCGGAAUAUCAUUCAAAUCUCUGGCAUGGUUGUUGUGAUGGAUAAAAAUAAGUUCCUUUAUGACCUGAAUUAAACAUUAAAAGAUACCAAAUUAACCGAAAUGCGUAGAGAUGCACAAAAAGUCCAGGCCCGAAAAUAUGGUCAUAGAGAUUUAAAAAAAGUCGAAAAUAAAGACAAACCAUGUGAGUAAAAAGCAGAGUAAGGAGGAUUGAUGGUAGUGUUUGAUAUAGAUGCCAUGUGGGUAGAUCCAUAUGAGCUGCUGGAAGCAGAGAGAUUUCUUCCAAACUCUCUUACAUUAUUGACAACAUUUGUGUUAACAUAUAUGUGUUGUAUAUGAAAUUUUAAAGAUUAGAUACAUAAAUAUAAUAUUAUUCGGAAAAUAUAACAUACCAUCUCGAGUCAUUUUCUUGCUUGGUCAUUAAAAUAACCUACAGCAAGUAAUGUACCCUCACUCUAUAAGAAGAAGAUGGACAAAAAGAAGUCAGUUGUAUGGAUGCCUCGGAAUAUAUACAAGAAUGUCCCAGGGAUAUUUAUUCAGUUGAUGAAGCAUGUAUAUCUAGAAAUUAACAAACCUCAUCAGCCAAAACAAAUAUAAAAUUAAUAAAAUCAUCUGUCUCCAAACACACAGAUUAAAAUCAAAGCACAAAUGUUAUCACACAAAACCAAGACAACACAAGAUCCAUCACUAAAACACACAACUACUACUAAAAUCAAACACACAAACAAAAAUCUCAUAUAGAUUCAAACUUUAUCCCCAAAAUCAAGUAUAAUUACACAGUAAAAAGCAUUCGUUUACCUCUUCAUAAGGUGAAUUGUUGUUAAACUAAUCAGCACGGUCAACACCGGCAUCAAAAACUUGAAUGGCCUUUGGGGUUAUCGCCGACAGAACAGAUCUGAGUAAGCUUUGUAGAAAAUGAGAUAGAGACGGGGGAGGGAGGGGAGAGUUCAGAGGAGGGUGAGGGAGAGACAGAGGGCGAGAGGGAGGGGAGGGGCGAGAUGCUUUAACAAAUCAAUUGCGGCAAGAGUGGGGAAGACACAGCCGCACCAGAAGAGGAAGAGAUAGAUUCAGAAGAAGAGAGAUUUACUCUCACUUACAAAUUUUAGGUCAAAAUAGAGGGGGGGAAAUGAAAAUUUGGAUAAACAAGUAGAGAGGGAAUUGAAAAUUUUUGUAAGGUGGAAAUCAUUCGUUCAUCCCGUGUAAAUAACAAAAUCAAUGUAUUAUAAUAUCCAUAUAGUUGAAUUAUAAAUAAAUGAAUUUUUUAAAUUAUAUUUUUGUAUUUGAUUACAAAUAUUUCAUAUUAAAUAAAUUUUAAAAACAAUUUUAAUGUAGAUGUCAAUAUCUAAUUAUUUUAGUUAUUUGUGAAAAUCUUCAAAAAAUUAAAAAUUAAUCUGGUAAAUCUUUUUGACAAAAUAUAGUUGAAAUACAACUAUUUAAUAAAAAAUUAAUAAUUCUUUAAAAGUUAAAAUUCUCAUUUUCUCGAUGUAUUCCGUUUUUGUACUCUUUGUCUAAAUAAAAUAUACACAAAUUUUUAUUAUUCAUUUGUAAUAAGAAGAUAUUUGUGUGGUUCAAAUGUCAAUAUUAGUAUAAAUUUCAUAUUUACAAUAUAGGAUGUACUUAAUAGAAGUUUUGUGAUCUAUAUGAUUAACCCCGUAUUAAUUUUGAAAUAUUUUCGAUCAUCCAAACAUAUAAAGAUCUUAAUAUCUAUCAAUAUUAGUCAUGUAUAAUAUUUUUAAAUUUUUCUAUAUUUAUUUAUAUCUUGUUGUAACAAAACUAGUGAUGAUCGUUGUUUUUAUGUCAUUUCUUAUUUUUGUACUUUUUAUCAAAAAAUUAUAUUUAUAUUAUGCAUAUGUCCAAAUUUGUAUUAUUCAUUUGUAAUUGGAAGAUAAUUUUGUUGUUCGGACCUGAGUAUUACUAUGUGUUUUAUGUUCACAAUUUAGGAAGCACUAGAUAGAAUUUUUGUUAUCUACAAAAUUUGCUCUGAAUUAAUUUAUAAAUAUUUUUUUCGAUGAUAUAACCGUACGGAUGUUAAUAACUAACAAUAUUAGUCAUGCAUAAAAAAAUUAGAUUUUUUUAUGCUUAUUUUAUAUGCUUUUUUUACAAAACUAGUCAAUUGUAAAUUUUGUCUUAUUGUAAAAAGGUAAUUUUUGUCUUGUAGUGUCCAACAGACAACGGUACUUAUAGGCACGUGUGUUGUAUGAGUUAAAAUGACACAACUGUUAUGGACAUUAUACAGUCAUAACAAAAUCUAUUGUCUAAAAUAGGCUCAAACAAUGUUUCGGGAAAAACUCGUUGUGUGUAAGUAGUGUAGACAAUGGUUUCUGGGAGGCAAACCGUUGUAUAAUAAAUUUUCAUUUUUAAGAGUUAGAAAUUCACAUUUUCUUGAUUAGUUCUUGUUUUUGUACUCUUUGUCUUAACAAAUAUACUUAUAUUAUGUAUAUAUGCAAAUAUCAAUUGUCAUUUGUACUAUGAAGAUAAUUUUGUAGUUCGAACAUGAGUAUUGGUAUGUGUUUUAUAUUUACAAUUUAGAAAGUACUGAAUAGGAUCUUUGCUAUAUAUAAGAUUAGCUCCGUAUUAUUUUAUAAAUAUUGAUUUUGAUGAUCUAACCGUACGGAUGUCGAAAACUAACAAUAUUAGUCAUGUAUAAAAAAAAUCAAUUUUUUAUGUUUAUUUUGUAUGUUUUUUUUAACAAUACUAGUCAAUUGUAAAUUUUGUCUUACUGUAAAAAGGUAUUUUUUGUCAUGUAGUGUCUAACAUACAAUGGUUUUUAUAUGCACCUAUGUUGUAUAAUUGAAAAUGAUACAACUGUUACAGAAGUAUACCGUUCUAAGAAAAUCUAUUGUCUAAAUUAGGCUCAAACAACGGUUCACGGAAAAUCCGUUGUAAAAAAGUAGUGUAGACAACAGUUUAUGGGAAGGAAACCGUUGUAUAAUAAAUUUUCAUUUUUAUGAGUUAAAAAUUCGCAUUUCCUUGAUCAAUUCUUGAUCUAAUGCAAGAAAAACAUAUGACUAUCAAGAAAUUGAUUGUUUUGUUAUAACUUUGGUUAGGACUUUGAAUCUUUGCACUCUCUUAUGUACAUCCAUUUUCUUAAAAUUCAUUCAAUCAUACAACAUUUUAUUAGUUAGUAGAGGCUUGUCUAUAAUGCCAUGCUACAAUGCUAACAAAAACACUUGUAUGUUAGCUUCCCAGUCACACAACACUAUAUAAAACCCUUGUUUGAACUCCUCGUAAACAACACAACAAAUAAAACACUUGUCUAAUUACAACGACGGUUUCUUGAACUAUUGUCUGAAGUUUCUUCACACAUCGGCUCUCAAAACAGUUGUCUAACAUGCAUCAUUACACAAUACCACAGUUAAGAAACCAUUGUCUAAUUGAAUUUACUAGACAACAAUUUUUUAACCGUUGUAGGUCGUAGAUGUUAGACAAUAGUUUUUCGAGGCCGAAAAGAAAGUGUUGUGUCUUUUUUCCAAACAACGCUUUUUUCACCGUGCGUUGUCUGAUCAGUGUUGUCUAAUGGUGUUAUUGUUGUAGUGCAAGUUGGAUUUAUUUAAUGCUAAUAGGUACUUGUUCAAGUGAGGAGAUUUAACUGAGAUUCAGGUUCUGGCAUUUGUCUUGUGUUGUUAUUUGUUUAUGUACCGGUUUUGAGAGUCAUUAGAGAUAUGUAAGGUAUUUAUUCCUAUUUUUUAUUAUUAGUAUUACAUCGUUUUCGGGUAAAAUAAUCGAUGAUUGUUUGUUUUAACUGUGUAAUAGCCUUAUGAUCUGCCAACUUAUGUAGACAUGUGAUAAACAUGUUGACUGUGGUCAAUAUUUUAGAUGAGGUAGUGUGUUUGUUGUUAUUGCAAGACUUUUUGGAAUAAUCAUUGUCAAAAAGAACUAACGAUGAAUGGAAAUGAAGUUCUGAAGAAGUGAUGAUACAAUGUUAAAGAGAUUGCUUUUUGUUGAAUUUUUCUGACUCUGGAAUUAAACUGCGUUAGUAUCUUCUUCUCUGAUUUUCCUUAUUUGGUAGACCUACUACUUUCAGAAGAUACAUGUGGUAUUUGUUUGGUUGAUUAAUUUUGGUAAGAUACAGUUUCCGUUUGGAAUCAGACUAUCCAUUGAACAAUCAGACUAUCCAUUGAAGAUUUUAUGCUCGCUCUUAAAUGGUUGAUCCACUGAUCUUAUUCUUACUUCAUAUGAGCUAAAGCCAGCUCUAGGGGUGUUUCUCGCAUACAAAAAAAUUAAAAAAAAUAUUAUGAAACUAUACUUUGCAGGAGUCUCAAAAUAAAUAAGUGUAAACGAUAAACUUAAACACCUAACUUCUUAAACACCUAGCAUAACACGGGUGAGCAUAUGGUCAAUCAUACCAAAUUGAAUAAAUCGAAAUUAAAAUUUAAAUAUUUUUAGACUGGACCAAACUGAAAUAUUUUGUCCGAUCCAGUUCAGUAUGAUCGAAAAGAAUUGAUUCUUUUGGAAAAAGUAACUUAAUAUUAUAAAUAAAAUUAAGAUUUAUAAUUUAUUUAAAAACUAUCAAUGAAUCAUCAACACUUCUUCAAAAAUAGAUACAUUUGAAUUUAUACAUUAGAUAUUAUAACUUCUAAAAAGUAUAUAAAAAUAUAUAAUAUAAAUAUAAAUUUAUAGUAUAAUUUUUUUGACUAUUUAGAAUAUAUUUUUAACCCAAAUAUUUUUUUUUAAAAUCAAAUUUUAUUUCGAUGAACUUUUCUAGAAAAUUAAGAUAGAAACGAAACUCAUUCCUACAGUAAGGUUUCAGUUUUUCGGCUGCAAUACGGUUUUGCUCAUCAUUAGCAUAAAUGGAGUAUGUAGUAAAUAUGAAUGAAUGGCAUGGGAAUUCUUGGAAUGGUAUCAAGAAUUAAGAUUAAAGCACAUUAGAAGUUUAGAACCAUGAAUGUUAUUUUUGAAAAUAGUAAUCCCUCCGUUUCUUAUCACGUUUCUCGUUUGAUAUGUCGGAACGGUUCAUAAUAUGAGACAAAUUAGUAAUUUAUGUCCAAUUUAUAAAAUUAAAUAUAGUCAUGAGUGAUCUUGUUGGAUUCGUAUCUAUGAGUACUUUAAUAAGAUGAAAUUUUUAUAUUUAAUGUUAAUACAAAAUUAAAAUAUAUUAAUUAAAAAUAUAUAUUGACAAACGUGAUAAAAACAAACAGCAAAAAUAUUAAGAAACGAAGCGAGGGAGUAAUAAAUAUGCUUUAUGCUGAACUGAAUUGAGUGCGUGGAAGCUUGGGGAGGCAGCUUACUACAGUAUCUACGUGUAUCUGUAUAUGCAAUAAAGACACAAAUACUCACAGGAGAUUAUUUUUCAAACACUUAAUUUCCCCCUUUCCUUCUCGUAAUAUUCAACUCAAUUCAUCACAUCAUCUUCUUCAGACAAACAACUAUACUCACUUCAGAUCAUCACAUCAUCUUCUUCUUGACUUCAGAUCCACAUUUCAAACCCUAAUCAUUCGCUUGGUCCCCUCCCUCUCUGUAAUAAUACAAUUCUUUCUACACACAAACAAUAACAUCAUCAUCAUCGAGUGAAGCUUCAUAUCCACAUUCCAAGACCUAAUUACUCGCCAAACCACUCUCGCUCUCAUGGAGGAGGCCUUAGAAAUGGCGAGAUCGAAUGAUACCAAGAAGCGAAGGGCGGGAGUGGAUCGGCUGCAACAGCUUCUUGAAGAUUCAAGAAAGUGCUUGUCAUCGUCGGAAGUGACGGCGCUAGUCGACACGUGUCUUGAGCUUUUGAAGGACACGUGUGUUGCUGUCGUCGGCCGCGGAGUUGUUUAAGUUGCAUUCUGAUAGAAUUAUGACGGCGGUUGUUGAUAGGUUGUGGGAUGGGGAGCAGCGGGUUCGAGACUCGGCGAGGAGGCUGUUGAUUACCCUUAUGGAGGUAAUUUAUUAAUUUUCUUGGGGAAUGCCAGUUGAUUUUAUGGAAUGUGAUAUAGUAUAGUUUCUAUCAAUCGAGUAUCUUAAAUUGAUGACUACAACAAGUAUUAUCGUUUUGCACGCAAGUGGCUAAACUUUUAUGCAUGCCAAAUUGCCAAUCGGGUUUCAAUUUCAGAUCUCUGCCUUCACUUGCAUACGAACACAUUUGAGUUUAAAAAGAUGAAUCACCUCAUAAAUAUCAUUAAUAAUUAGUUGGUGUUAAUAGUGCACUGAAAAAUGGGAGAGAAUGACAAGACUAUAGACAGUAGUAGGGCUGAGCGAGAUGUUAAUUGAGUACUUAUAUGAUGCUUCACUAUGUUCAGGGAGUUAGUUUAUUGCUUCUUUCCUACACUUUCACUUGAAUUAGUACUAAUUAAUAAUUCCUUCUCUAUCUUGUAAAAUUUCUCCUUCAUUGCUAAGCAUAUCUACUCUGAUUAAUUUUCAAACAAACUUUACUACUGAGAUAGGAUUGUUUGCUGGGUAGGAGCACCAUAGAAUGAGUAGCUCUAUUGCUAUAUACUGAAGGGUGCGGUGGCAUCCUCGGUUAUAUUUUAAGUGCUACUUCGAAUUUAGUUGUUGGCUUUUGCAAUUUAUUUUCAUUCACAAUGUUUUAAUAAUGAUACCCCAUAUUAGGUGAGAGAUAUUAGUGCCAGGCUGGAGCAGAUUCAGAUUCAACCAGCAACUUCCGUCUCUUCCAUCUCUGAAGGACUUAAUAGUAAUCUUCUCCACCAUGCACCUGAUUUAGAAGUAUAAUGUAUUAAUGUGAACUUUUUAUUUAUAUUUAUUUCCAUGUGUAGUAAAACGAUCACAUCUUUUAAGAGCUUAGUACAAUGUUAUGUACAAUGUGUAAUUAAUUAAGAGGUUUGUACAUAGUUUAGUAUGAAAUGGAAAAAGUUUGUACAGAAGUUUAUUUGUUCACAUUACAGCUGAGACGAGCAAGCAAAAACCAUCAGAGAAUUCAAAGGAUAAUGAUAAAGGAAUUGAGCCCCUACUGGAACUGCCGGAAGAUAUUAUCUUUCUACAAAUUCUGCCUAAGUUGAACAGCCUAGAUGUUCUUCCCCUGGUUUUGGUGGCUAGGAGUUGGGCCUCCUUUCUUUUGCAUGAGGGACCCAGACUGAUGUUAUUCAACCCACCUAAAAAUCCUACACCUAAACACACUUCAAUUUUAUUUGAUGUAAGCCCGAUUCCGUACUCUGUUUCAGUUUUGUUAUCCCCAGAGAGCCGCCAACUGUGUCAGUCUAGGUGUAUAAUUGUUCCAAUCUUGAAUUCUGGUAUAAAACAUGCUGUUCCAAUUUUCACUGACUACCCAGAUUUUUUAAAGCAGGGGGAAGUCCCAACUGUAGUGGGAUCUUCCAGUGGUAUUAUAUGCCUCUAUAUCACCAGUUCUCCCUCUAGAUACAUCCUGCUAAACCCCUUAACAAAACAUUAUAAAGAGGUUGGGGCCCCUUAUAUUUUUGUACCAGAUUGUGAGCAAGCUUCUGUAACUUCUGGAUUCUUUUAUGAUGAAUGGACUGAUGACUUAAAGAUCGUACAAUUGUUGAGAUGGGAUCAAAGGCUUACGAGCUUGGAUGCUCCGGGACCCAAAAAGAUACAUGCGCUUCGCGUUUGUUCUGUAAAUUCUGCAAAUUGGGAAGUUGUUGACUUGGGGCCAAUGAAAGUCUCCGAUCGUCUUGGUGGUGUGUUAUUUUUGCCGAAAGCUCUCGUCACAUUUGUAGAUGCGUUUGCUACAGAGCCGGAGAUUAACUUUUGGUUGGAUUUUCGUGAUUGCCGUCUAAAGGCAGUUCCGGAAUUAGAAGGGGCUGAACUCAGUAUGAAAUCGGUUUGGUGGAAUAACCAGGUUGGUGUUAUUGUUGGAACUGACAGCAUUUAUGUCCUUGAUGAGGAGUUUGCAGCCUGGUAUUACUGCACAGUGCUUCCGGACGUGGGAAAUUGUGUAUUCUGUUUAGAUGAGAACAAAAUUGUGGGGAUGGGGGCUGGGGAAAGCGGAAGCGUAAAUGAUUACAAUAUUCUUAAUUCCACAAGCGGCGAAAUCCAACAUAUAAUCUCGUUGCCUUCUUGCAGGGUUUUUCCGUAUGUUCCUACAUUCUACUAUAUCGAGGGAAUGGCUAAUUUUUAGACUUUUGCAAGUCACAAUGUAAUAAAAGAAUGUAAACAGUACAUAGCAGCAAUACCUCUCUAUAGCAUAUAGUUUCAGAUACAACAUGUAUUGUGAUGCCAGCUUGUAGAGUACAAGUAUUAUUCUAGGUGAUUGAUUGUUGAGAAUAAUAGAGGCAACCGGUUGCAUGAUGGUAUCCUUGAAACUUUCAUAAUUACUAAUAUCGAACUCAGAUAGCAUGCAAUUUUUCCGGAGAUCAUAUUCUUUAGCUAUCAACUAACUCUACAUUAUAUAUUAUGUCCCAGAUCAAUGAGUUUGUUUGCUAUAAUGUCCUAUUUUAUAUGUGAUUUAGGAAUAUGUUCCAUUAACUUGUUAUCACCCUCAAAUCUAAAAUCUAAGACUACCAUGUCCUUAGUUUAUUUUGUUUAAUAUUUGUGAAUAGACUCUAAUCUGAUCAUAUCAAUUAUAUUUUAGUAACAGAUGUUUAAAUGCAUAUGUUUUUGUUAUCUAGUUAUUUCAAUGAUGAUGGGAUUAAAUUUUUUUAUUCUUGUAAUAUGUACAAUGAUUGGUUUAGCUUUAAUAUUUAUUUUUAUUUUUAUUUACCAAUUUUAAUGUAGGUAAAGUUUUAUCAGCAAAUUUUAUUUUUUGUAUGCAGUAAUCUGUUCUAAUAUCAAAUUUUGAUUUAGAUCGAGUAUUAGUAUGUUGAAUUUGCAUUCAUCUAGUUAGAUGAGUGAAACUGGCUAAUUAAUGGAAAAUCAUAAGUACCUGAGUUGUUUUCAAAUUUUUUUCCCAAAUUUUAAUUGUUUGAUUGGUUUCUUCAAAUUAAUAUUAAUGGAAUCAUGAACGCACAUAAAUAAUUUAAUUAAAAAUUAUUUAUUUAUGUGUCAUUUAGAAAAAAUUGGGGACAAAAUUUGGGAUAGUAAUGGGGACGAAAUAUGUGUUAGCGUUAAUGGUUUAGCGGCAGUGGAGAACGCAAUUUAAGAGCAAAUCCAAUAGUGUCCUAAACUAGUAUCCUAAAUUAAAAAUUAAGGUAUUUAUAUAAAUGAGUGCUCCACCUAAUGAGUGCUCCACCAAUGUCCAGUGAUACCUUAAAAUACUAGGAAAUCCAUCAAGCGUCUCGUUUUUAAGACAUCACUAGGCAUGCCCUAUUUCACUUCUAUCAAUAAAAUAUAUCUUUCCCUCGUUUUUUACAGAUCUCUUCUCUCUCAUUUUUUCCAUUUAUGCCCAAUUAUAAUUCAAAUAUAAUACACCUUCAGUCCCUUUUUAGUUGUGAAAUUUACAAAAAUAAUUUGUCCUUAAAUAAUAUUCUCAUCCUUGUUCCAAUACAUAUUUAUACAUAUUUUUUCAUGUUUACCCCUUGAUUGUUGGUUCAAAUGUUUGACUGUACUACUAAUAUAUACAGUUUUGACUUAGUAUUUAAUAUAAUAAAUAAGGGCAUGCGUGGAAACAACUUACAACAUUUAAUUUUCUUUAAUAUAUGUAUUUUUGCAAAUGUGACAACUAAAAAGGAACAGAGAGAGUAUUAUUUUAAUCAUAAAACAUAUUGUUGGAGUUAAUAUAAAAAAAUCAUGUCUUAAAUCAUAAGAUUACUAUAUUUAAUUAUAUUUAUAAGGCAUCUAAUAGUACAAUAUUGGAUUUGCUCUGAUCACAGAUCAAUCAAAUGAUCGGCAACUUAAGCGAUCAAAUGAGAUGACUCGCAUAGUCCACGCUAAUCGAUAUCCUUAAGAGGAUGUUUGCCUGGGCUUAAAGCCCUUGCUUUAAGCCAUCUUUGGCUUUAAGCUGAAAAAUGUCUGUUUGUGUAAUAAGUCAGAAGCCAGCCUAAAGUCAGAAAUAAGCCAGAAGCUGACUUAAAGCCAGAAGUUAAUUUGAGGUACUUUUUUCAGUGGCUAAAUUUUUUUGAACUUUUUUUUUGAUAAAAAUUACUCCUAAAUCAUAAGUUUCUUAUAAAUCACUUUUAUUUUUAUUAUUAUAUUUUUAAUAACUCAUAAGUCAUUCAUAAGCCAAAAUUACCCAAACAGACAUUUUAAGCUAUCAGCUUAUCAGAUAAGACACGUUAAGUCACAAGUCACAUUAAGUCAUAAGCCAUAAGCUCAGCCAAACGGGCAAGUUUUCUAAGAGACAUUCCUGCUUAGUGCAUUUUUAAUAGGGUUGCCUAAAUCGUUGACGAAAUUGGACAUGUGAGACAUUAUAUAAAAUUUGUUAAACAUGUAAGUGAUUGUGUUUCAAUAAUGUUAACUACAUUGAUAGAUUAUAACUUAAAAAUAGUAUGUUAUUAAUAUUUAGAUUGUUAUAAAAAAAUAUAUGAGUUUAAUAUGAUAGGAAAUGAUGUGUAAAUUACCCCGAUUAUAUAUAUAUAUAAAUAAUAAUAUAUUUAUAUAUAUUAUACUAAAUAUAUUAUUAAAAAUAGAUAAAUUUUAUAAUAUAAUCAAAAGUAAAAAAUAAUCUUUAUUUUUAUUGAUUGAUUAUAAAUAUAUUGUAAUAUAAUAUAUUUUAUAAUUUUAAAUUGUUGUUUAUUUAUAUUAUAAAUCAAUUUUAAUAUGAUUUGAGGUUGAAAAUAUAAGAUAAUAUUAUUUUAUUAUUAUAUUAGGAGUUUGUAGUUUGUUUUUUAAUUAAAAAAAUAUAUUAUAUAUUAUAAAAUUAUUAUGUUUUUAUUAAAAAAUAAAAUUCCCCGAAACCCCGCGGGGAUCCCCGUUCCCCGUUCGGGGCGGGGAUCGGGGCGGAAAAUAAUCCCCGUUCGAGGUUCGGGGCGGGGUCGGGUAGGGCCGUAGGGGUAUUGAAUUCGGGGAUCGGGGUCGGGGAUAGCACUCCCCGCCCUCGAAGUCUCCCCGUGCCCAUCCCUAGUCGAACCUCUAGAGGUCCGUAAAAAAUCUCCAAGAAGAUUACACUAUGUAAUCUUCUUGGAGAUUUUUUACGGACCUCUAGAGGUUCGACAAAUAUAGUGGCCGGUAGGAUGUUGGUUAAAAUUAUAGAUAAGUGGUGUCUAUGGUUGAGUGUGAUUUUUUUGAAUAGAAUGGCUAUAUAUUUUAUUUUUGGGAUGCCAACUCAAUUUUUAAACUAAGGACUUCUCAUAUUUGGAGAUGCUAUAUGAUGGCAAAUCCCGCAAAUCUUCAAUUUUGACAUAUAUUAUCCUAAAUUCUCUUUCAACAAUGAUUGAUUCAAAUUUGGAUCAAGAUUGUUGGAUCCCGCUGACGUGGCAGUGACGUCAUGUUGACGUGGCGCCCUGGGGUGGACCCCGGUGCUGACGUGGCAGAUGACGCGGCGGUGACAUGGCGCCUGGUUGGGGUCCCAUUACUAACGUGGCAUUUGGGUAGAAAGUAUAAAUUACGGAAAAUUGAUGACAAACUGAGAGGUGCAUAUUAUAAGUUUUAAAAAGUAUGAGGAGAUAUUUGAUCAGUUUAAAACUAGUUUUUAGGUUUUUAGGCUAACCGUGGUUUGUAUAUUCGAGCAUCCCCGUGUAUAUUGACAUAUAGGUAAACUCCUUGCAAUACUUUGAGCUGCAAAAUCCAUCAAAAUUUUGAUUUAUCAUGUAACUGUUUGACAGAGUACUUCCAACUUUCAAGCGUAAGUAUCAAAAUCACUACCUUCAUAUGUUCCAUUAAGCGUGAAAGGUACAGAAUAAGAAGUGAAAGAAAUCCUUUAUAUUUACACGGCCAUUGAUCUUAUAGGAUCACCUAGCCCAUCAGUGCUAGGGAAUACGGAACCAUCUUAUCAAUUAACGAAGAAAUGUAUGCAUGCAGUGUCACCACCACAAGUCAGAAAUGGUGAUGAUGCUAAUGAUAAUGAACUCAAUUGGGAGUGAUCCUAAUGGGAUAUGGAUGUGGAUUGGUAUGCGGAUUCUUUGGGGUUUAUUGUUCUUACAAUGGGAAAGCCUUGGUGGUUUAUGAGAUACAUUGAAGUAAGUUGAUAAUGACAUGCACGGCUUAAUUAAGAUUAAUUAAGACAAACACCUUGACAAAAUGUUGUCUUAGAAUGAUAUGUAUUCUGAUUUUUCCUAAUUUAAAAUCAAAUUUAUUACAAUUAAAGUUAAAAUCUGCGUAGCACAUACUAUACUUUGAUUAAAUUUUUAUUGAAGUUGUCCAUAUUAACCUAGUGGCCGAAAGUGAAUAAAUUAAAUUAGUGGGGUCUAAUAUAAAAAUUGCAUUAAUUAAAAUUUGUAAUGUAUAGAUUAUGCUAAAGCUAUUCAUUAUAAAGAACAUAGGAAUGUUAAUCUCUUUAUAUGUUUGCAUGCGGAUAGUCUCUCGGGAGUGUGGUAUAUUGUCAUGGCUGGAAAAACGGCUAAUUUCUACGGUUUUUUUUUGACAGAAAUUAAUUUUGACGGAAUACUGUCGAAAUAUCGAAAGUCGAAAAUAAGCCGCAAAAUUACUUUUUUCAAUUUUCAAUUGAAAACUGUCAAAAAAGUCUCUGGCAAAAUUAUAUUUAUUUCUACAGAUAAUGUCGAAAAUAUUUUCCUGCAAAUUUCCCGCACCUUAGUUGUGAGCGGAAAUAGAUAGUUUGGACAGAAUUCCGUCGAAAUUACGCGAGUUCUUUGUAGUGUGUUUUCACACAUACGCUGAUAAUCUUUGGGGACUGGGGUAUAUUGUUUUCGCAAAGCACUGGUAGUUUGUGAGCUUGUCCAAUUUUUCCCCCCAUGCCUAUACUGGUUGGUCUCAGUCUUAGUGGUAAUAAGCUGGCGUCAAAUUUUCCAGAAUUCAUAUAUAAUUGCUAUAACAUGAUCCGAUGCCUGAAUCAGCAGCUAACAAUUUACGUAAUCUUGAAGAACUAUAUCUUGGUGCCAAUUCUUUCGAGGGCUCAUUUCCAACGAAUAUAUUCAAGCUUUCCAAAUUAAGGGUUCUUGACCUAUCUGUGAAUAAUUUUUCAGGUUCCAUUCCCAAUGGUAUAGAGAUGCUUCCCGAUCUUGGAAUAAAUCGUAUUUAUAAUAAUUCAUUUGAAGGAAUUAUUCCUUCUUCAAUUAGUCUACUUAAAGAUCUUCAACACCUAGACUUCGGUGACGACAACCUUGUGGUUUCAAGUAUAAUGUCUUACGGGUCCAAUCUAACCGAUCAUUACAGGCAACCCCAUUGGAGAUGCUCUUAAUAACAUUUUAACUAGAGAGUAUUUUCUAUCAAUUGCAUUUGUAUUAAAUUUGAUUUAGAUGAAGAGAAACAGAAUACAUAUGAUCCCGAGACAACAUUUUGUCAAUGUUUUCGUCUUGAUUGAACAGUCUUCUUCAUGCGUGUCCUUGUCAACUUCAGUUGCAGUAAUUCAAUGUAUCUCAGGAACCACCUUGGCUUUCCCAUUUUGAUAACAAGUAUCCUGAAGAUAAUCCGCAUAUCAAUCCACAUCCGCGCGUAUCCCAGUUGAUUUAUUAAUUUAUUCAUGAAGUGUUGCGAACGACAUUCCUGCAAAAGUAAAAGUCAGUGGAAUUUGUAUGAUAGCAUGAUGAAUAUUUAAAGUUUCAGUUAAAAUUUCACCAAGUAUUUUAUUUCUGGCUUAAGUCCCGGAUUGACGAAUUCUGCUGAUCACAUUUCUAAUCGACCAAUUCUGGUCGAAUAAAUUAAAUGGCACACUUCCUGAGUUGGUGGUAGGGGCGUUCUUCUUGUGUUUCUUUCUUUUCAUUAUUGACAUUGUUAUCCAGGCCCUUGCUUCUGGGCUUUUGUAAAGCACCCAUUUACGCCAUUGUCAUGAUCAUAGCUAGUCUUCCAUAUCCAAGAUACGCGCAUUAUAGUGGAUUUAUCUUUAUUAGUGAUUUCUGUGGAAAUGCAUAAUCUUAAUUAUAAGCUCCAAUAUUAUAAAAUAAACCUAACUUAUUAGAGUUAACAGGGCAUUUGUGUUGAUAAUUUGCGCAAUGUUAAUGGGGAUCGCUCCCAAGUCUUGGACGGACUCUUUCCAAGUCUUCUGAGGACCCAUCUGCACACUAAUUUGUCCGCCAACUAAAAAUUUAUAUAUAUUUUUCCAUAGAAUAUAAAUAGUUGGGGGUACUAACAGAACCUCUAGUAAAAUUAAUUAAUACCGUUAUGAUUUCGCAAACACAGCAGACAGCAGGCAUAAGGCUUAUAAAUAGAAGUGUCGUAUUUGGUUGAUGGUCAAGUUGAGUGGAAAUAUGGCACACUUUGUAAAGCCUUGUUAUCCUCUUCUCUUUGUUUUCUUUCUCUCAUUACUUCAAUCCAUUCUAACAACACAAGAGGGAGAAGCUCUUGUGAAAUGGAAGAAUAGCCUAGCCCCUUCUUCUUUUCUCGACUCUUGGUCACUCACCAAUCUCGAUAAUCUUUGCAACUGGACUGGCAUUACUUGUAACUCUGCAGGUUCAGUCUCUGAGAUUAACCUUAGUGAGAAACAACUUGAUGGAAUGCUGUCCGAGUUUGGUUUCACUUCAUUUCCAAAUCUCAACAAUCUCACCCUCGCAAUUAACUACUUCUCGGGUCCAAUACCACCAGCCAUUGAGAAUUUAACACAGCUUCAAUAUCUUGAGUUGAGCAAUAAUUAUCUAGAUGGUCCCAUUCCUUUCCAGGUUAGCAAUCUUCAGAGGUUGCUCAUCUUAAACCUGUCAGAGAAUGAACUGCAAGCUCCAAAUUGGUCCAAUUUUUCCCCCAUGCCUUUUUUGACCAUCCUCGACCUUUAUAAAAAUAAUCUUUUGUCAGAAUUUCCCGAAUUUAUAUCUAACUCGUGUAACCUUACGUACCUUGACCUCUCAUCCAACAAGUUUAGAGGGGAUCUUGCGCGAGAAUCAGUAUUAACCAAUCUAGGUGAUCUUGAAACCCUCUAUCUUAUUAGAAAUUCUUUCAAGGGGUCAUUUCCGUCAGAUUUAUUCAAGCUUUCUAAAUUAAAACGUCUUCACCUGUCGAGCAACAAAUUUUCAGGUUCAAUUCCUAAUGCCAUAAGGUUGCUUUGUGAUCUUGAAUUCCUAUAUUUAGGCAACAAUUCCUUUGAAGGACUGCUUCCACCAAAUAUAUUUAAGCUUUCAAAAUUAAAACAUCUUGUUCUUCGGAGUAAUAAGUUUUCAGGAUCUGUUUCCAAUGAUAUAAAUUUGCUUCCUGAACUUGAAUAUCUCGAUCUUAAUUCUAAUUUUUUUGACGGGCCGCUUCCUCCAGAUGUAUUCAAGCUCUCCAAACUAAGGUUUCUUUACCUCUCGGGUAAUACCUUUUCACGUUCUGUUUCCAAUGAUAUAGGUUUGCUUUCUGAGCUUGAAACCCUCGAUCUUAACUCUAAUUUUUUGAGGGUCCGCUUCCGUCAAAUAUAUUCAAGCUCAAAUUAAAAAUUCUAGACCUCUCAAACAAUAGAAAUUUAUUUCAAAGAAGUUUUCCUAUUGGACUGGAACUCUUGAGUAACCUCAGCUACUUAGGUCUAAGUUCCAGUAAUCUCAGUGGCAAUAUUCCAUCUUACAUUGGAAACCUGAAGCUACUAAUAUCUCUUGAUCUCAGUUCUAAUCAAUUGACUGGACCGCUUUCAAAGCUCGUUUCUAAUGUCACAAAUCUUAUAUUUCUUGAUUUAAGAGAUAAUAGUCUUAGUGGAAAUAUUCAGACUGACUUGUGGAAAUAUAACGAUCAUCCAACUCUGGAAUACAUCAAUUUGAGUGGGAACUAUUUUACGGGUAUAGUUUUUCUCUAUAGAUCUUUUCUUUUGUCAUAUGUAACUAAGCUAGUAAUCUGAUUAAUUGCAGUUUUACCAAAGUUUCAACAAUCUUGACAGGUGAGCUUCCAACAACAAUUUGCAAUGUCACUUCCCUUUCGGUUCUUGAUUUGUCAAAUAAUAACUUAAGUGGUGCACUUCCAAAAUGUUACGGGAAUCUUGCUGAUGGAUUGCUUUACAUUAAUCUUGCGAAUAAUCACUUUCGAGGAACAAUACCCACUACUUUCUCCAGGAGUUGUCAGCUGAUAUAUCUGAACAUGGAUGAUAAUGAGUUUGAAGGAUUGAUGCCCCCAUCUUUGGCGAACUGUAAGCACUUGAAAAUUUUUGAUAUUGGCAAUAAUAAAAUAGGUGGUACAUUUCCGUCAUGGCUUUAUGCACUUGGAGAGCUAGAAGUCCUUGUCUUGCGAUCAAAUAAACUCUAUGGUACAAUAAGUGGAAGGAGCAUAGAAGAUCCCUUCCCCAAGUUGCGGAUUGUGGAUCUGUCCAACAAUCAAUUCACAGGCCAUUUGCCAAUUCAAUACUUUAAGAAUAUGAAAUCAACUGAUAAUUUGUAUCGUUAUCAGAAUGACACAGGAGUUUUUUCUUUCCAUUAUGAAGCAUCUGUCUCAUUAACUGUGAAGGGAACAGAGUAUGAAGUGAAAAAUAUCCUUCAUAUUUACACAACCAUUGAUCUGUCCUGCAACAAGUUUCAAGGAGAAAUUCCUGACGUUAUUGGAGAGCUUAGAUGGCUUGCAUUGCUGAACUUAUCUCAUAAUAGUCUAACAGGACAUAUCCCAUCAUUGCUGAGAAAUAUGAAAGGACUCCAAUCUUUAGAUUUGUCUUCAAAUCAACUGAAAGGGGCUAUUCCACUUCAGUUAACUGCAUUGACAUUUCUAGAGGUCUUGAACCUCUCGGGAAACCAUCUUAGUGGAGAGAUUCCUCAGAAAGGGCAGUUCAGCACAUUUAACAUUGAUUCUUAUCUAGGAAACUCCGCGUUAUGUGGUUCACCUUUGAUGAAGAAAUGUGCAAACACAGCAUCACCUCCACAAGAAGCCGGAAAUGGUGAUGAAGAUGAAGCUGGUGAUGAAUUGACAUGGGAAGCAAUCGUGAUGGGAUAUGGAUGUGGACUGAUAUGUGGAUUGUCAUCUGCAUACAUUGUUCUCAAACUAGGAAAGCCUUGGUGGUUUGUGAGAUAUAUCGAAGUACUGCAACAGAAGUUGAUGAAAAGAUAUGCAUGAAGAAAGGUACUGGUAGAUCAAGAUGAACUUGAAAGUUGUUGUCGUGGUAGACAUUUGUGAACCAGUAGUGUACUAGCUGCAUAAGUAUUUGGUAUUAUGUAAUAAUCCGUUUGGUCGGGACUCAAAAUGAUUUCUCUUGCUUCAGGGGUAUUAAUAUUAACCUUGCUAUCUUGAUCAAUGUUAGGGCAAAUUAAAAAGAAUAUAAAAGCAAAAAAUUUGCAUCAAACACCUGUUGUACCAACAUGCAUCCAUUAAUUUGCUUUCAUCUAUUAAGUAACAAUUUAAGAGCGCUUCCACUCUGUUUAAGCAUGGAGAUAACACAAAGAAGGCAAGUCCAUGGACUAAUAUAUUAACACGUAGUCCACAUCUAUGGUAUGAACAAUUCAUAUUGCUCUUCUAUCUGUUCAACAGUCUCCCGAAGAUAGGCCAAAAAUGUCAUCUGUGGUUCUUAUGUUUGUCAGUGAAGGAGAAUCUCUGAUGCCUACACAACCUGGUGUUUUUACAGAAAGGAAUGUAGGUGAAACCAGGGGCGUAAAAUGAAUCAGGACUAAAAUCUGCUAAAAUGAUAAUUAUUUACUCAUCAUUCAAGAUUAGUCGGGCUCAAAGAUUUAUAUGGAUUUUAAGAACAAACUAUGACUAAAUAUGAAAAAAUCAUUAAUUUUUCCGACUCAAUAUUUUUUAGCCUCCCCCGGCCCUGGGUGAAACCAUAAGCUUCUCUGGUGCACAUCCAAAUCAUUCAGUUGGUUCUACUUUCAGCUCACCCACAGGAACAUCAUUCUGCAGGUACUCUUUUAUCUGUACUUUCUUAUAUUGUAUGCCAGUAAAUUUUAUAUCGACAAACUGCACAAUACACCUCGAUCUCAUAUUAUUGACAGGUGAGCUCCUCUCAUAAUGCUCACAGGCGAACCCCUGCAUAUAUACUUUGUGAUGUCAUUGAUGAUCGAUAGACUUGAAAAAAAAUUAUGACAAAGAUUCAUAAAAUAUCUACUUCCAUCCUAAUUCAGUAUUCAAUAUUAUUCAUUCGUAUCAUCAUCCAAUCAAUUCUAAUAGUUCUUCUUUAAAUCAGUACAAAUAUUGUUAAAUACCUGGAUGAUGGUUGUCUUUCCGCGAACCAAUCAUGAAAUUACCUCUGUAUAAAUCCAUCGGAAAUAAGACAGUUAAUAUCCCAAUCGAAUACACCCCGUCAGUUGUCAAACUCCUCGAAACGUAUUAAUCACUUUAGAAAAUUUGUUCCACUGGCGCUAGUCAGUCCCAGAGUUGGUGGUGGGUGCUUCUGGGCUUUCGAAAAGCACCCAUUUACUCCAUUGUUUAGAGAAGUAAAACCCCACCUUCCGCUCAUUUGAUUGAUCAGCUGAAUUAGGCAGAGUUUACAUGGUCAUGAUCAUAGUCUCCCAUNUUAAUAGUCUGACAGGACCUAUCCCAACAUUGCUGAGAAAUAUGAAAUAACUCCAUUACUCCAAUCUUAGAUUUGUCCUCAAAUCAACUGACAGGGGCUAUUCCACCUCUGUUAACUGCAUUGACAUUACUUUUCUCUUUAUAUUCUUUCCUUUUGUAUGUACCUAUGCUAAUUAUCUGAUUAUUAAAAUUAUAACAAAGCUUCAAGAUUUUUAACAGGUGAGCUUCCACUAAAAAUUUGCAAAGUCACUUCCCUUUCGCGUCUCAUUAUGUUAGAUAAUGGGUCAAGUGGUGCACUUCCACAGUGUUUGGGGAACCUUUCUUUGCUUGGUUUCAAUAAUCUUGCUAAUUAUCAAUUUCAAGGACCAAUACCAACGACUGUCCAAGACUUGUCUGUGCAUAUCUAAACAUCCAUAACAAUCACUUUGAAGGUUUGUUGCUCCAAUCUUUGGCAAACUGUAAACACUUACAAAUUCUUGAUAUUGGAAACAACGUUGGAGAGCUAGAUGUCCCAGUUAGGGCGGUAAUUCGACUAGAGCAAACCGAGUUUUGAGCGGAGCCAAAUUCGAGCCAAGUUUAAUCGAGUCGAGCCGAGUCGGCUCGUUUAGCUAAUCGAGCCUAAAACUUAGCCCGAACUCGACUCAUUUAAUUUCACGAGUCGAGUCGAGCCAACUCGUUUAGCUAAAUGAGCUGAUUUUAACAAGUCGAGCGAGCGAGCUCGUAUAAUUUUAACUUAGUCGAGCCUGAAUCUCUACCCAAACUAUUGGCUCGUGUAAUUUCGCGAGUCGAAUCGAGCCGGCUCGUUUUAUUAAACAAGCCGAAAUUUUUGCCCGAAUUUGCUCGUUUAACAAGCCGAUCUGAGCCUAGUUAAAUGAGUUCGAGUUAGUCGAGCUCGCGAGCUGCGAGCUCACCUGCCAGCUCUAGUCCUAGUCUUGCAAUCAAAUAGGUUUAACGGUAUAGAAAGUGGAAGGAGCACAAGGCAUCCAUUCCCCAAGGCUAUUUACCAAUUCAGUACUUUGAGGAUACAAAAUCAUUCUGCAGGUACUCUUGUAUCUGUACUUUCUUGUACUGUAUGCCACUUUGACAGUAGAGUAAAAUUUAUAUCGACAAACUGCAUAUGUUCUGAACUACUCCUCUAUCCCAAAUUAGAUGAGCUAGUUGACUUUGAGCACGUAACUUAAGGUACAUUGACCAACUAGUUCCGAUAUUUAUUUUUUUAAUUUUUCUUUUGUAAAUGAAAAUUUCAUAUUUAAAUUUUUAUUUGCAAAACUAAAAUUUAAAAAUAUGUAAUGUGGCUAUGCGGUCAAUGUCAACGAGCUCAUCUAAUUUGGGAUUGGGAUGCAGGGAGUAUUACGUACUAUGUUAUGCAAGCUGUUUACAACUUUCAUCAAAAUUUUCAAACAUUUCUGAAUAUGUAUUUUCAAAGAAUUCUCGGGCACUCUUAAGGCCUAUAAUUAUUGGAACUCUCACGUUAUGGACCAGAGGACCACUAUGUAUUUUACAAGCACGACGAAUCAUGUGGUCAUUAUGGACUCCCCAAGCCUUAGAGGACUCAUUCCAGGUUUUAGGAGGACCACUGCCUAGCUCACCCUUUCGGAGUGAUGUAAAUUAGUUUCCAGACACUAAAAAUAAGUAAUCAGAUUAAUCAUUACAAAAUUUUGAUAUAAAAUCAGAAUAAAUCCUAAACUUUGAUGAUACAAAAAAAAUUAUAAUUGUAAAUUAUACAAUCAAAUUAAGAUCGAAUUAACUUCCCUCACACUUAAAAUUUAUAGCGAUCAAAUCAAAAUCGAAUUAACUUUCCUAUUACUAAAAUUUAAUUACAAUAUUAUUAGAUAAAGAGAAUAUAUAAUAAUCAAGAGAAAAUAGAUUUUUUUUUGCCACUCAACUUAUUGUGUUUUAAGAAACUUACCACCCAACUAAAUUUUUUUCCUUUUGCUCACUAAUGUUAGGUUUGGAUUUGUUUUUAGCCACCAAAUAAGGUUCGGAUUUGAUUACCAGCAUUAUGAUAAUUUUUUUUGUCACUAAACUUAUUGCGUCUUUAGAAACUAACCACUGAACUAAAUUUUUUUUAUUUUACUCACUAAUGUUAGAUUUAGUUUUUUUUGUCACUAUAGUUAGGUUCAGAUUUGAUUAUUAGCAUUACAUUAAUUCUGUGUAGCAUUUUUAAAAUAUGGUAGUAGUCUGUGAUAUUUAGAUGAUUUGAUAUAUGUCUGUAUUUUUAUAUAUAGUAUAUUUUAUGUCCCCAAGGUCGUUUACCUUGGGUCAUAAAAAUUUUACACUCAUUUUAUGACUUUUAAAAGAUGUAGUUUCAUAAAUAAUUUUAUUUUUUUCUUUCGAAUUAAAAUUCAGCAUUUGAAUUUUACACACAAAAAAAUCGCAAGAAUAAGAUAUGAAACUAUGCUUUACAAGAGUCUUAAAAUACGUGCUAAACGGUAGAAAAAACUGUAAACUAAUGAGAGGUACAUAGGGAGUAAUAAUAACAUAAAAUGAUGCACAAUCAUCGAAUUAAGUUUUCCUCUCUCUAUAUAUUUAUUUUGUAAAUUUUAAUAAGAUAAAGUUAUUAAAAUUUAUGAUAUAAAUUUAAGAGAUAUCUUAGAUUGAGUGGCAAAAAUUUAGUUGGGUGGUAAGUUUCUAAAAACACAAUAAAUUGAGUGGGAACAAAAUCUAUUUUCCCAAUAAUGAGUGGGAAUAAAAUCUAUUUUCCCAAUAAUCAAAGUGACGAAAAAUCAAAGUCAUCUAAUAAGUCCAGAAAAAAUAUGACCAUUAGUAUAUUGAAAUAAUAUUCACGCAUUUAUAUACGAGAAUAUAUGGUCCACAAGUUAGUGCACAAUGUCCAAGAAUCUUUAUCAAAUAACACGGCAAGCAUGCAGCAUAUAAAUAAGAGUGGGCAGUAUGGUAUUGCAUUCAUAACCCACUUGAGCAGAAAUAUGGCACACUUCCUAAAGCCUUCUCACCUUCUUCUCUUUGUUUUCUUUCUCUCGUUACUUCAAUCCAUUCUACCAACAAGACCAGAGGGAGAAGCUCUUGUGAAAUGGAAGAAUAGCCUAGCCCCGUCUUCUUUUCUCGAUUCUUGGUCACUAACCAAUCUCGAUAAUCUUUGUAACUGGACUGGCAUUACUUGUAACUCUGCAGGUUCAGUCUCUGGGAUUAACCUUUAUGAGAAACAACUUGAUGGAAUGCUGUCCGAGUUUGGCUUCACUUCAUUUCCGAAUCUCAACAAUCUCACCCUCGCAUACAACUUCUUCUCGGGUCCAAUACCACCAGCCAUUGAGAAUUUAACACAGCUUCAAUAUCUUGAUUUAAGCAUCAAUAGUCUCGAUGGUCCCAUUCCUUUCCAGGUUAGCCAUCUUCAGAGGUUGCUCGUCCUAAACCUGUCACAGAAUGCAUUGCAAGCUCCAAAUUGGUCCCAUUUCUCUUCCAUGCCUUUUUUGCGCAUCCUCAAGCUCAGUAGGAAUCAUCUUGUAUCGAAAUUUCCAGAAUUUAUAUCCAAUUCUCAUAGCUUGGCUAUCCUUGACCUUGGCCAGAACAACUUUACAGGUGAUCUUGUGCGUGAAUUUACCAAUCUACAAAAUCUUGAAACCCUCUGGCUUUAUCGUAAUUCUUUUGAGGGGCCAUUUCCGCCGGAUAUAGUCCAGCUUUCCAAACUAAAAGAUCUUGCCCUGUCAAGUAACAAAUUUUCAGGUUCAGUUCCCAAUAACAUAAGGUUGCUUUGUGAUCUUGAAUACCUAUAUUUAGGCAACAAUUCCUUUAAGGGGCCACUUCCACCAAAUAUAUUUAAGCUUUCAAAAUUAAAACAUCUUGUUCUUUGGAGUAAUAAGUUUUCAGGUUCUGUUUCCAAUGAUAUAGGUUUGCUUCAUGAGCUUGUAACCCUCAAUCUUAACUCUAAUUUUUUUGAGGGGCCGCUUCCGCCAAAUGUAUUCAAGCUCUCCAAACUAAAGUUUUUUGCCCUUCAUGAGAAUAACUUUUCAGGUUUUAUUUCUAAGGAUAUAGGUUUGCUUUCCGAACUUGAAAUCCUCUAUUUUGGCUCUAAUUUUUUUGAGGGGCCGCUUCCUCCACAUGUAUUUAGGCUCUCCAAAUUAAGAGGUCUGGACCUCUCACACAAUAGAAAUUUAUUUGAAGGAAGUAUUCCUAUUGGACUGGGACUCUUGACUAACCUCAGGUACUUAGAUCUACAUUCCAAUAAUCUCGGUGGCUAUAUUCCAUCUGACAUUGGAAACCUGAAGCUACUAGUACUUCUUGAUCUCGGUUCUAAUCAAUUGACUGGACCGCUUUCAAAGAUCGUUUCUAAUCUCACAAAUCUUAUAUGUCUUGAUGUAAGUCAUAAUAGUCUUAGUGGAAAUAUUCAGAGUGACUUGUGGAAAUAUAACGAUCAUCCAACUUUGGAAUACAUCAAUUUAAGUGGGAACCAUUUUACGGGUAUAGUUUUUCUCUAUAGAUCUUUUCCUUUUCUCAUAUGUAACUAAGCUAGUAAUCUGAUUAUUGCAGUUUCACCAAAGUUUCAACAAUCUUGACAGGUGAGCUUCCAACAACAAUUUGCAAUGUCACUUCCCUUUCGGUUCUUGAUUUGUCAAAUAAUGAAUUAAGUGGUGCACUUCCAAACUCUUUGGGGAAUCUUGCUGAUGGAAUGCUUUACCUUAAUCUUGCUAAUAAUCAGUUUCGAGGAACAAUACCAACUACUUUCUCCAGGAGUUGUCGGUUGACAUAUCUAAACAUGGAUAAUAAUGAGUUUGAAGGAUUGUUGCCCCCAUCUUUGGCGAACUGUAAGCACUUGAAAAUUCUUGAUAUAGGCAAUAAUAAAAUAGGUGGUACAUUUCCGUCAUGGCUUUAUGCACUUGGAGAGCUAGAAGUUCUUGUCUUGCGAUCAAAUAAACUCUAUGGUACAAUAAGUGGAAGGAGCAUAGAAGAUCCCUUCCCCAAGUUGCGGAUUGUGGAUCUGUCCCACAAUCAAUUGACAGGCUAUUUGCCAAUUCAAUACUUUAAGAAUAUGAAAUCAACUGAUAAUUUGUAUCGUUAUCAGAAUGACACAGGAGUUUUUUCUUUCCAUUAUGAAGCAUCUGUCUCAUUAACUGUGAAGGGAACAGAGUAUGAAGUGAAAAAUAUCCUUCAUAUUUACACAACCAUUGAUCUGUCCUGCAACAAGUUUCAAGGAGAAAUUCCUGACGUUAUUGGAGAGCUUAGAUGGCUUGCAUUGCUGAACUUAUCUCAUAAUAGUCUAACAGGACAUAUCCCAUCAUUGCUGAGAAAUAUGAAAGGACUCCAAUCUUUAGAUUUGUCUUCAAAUCAACUGAAAGGGGCUAUUCCACUUCAGUUAACUGCAUUGACAUUUCUAGAGGUCUUGAACCUCUCGGGAAACCAUCUUAGUGGAGAGAUUCCUCAGAAAGGGCAGUUCAGCACAUUUAACAUUGAUUCUUAUCUAGGAAACUCCGCGUUAUGUGGUUCACCUUUGAUGAAGAAAUGUGCAAACACAGCAUCACCUCCACAAGAAGCCGGAAAUGGUGAUGAAGAUGAAGCUGGUGAUGAAUUGACAUGGGAAGCAAUCGUGAUGGGAUAUGGAUGUGGACUGAUAUGUGGAUUGUCAUCUGCAUACAUUGUUCUCAAACUAGGAAAGCCUUGGUGGUUUGUGAGAUAUAUCGAAGUACUGCAACAGAAGUUGAUGAAAAGAUAUGCAUGAAGAAAGGUACUGGUAGAUCAAGAUGAACUUGAAAGUUGUUGUCGUGGUAGACAUUUGUGAACCAGUAGUGUACUAGCUGCAUAAGUAUUUGGUAUUAUGUAAUAAUCCGUUUGGUCGGGACUCAAAAUGAUUUCUCUUGCUUCAGGGGUAUUAAUAUUAACCUUGCUAUCUUGAUCAAUGUUAGGGCAAAUUAAAAAGAAUAUAAAAGCAAAAAAUUUGCAUCAAACACCUGUUGUACCAACAUGCAUCCAUUAAUUUGCUUUCAUCUAUUAAGUAACAAUUUAAGAGCGCUUCCACUCUGUUUAAGCAUGGAGAUAACACAAAGAAGGCAAGUCCAUGGACUAAUAUAUUAACACGUAGUCCACAUCUAUGGUAUGAACAAUUCAUAUUGCUCUUCUAUCUGUUCAACAGUCUCCCGAAGAUAGGCCAAAAAUGUCAUCUGUGGUUCUUAUGUUUGUCAGUGAAGGAGAAUCUCUGAUGCCUACACAACCUGGUGUUUUUACAGAAAGGAAUGUAGGUGAAACCAGGGGCGUAAAAUGAAUCAGGACUAAAAUCUGCUAAAAUGAUAAUUAUUUACUCAUCAUUCAAGAUUAGUCGGGCUCAAAGAUUUAUAUGGAUUUUAAGAACAAACUAUGACUAAAUAUGAAAAAAUCAUUAAUUUUUCCGACUCAAUAUUUUUUAGCCUCCCCCGGCCCUGGGUGAAACCAUAAGCUUCUCUGGUGCACAUCCAAAUCAUUCAGUUGGUUCUACUUUCAGCUCACCCACAGGAACAUCAUUCUGCAGGUACUCUUUUAUCUGUACUUUCUUAUAUUGUAUGCCAGUAAAUUUUAUAUCGACAAACUGCACAAUACACCUCGAUCUCAUAUUAUUGACAGGUGAGCUCCUCUCAUAAUGCUCACAGGCGAACCCCUGCAUAUAUACUUUGUGAUGUCAUUGAUGAUCGAUAGACUUGAAAAAAAAUUAUGACAAAGAUUCAUAAAAUAUCUACUUCCAUCCUAAUUCAGUAUUCAAUAUUAUUCAUUCGUAUCAUCAUCCAAUCAAUUCUAAUAGUUCUUCUUUAAAUCAGUACAAAUAUUGUUAAAUACCUGGAUGAUGGUUGUCUUUCCGCGAACCAAUCAUGAAAUUACCUCUGUAUAAAUCCAUCGGAAAUAAGACAGUUAAUAUCCCAAUCGAAUACACCCCGUCAGUUGUCAAACUCCUCGAAACGUAUUAAUCACUUUAGAAAAUUUGUUCCACUGGCGCUAGUCAGUCCCAGAGUUGGUGGUGGGUGCUUCUGGGCUUUCGAAAAGCACCCAUUUACUCCAUUGUUUAGAGAAGUAAAACCCCACCUUCCGCUCAUUUGAUUGAUCAGCUGAAUUAGGCAGAGUUUACAUGGUCAUGAUCAUAGUCUCCCAUAUAUCCCUGAUACGCACAUUAUAGUGGAUUUAUCUUUAUCAGUGAUUUCUGUGGAGAUGCAUAAUCAUUAUAAGCUCCAAUAUAAAAUUUUAAAGUUAGUAUGGGAAUUUGUGUUGAUAAUUUGCGCAAUGUUAACAGGAUUGCUCCCAAGUCUUGGACGGACUCUUUCAAAGUCUUCUCAGGACCCAUCUGCACACUAAUUUGUCUGCCAACUAAAAAAUCAACAAUAUGUUACUCCCUCCGUUUUUCUUAAACUGAGGUUAAAAUUUUUGACACAAGAUGGGUUGACAGUAUAAAAUUAAAAUAUUUGUGAAUAAAAAUUUUGGUUAUAUUUUUUAUUUAAAAAGAAAAUCUUGAAAAUAAUAUUAUUAACUACCAGUCAGAUCACUUAAGUGUAUGUCCAAAAUUAAAGCGGCAUAUAAAAAAAAGGGAGGAAGCAUGUACUAACUGUUUCCAUAACAGUUUACAAGUAUAAGCUAUACCCCCUCUCUAUUUUUUUCUAUGACAGCUUUGAUUUUGGGCACACAUUCUUAAGUGUUUUGACCGGAUAGUUAAAAAUUUAUCUUCUAAAAUUUUUAAAAAAAGUAAAAUCGCAAAAAAAAUUAGAAAGCUGGUAUUUUUGAUAAAUUUCCAAAUAUGUAAUCAAGAAAAAUAACUUUUACUAUCCAAUCAACUCAUUUAAAGAUGUGUGUCAAAAAUCAAAAUAUCAUACAAAAAAUAGGUAUACAUUUUUUUAAUAGAUUAUACUCCCUCUGUUCCAAAAUAAGUGUCAGCUGGGGGUAAUAACAAGACCUUAGUCAACCCAAGCACAGCAGACAGCAGGCAUAAGGCAUCAGGAAUUUCACAGGACCAUUAUCUUUCUCUUAUUAACUGUGAAGGGAACAGCGUAUGAAGUAGCAAGAACCUUCAUAUUUACACAGCCAUUGAUCUGUCGUGCAACAAAUUUCAGGGAGAAAUUCCAAAGGUUACCGGAGAGCUUAGAUGGCUUGCAUUGCUCAAUUUAUCGCAUAAUUAAUAGUCUGACAGGACCUAUCCCAACAUUGCUGAGAAAUAUGAAAUAACUCCAUUACUCCAAUCUUAGAUUUGUCCUCAAAUCAACUGACAGGGGCUAUUCCACCUCUGUUAACUGCAUUGACAUUACUUUUCUCUUUAUAUUCUUUCCUUUUGUAUGUACCUAUGCUAAUUAUCUGAUUAUUAAAAUUAUAACAAAGCUUCAAGAUUUUUAACAGGUGAGCUUCCACUAAAAAUUUGCAAAGUCACUUCCCUUUCGCGUCUCAUUAUGUUAGAUAAUGGGUCAAGUGGUGCACUUCCACAGUGUUUGGGGAACCUUUCUUUGCUUGGUUUCAAUAAUCUUGCUAAUUAUCAAUUUCAAGGACCAAUACCAACGACUGUCCAAGACUUGUCUGUGCAUAUCUAAACAUCCAUAACAAUCACUUUGAAGGUUUGUUGCUCCAAUCUUUGGCAAACUGUAAACACUUACAAAUUCUUGAUAUUGGAAACAACGUUGGAGAGCUAGAUGUCCCAGUUAGGGCGGUAAUUCGACUAGAGCAAACCGAGUUUUGAGCGGAGCCAAAUUCGAGCCAAGUUUAAUCGAGUCGAGCCGAGUCGGCUCGUUUAGCUAAUCGAGCCUAAAACUUAGCCCGAACUCGACUCAUUUAAUUUCACGAGUCGAGUCGAGCCAACUCGUUUAGCUAAAUGAGCUGAUUUUAACAAGUCGAGCGAGCGAGCUCGUAUAAUUUUAACUUAGUCGAGCCUGAAUCUCUACCCAAACUAUUGGCUCGUGUAAUUUCGCGAGUCGAAUCGAGCCGGCUCGUUUUAUUAAACAAGCCGAAAUUUUUGCCCGAAUUUGCUCGUUUAACAAGCCGAUCUGAGCCUAGUUAAAUGAGUUCGAGUUAGUCGAGCUCGCGAGCUGCGAGCUCACCUGCCAGCUCUAGUCCUAGUCUUGCAAUCAAAUAGGUUUAACGGUAUAGAAAGUGGAAGGAGCACAAGGCAUCCAUUCCCCAAGGCUAUUUACCAAUUCAGUACUUUGAGGAUACAAAAUCAUUCUGCAGGUACUCUUGUAUCUGUACUUUCUUGUACUGUAUGCCACUUUGACAGUAGAGUAAAAUUUAUAUCGACAAACUGCAUAUGUUCUGAACUACUCCUCUAUCCCAAAUUAGAUGAGCUAGUUGACUUUGAGCACGUAACUUAAGGUACAUUGACCAACUAGUUCCGAUAUUUAUUUUUUUAAUUUUUCUUUUGUAAAUGAAAAUUUCAUAUUUAAAUUUUUAUUUGCAAAACUAAAAUUUAAAAAUAUGUAAUGUGGCUAUGCGGUCAAUGUCAACGAGCUCAUCUAAUUUGGGAUUGGGAUGCAGGGAGUAUUACGUACUAUGUUAUGCAAGCUGUUUACAACUUUCAUCAAAAUUUUCAAACAUUUCUGAAUAUGUAUUUUCAAAGAAUUCUCGGGCACUCUUAAGGCCUAUAAUUAUUGGAACUCUCACGUUAUGGACCAGAGGACCACUAUGUAUUUUACAAGCACGACGAAUCAUGUGGUCAUUAUGGACUCCCCAAGCCUUAGAGGACUCAUUCCAGGUUUUAGGAGGACCACUGCCUAGCUCACCCUUUCGGAGUGAUGUAAAUUAGUUUCCAGACACUAAAAAUAAGUAAUCAGAUUAAUCAUUACAAAAUUUUGAUAUAAAAUCAGAAUAAAUCCUAAACUUUGAUGAUACAAAAAAAAUUAUAAUUGUAAAUUAUACAAUCAAAUUAAGAUCGAAUUAACUUCCCUCACACUUAAAAUUUAUAGCGAUCAAAUCAAAAUCGAAUUAACUUUCCUAUUACUAAAAUUUAAUUACAAUAUUAUUAGAUAAAGAGAAUAUAUAAUAAUCAAGAGAAAAUAGAUUUUUUUUUGCCACUCAACUUAUUGUGUUUUAAGAAACUUACCACCCAACUAAAUUUUUUUCCUUUUGCUCACUAAUGUUAGGUUUGGAUUUGUUUUUAGCCACCAAAUAAGGUUCGGAUUUGAUUACCAGCAUUAUGAUAAUUUUUUUUGUCACUAAACUUAUUGCGUCUUUAGAAACUAACCACUGAACUAAAUUUUUUUUAUUUUACUCACUAAUGUUAGAUUUAGUUUUUUUUGUCACUAUAGUUAGGUUCAGAUUUGAUUAUUAGCAUUACAUUAAUUCUGUGUAGCAUUUUUAAAAUAUGGUAGUAGUCUGUGAUAUUUAGAUGAUUUGAUAUAUGUCUGUAUUUUUAUAUAUAGUAUAUUUUAUGUCCCCAAGGUCGUUUACCUUGGGUCAUAAAAAUUUUACACUCAUUUUAUGACUUUUAAAAGAUGUAGUUUCAUAAAUAAUUUUAUUUUUUUCUUUCGAAUUAAAAUUCAGCAUUUGAAUUUUACACACAAAAAAAUCGCAAGAAUAAGAUAUGAAACUAUGCUUUACAAGAGUCUUAAAAUACGUGCUAAACGGUAGAAAAAACUGUAAACUAAUGAGAGGUACAUAGGGAGUAAUAAUAACAUAAAAUGAUGCACAAUCAUCGAAUUAAGUUUUCCUCUCUCUAUAUAUUUAUUUUGUAAAUUUUAAUAAGAUAAAGUUAUUAAAAUUUAUGAUAUAAAUUUAAGAGAUAUCUUAGAUUGAGUGGCAAAAAUUUAGUUGGGUGGUAAGUUUCUAAAAACACAAUAAAUUGAGUGGGAACAAAAUCUAUUUUCCCAAUAAUGAGUGGGAAUAAAAUCUAUUUUCCCAAUAAUCAAAGUGACGAAAAAUCAAAGUCAUCUAAUAAGUCCAGAAAAAAUAUGACCAUUAGUAUAUUGAAAUAAUAUUCACGCAUUUAUAUACGAGAAUAUAUGGUCCACAAGUUAGUGCACAAUGUCCAAGAAUCUUUAUCAAAUAACACGGCAAGCAUGCAGCAUAUAAAUAAGAGUGGGCAGUAUGGUAUUGCAUUCAUAACCCACUUGAGCAGAAAUAUGGCACACUUCCUAAAGCCUUCUCACCUUCUUCUCUUUGUUUUCUUUCUCUCGUUACUUCAAUCCAUUCUACCAACAAGACCAGAGGGAGAAGCUCUUGUGAAAUGGAAGAAUAGCCUAGCCCCGUCUUCUUUUCUCGAUUCUUGGUCACUAACCAAUCUCGAUAAUCUUUGUAACUGGACUGGCAUUACUUGUAACUCUGCAGGUUCAGUCUCUGGGAUUAACCUUUAUGAGAAACAACUUGAUGGAAUGCUGUCCGAGUUUGGCUUCACUUCAUUUCCGAAUCUCAACAAUCUCACCCUCGCAUACAACUUCUUCUCGGGUCCAAUACCACCAGCCAUUGAGAAUUUAACACAGCUUCAAUAUCUUGAUUUAAGCAUCAAUAGUCUCGAUGGUCCCAUUCCUUUCCAGGUUAGCCAUCUUCAGAGGUUGCUCGUCCUAAACCUGUCACAGAAUGCAUUGCAAGCUCCAAAUUGGUCCCAUUUCUCUUCCAUGCCUUUUUUGCGCAUCCUCAAGCUCAGUAGGAAUCAUCUUGUAUCNUUUUUAUUUAAAAAGAAAAUCUUGAAAAUAAUAUUAUUAACUACCAGUCAGAUCACUUAAGUGUAUGUCCAAAAUUAAAGCGGCAUAUAAAAAAAAGGGAGGAAGCAUGUACUAACUGUUUCCAUAACAGUUUACAAGUAUAAGCUAUACCCCCUCUCUAUUUUUUUCUAUGACAGCUUUGAUUUUGGGCACACAUUCUUAAGUGUUUUGACCGGAUAGUUAAAAAUUUAUCUUCUAAAAUUUUUAAAAAAAGUAAAAUCGCAAAAAAAAUUAGAAAGCUGGUAUUUUUGAUAAAUUUCCAAAUAUGUAAUCAAGAAAAAUAACUUUUACUAUCCAAUCAACUCAUUUAAAGAUGUGUGUCAAAAAUCAAAAUAUCAUACAAAAAAUAGGUAUACAUUUUUUUAAUAGAUUAUACUCCCUCUGUUCCAAAAUAAGUGUCAGCUGGGGGUAAUAACAAGACCUUAGUCAACCCAAGCACAGCAGACAGCAGGCAUAAGGCAUCAGGAAUUUCACAGGACCAUUAUCUUUCUCUUAUUAACUGUGAAGGGAACAGCGUAUGAAGUAGCAAGAACCUUCAUAUUUACACAGCCAUUGAUCUGUCGUGCAACAAAUUUCAGGGAGAAAUUCCAAAGGUUACCGGAGAGCUUAGAUGGCUUGCAUUGCUCAAUUUAUCGCAUAAUUAAUAGUCUGACAGGACCUAUCCCAACAUUGCUGAGAAAUAUGAAAUAACUCCAUUACUCCAAUCUUAGAUUUGUCCUCAAAUCAACUGACAGGGGCUAUUCCACCUCUGUUAACUGCAUUGACAUUACUUUUCUCUUUAUAUUCUUUCCUUUUGUAUGUACCUAUGCUAAUUAUCUGAUUAUUAAAAUUAUAACAAAGCUUCAAGAUUUUUAACAGGUGAGCUUCCACUAAAAAUUUGCAAAGUCACUUCCCUUUCGCGUCUCAUUAUGUUAGAUAAUGGGUCAAGUGGUGCACUUCCACAGUGUUUGGGGAACCUUUCUUUGCUUGGUUUCAAUAAUCUUGCUAAUUAUCAAUUUCAAGGACCAAUACCAACGACUGUCCAAGACUUGUCUGUGCAUAUCUAAACAUCCAUAACAAUCACUUUGAAGGUUUGUUGCUCCAAUCUUUGGCAAACUGUAAACACUUACAAAUUCUUGAUAUUGGAAACAACGUUGGAGAGCUAGAUGUCCCAGUUAGGGCGGUAAUUCGACUAGAGCAAACCGAGUUUUGAGCGGAGCCAAAUUCGAGCCAAGUUUAAUCGAGUCGAGCCGAGUCGGCUCGUUUAGCUAAUCGAGCCUAAAACUUAGCCCGAACUCGACUCAUUUAAUUUCACGAGUCGAGUCGAGCCAACUCGUUUAGCUAAAUGAGCUGAUUUUAACAAGUCGAGCGAGCGAGCUCGUAUAAUUUUAACUUAGUCGAGCCUGAAUCUCUACCCAAACUAUUGGCUCGUGUAAUUUCGCGAGUCGAAUCGAGCCGGCUCGUUUUAUUAAACAAGCCGAAAUUUUUGCCCGAAUUUGCUCGUUUAACAAGCCGAUCUGAGCCUAGUUAAAUGAGUUCGAGUUAGUCGAGCUCGCGAGCUGCGAGCUCACCUGCCAGCUCUAGUCCUAGUCUUGCAAUCAAAUAGGUUUAACGGUAUAGAAAGUGGAAGGAGCACAAGGCAUCCAUUCCCCAAGGCUAUUUACCAAUUCAGUACUUUGAGGAUACAAAAUCAUUCUGCAGGUACUCUUGUAUCUGUACUUUCUUGUACUGUAUGCCACUUUGACAGUAGAGUAAAAUUUAUAUCGACAAACUGCAUAUGUUCUGAACUACUCCUCUAUCCCAAAUUAGAUGAGCUAGUUGACUUUGAGCACGUAACUUAAGGUACAUUGACCAACUAGUUCCGAUAUUUAUUUUUUUAAUUUUUCUUUUGUAAAUGAAAAUUUCAUAUUUAAAUUUUUAUUUGCAAAACUAAAAUUUAAAAAUAUGUAAUGUGGCUAUGCGGUCAAUGUCAACGAGCUCAUCUAAUUUGGGAUUGGGAUGCAGGGAGUAUUACGUACUAUGUUAUGCAAGCUGUUUACAACUUUCAUCAAAAUUUUCAAACAUUUCUGAAUAUGUAUUUUCAAAGAAUUCUCGGGCACUCUUAAGGCCUAUAAUUAUUGGAACUCUCACGUUAUGGACCAGAGGACCACUAUGUAUUUUACAAGCACGACGAAUCAUGUGGUCAUUAUGGACUCCCCAAGCCUUAGAGGACUCAUUCCAGGUUUUAGGAGGACCACUGCCUAGCUCACCCUUUCGGAGUGAUGUAAAUUAGUUUCCAGACACUAAAAAUAAGUAAUCAGAUUAAUCAUUACAAAAUUUUGAUAUAAAAUCAGAAUAAAUCCUAAACUUUGAUGAUACAAAAAAAAUUAUAAUUGUAAAUUAUACAAUCAAAUUAAGAUCGAAUUAACUUCCCUCACACUUAAAAUUUAUAGCGAUCAAAUCAAAAUCGAAUUAACUUUCCUAUUACUAAAAUUUAAUUACAAUAUUAUUAGAUAAAGAGAAUAUAUAAUAAUCAAGAGAAAAUAGAUUUUUUUUUGCCACUCAACUUAUUGUGUUUUAAGAAACUUACCACCCAACUAAAUUUUUUUCCUUUUGCUCACUAAUGUUAGGUUUGGAUUUGUUUUUAGCCACCAAAUAAGGUUCGGAUUUGAUUACCAGCAUUAUGAUAAUUUUUUUUGUCACUAAACUUAUUGCGUCUUUAGAAACUAACCACUGAACUAAAUUUUUUUUAUUUUACUCACUAAUGUUAGAUUUAGUUUUUUUUGUCACUAUAGUUAGGUUCAGAUUUGAUUAUUAGCAUUACAUUAAUUCUGUGUAGCAUUUUUAAAAUAUGGUAGUAGUCUGUGAUAUUUAGAUGAUUUGAUAUAUGUCUGUAUUUUUAUAUAUAGUAUAUUUUAUGUCCCCAAGGUCGUUUACCUUGGGUCAUAAAAAUUUUACACUCAUUUUAUGACUUUUAAAAGAUGUAGUUUCAUAAAUAAUUUUAUUUUUUUCUUUCGAAUUAAAAUUCAGCAUUUGAAUUUUACACACAAAAAAAUCGCAAGAAUAAGAUAUGAAACUAUGCUUUACAAGAGUCUUAAAAUACGUGCUAAACGGUAGAAAAAACUGUAAACUAAUGAGAGGUACAUAGGGAGUAAUAAUAACAUAAAAUGAUGCACAAUCAUCGAAUUAAGUUUUCCUCUCUCUAUAUAUUUAUUUUGUAAAUUUUAAUAAGAUAAAGUUAUUAAAAUUUAUGAUAUAAAUUUAAGAGAUAUCUUAGAUUGAGUGGCAAAAAUUUAGUUGGGUGGUAAGUUUCUAAAAACACAAUAAAUUGAGUGGGAACAAAAUCUAUUUUCCCAAUAAUGAGUGGGAAUAAAAUCUAUUUUCCCAAUAAUCAAAGUGACGAAAAAUCAAAGUCAUCUAAUAAGUCCAGAAAAAAUAUGACCAUUAGUAUAUUGAAAUAAUAUUCACGCAUUUAUAUACGAGAAUAUAUGGUCCACAAGUUAGUGCACAAUGUCCAAGAAUCUUUAUCAAAUAACACGGCAAGCAUGCAGCAUAUAAAUAAGAGUGGGCAGUAUGGUAUUGCAUUCAUAACCCACUUGAGCAGAAAUAUGGCACACUUCCUAAAGCCUUCUCACCUUCUUCUCUUUGUUUUCUUUCUCUCGUUACUUCAAUCCAUUCUACCAACAAGACCAGAGGGAGAAGCUCUUGUGAAAUGGAAGAAUAGCCUAGCCCCGUCUUCUUUUCUCGAUUCUUGGUCACUAACCAAUCUCGAUAAUCUUUGUAACUGGACUGGCAUUACUUGUAACUCUGCAGGUUCAGUCUCUGGGAUUAACCUUUAUGAGAAACAACUUGAUGGAAUGCUGUCCGAGUUUGGCUUCACUUCAUUUCCGAAUCUCAACAAUCUCACCCUCGCAUACAACUUCUUCUCGGGUCCAAUACCACCAGCCAUUGAGAAUUUAACACAGCUUCAAUAUCUUGAUUUAAGCAUCAAUAGUCUCGAUGGUCCCAUUCCUUUCCAGGUUAGCCAUCUUCAGAGGUUGCUCGUCCUAAACCUGUCACAGAAUGCAUUGCAAGCUCCAAAUUGGUCCCAUUUCUCUUCCAUGCCUUUUUUGCGCAUCCUCAAGCUCAGUAGGAAUCAUCUUGUAUCGAAAUUUCCAGAAUUUAUAUCCAAUUCUCAUAGCUUGGCUAUCCUUGACCUUGGCCAGAACAACUUUACAGGUGAUCUUGUGCGUGAAUUUACCAAUCUACAAAAUCUUGAAACCCUCUGGCUUUAUCGUAAUUCUUUUGAGGGGCCAUUUCCGCCGGAUAUAGUCCAGCUUUCCAAACUAAAAGAUCUUGCCCUGUCAAGUAACAAAUUUUCAGGUUCAGUUCCCAAUAACAUAAGGUUGCUUUGUGAUCUUGAAUACCUAUAUUUAGGCAACAAUUCCUUUAAGGGGCCACUUCCACCAAAUAUAUUUAAGCUUUCAAAAUUAAAACAUCUUGUUCUUUGGAGUAAUAAGUUUUCAGGUUCUGUUUCCAAUGAUAUAGGUUUGCUUCAUGAGCUUGUAACCCUCAAUCUUAACUCUAAUUUUUUUGAGGGGCCGCUUCCGCCAAAUGUAUUCAAGCUCUCCAAACUAAAGUUUUUUGCCCUUCAUGAGAAUAACUUUUCAGGUUUUAUUUCUAAGGAUAUAGGUUUGCUUUCCGAACUUGAAAUCCUCUAUUUUGGCUCUAAUUUUUUUGAGGGGCCGCUUCCUCCACAUGUAUUUAGGCUCUCCAAAUUAAGAGGUCUGGACCUCUCACACAAUAGAAAUUUAUUUGAAGGAAGUAUUCCUAUUGGACUGGGACUCUUGACUAACCUCAGGUACUUAGAUCUACAUUCCAAUAAUCUCGGUGGCUAUAUUCCAUCUGACAUUGGAAACCUGAAGCUACUAGUACUUCUUGAUCUCGGUUCUAAUCAAUUGACUGGACCGCUUUCAAAGAUCGUUUCUAAUCUCACAAAUCUUAUAUGUCUUGAUGUAAGUCAUAAUAGUCUUAGUGGAAAUAUUCAGAGUGACUUGUGGAAAUAUAACGAUCAUCCAACUUUGGAAUACAUCAAUUUAAGUGGGAACCAUUUUACGGGUAUAGUUUUUCUCUAUAGAUCUUUUCCUUUUCUCAUAUGUAACUAAGCUAGUAAUCUGAUUAUUGCAGUUUCACCAAAGUUUCAACAAUCUUGACAGGUGAGCUUCCAACAACAAUUUGCAAUGUCACUUCCCUUUCGGUUCUUGAUUUGUCAAAUAAUGAAUUAAGUGGUGCACUUCCAAACUCUUUGGGGAAUCUUGCUGAUGGAAUGCUUUACCUUAAUCUUGCUAAUAAUCAGUUUCGAGGAACAAUACCAACUACUUUCUCCAGGAGUUGUCGGUUGACAUAUCUAAACAUGGAUAAUAAUGAGUUUGAAGGAUUGUUGCCCCCAUCUUUGGCGAACUGUAAGCACUUGAAAAUUCUUGAUAUAGGCAAUAAUAAAAUAGGUGGUACAUUUCCGUCAUGGCUUUAUGCACUUGGAGAGCUAGAAGUUCUUGUCUUGCGAUCAAAUAAACUCUAUGGUACGAUAAGUGGAAGGAGCAUAGAAGAUCCCUUCCCCAAGUUGCGGAUUGUGGAUCUGUCCCACAAUCAAUUGACAGGCUAUUUGCCAAUUCAAUACUUUAAGAAUAUGAAAUCAACUGAUAAUUUGUAUCGUUAUCGGAAUUCCACAGGACCAUUAUCUUUCUCUUAUGAAGCAGCAGUCUCAUUAACUGUGAAGGGAACAGAGUACGAGGUAGCAAAGAACCUUCAUAUUUACACAGCCAUUGACCUGUCGUGCAACAAAUUUCAGGGAGAAAUUCCAAAGGUUACUGGAGAGCUUAGAUGGCUUGCAUUGCUGAAUUUAUCUCAUAAUAGUCUGACAGGACCUAUCCCAUCCUUGCUGAAAAAUAUGAAAGAACUCCAAUCUUUAGAUUUGUCCUCAAAUCAACUGACAGGGGCUAUUCCACCUCAGUUAACUGCAUUGACAUUUCUGGAGGUCUUCAACCUCUCGGGAAACCAUCUUAGUGGAGAGAUUCCUCAGAAAGGGCAGUUCAGCACAUUUAACAAUGAUUCUUAUCUAGGAAACUCCGCGUUAUGUGGAUCACCUUUGACAAAGAAAUGUGCAAACACAGCAUCACCUCCACAAGAAGUCGGAAAUGGUGAUGAAGAUGAUGCUGGUGAUGAAUGGACAUGGGAAGCAAUCGUGAUGGGAUAUGGAUGUGGACUGAUAUGUGGAUUGUCAUCUGCGUACAUUGUUCUCAAACUAGGAAAGCCUUGGUGGUUUGUGAGAUAUAUCGAAGUGCUGCAACUGAAGUUGAUGAAAAGAUAUGCUUGAAAAAUUGUACUGGCCGAUCAAGACGAACUUGAAAGUUGUUGUCCUUGUGGACAUUUCUGAACCAGUAGUGUACUAGCUGCAUAAGUAUUUGGUAUUAUGUAAUAAUCCGUUUGGUCAGGACUCAUAAUGAUUUCUCUUGCUUCAGGGGUAUUAAUAUUAACCUUGCUAGUUAAUUCAAAUUAAAACAAAUAUAAAAUCAAAAAAUUUGCAUCAAACACCUGUUAUACCAACAUCCAUUAAUUUGCUUUCAUCUCUUACGUAACAAUUUAACAGCGAUUCCACACUGUUUUAGGCAUGGAGAUUACACAAAGAAGGCAAGUCCAUGAACUAAUAUAUUAACCCGUAGUCCACAUCUAUGCUACGAACAAUUCAUAUUGGUCUUCCAUCUAUUCAACCGUCUCCCGAAGAUAGGCCAAAAAUGUCAUCUGUGGUUCUUAUCUUUGUCAGUAAAGGAGAAUCUCUGAUGCCUAUACAACCUGGUUUUCUUACAGAAAGGAAUGUAGGUGAAACCAGGGGCAUAAAAUGAAUCGGGACUAAAAUCUGCUAAAAUGAUAAUUAUUUACUCAUCAUUCGAGAUUAGUCGGGCUCAAAUGAAGAUUUAUAUGGAUUUUAAGAACAAACUAUGACUAAAUAUGAAAACUAGACAACCUGGUUUUCUUACAGAAAGGAAUGUAGGUGAAACCAGGGGCGUAAAAUGAAUCGGGACUAAAAUCUGCUAAAAUGAUAGUAAUUAUUUACUCAUCAUUCAAGAUUAGUCGGGCUCAAAUGAAGAUUUAUAUGGAUUUUUAAGAACAAACUAUGACUAAAUAUGAAAAAAAUCAUUAAUUUUUCCGACUCAAUAUUUUUUAGCCUCCCCCGGCCCUGGGUGAAACCAUAAGCUUCUCUGGUGCACAUCCAAAUCAUUCAGCUGGUUCUGCAGGUACUCUUCUAUCUGUACUUUCUUAUAUUGUUUGCCAGUACAUUUUAUAUCGACAAACUGCACAAUACACCUCGAUCUCAUACACAGGUGAACUCCUGCAUAUGCUUUGUGAUGUCAUUGAUGAUCGAUAGACUUGAAAAAAAAUUAUGACAAAGAUUCAUAAAAUAUCUACUUCCAUCCUAAUUCAGUAUUCAAUAUUAUUCAUCCCGUAUCAUCAUCCAAUCAAUUCUAAUAGUUCUUCUUUAAAUCAGUACAAAUAUUGUUAAAUACCUCGAUGAUGGUUGUCUUCCCGUGAACCAAUCAUAAAAUUACCUCUGUAUAAAUCCAUCGGAAAUAAGACAGUUAAUAUCCCAAUCGAAUACACCCCGUCAGUUGUCAAACUCCUCGAAACGUAUUAAUCACUUUAGAAAAUUUGUUCCACUGGCGCUAGUCAGUCCCAGAGUUGGUGGUGGGUGCUUCUGGGCUUUCGAAAAACACCCAUUUACUCCAUUGUUUAGAGAAGUAAAACCCCACCUUCCGCUCAUUUGAUUGAUCAGCUGAAUUAGGCAGAGUUUACAUGGUCAUGAUCAUAGUCUCCCAUUUCCCAGAUACGCGAAUUAUAGUGGAUUUAUCUUUAUCAGUAAUUUCUGUGGAGAUGCAUAAUCAUUAUAAGCUCCAAUAUAAAAAUUUAAAGUUAGUAUGGGCAUUUGUGUUGAUAAUUUGCGCAAUGUUAACAGGAUUGCUCCCAAGUCUUGGACGGACUCUUUCAAAGUCUUCUCAGGACCCAUCUGCACACUGAUUUGUCUGCCAACUAAAAAAUCAACAAUAUGUUACUCACUCCGUUUUUCUUAAACGAGGUUAAAAUUUUUGACACAAGAUGGGUUGACAGUAUAAUAAAAUUAACAUUUUUGUGAAUAAAAAUUUUGGUUGUAUUAUUUUAUUUAGAAAAAGAAAAUCUUGAAAAUAAUAUUAUUAACUACCCAGUCAAAUCACUUAAAAGUAUAUGUCCAAAAUUAAAGCGGCAUAUAAAAAAACCGAGAGAGAGUAUGUACUAACCUGUUUCCAUAACAGUUUACAAGUAUAAGUUAUACUCCCUCUCUAUUUUUUUAUAUGACGCUUUGAUUUUGGGCACAUAUUUUUAAGUGUUUUGACCGGAUAAUUAAAAAUAUUAUUUUCUAAAAUUUUUAAAAGAAAGUAAAAUUGAAAAAAAAAUAGAAAGCUGGUAUUUUUGAUAAAUUUCCAAACAUAAUCAAGAACAAUAAUUUUUACUAUCCAAUCAACUCAUUUACAGAUGUGUGUCAAAAAUCAAAAUAUCAUAUAAAAAACAACAAUAUGUUACUCCCUCCGUUUUUCUUAAACUGAGGUUAAAAUUUUUGACACAAGAUGGGUUGACAGUAUAAAAUUAAAAUUUUUGUGAAUAAAAAUUUUGGUUAUAUUUUUUAUUUAAAAAGAAAAUCUUGAAAAUAAUAUUAUUAACUACCAGUCAGAUCACUUAAGUGUAUGUCCAAAAUUAAAGCGGCAUAUAAAAAAAAGGGAGGAAGCAUGUACUAACUGUUUCCAUAACAGUUUACAAGUACAAGUUAUACUCCCUCUCUAUUUUUUCUAUGACGCUUUGAUUUUGGGCACACAUUCUUAAGUGUUUUGACCGGAUAGUUAAAAAUUUAUCUUCUAAAAUUUUUAAAAAGAAGUAAAAUCGCAAAAAAAAUUAGAAAGCUGGUAUUUUUGAUAAAUUUCCAAAUAUGUAAUCAAGAACAAUAACUUUUACUAUCCAAUCAACUCAUUUAAAGAUGUGUGUCAAAAAUCAAAAUAUCAUACAAAAAAUAGGUAUACAUUUUUUUUAAUAGAUUAUACUCCCUCUGUUCCAAAAUAAUUGUCAGCUGUGACAUUUUGCAAAAGUAGCUGGGGGGUAAUAACAAGACCUUAGUCAACCCAAGCACAGCAGACAGCAGGCAUAAGGCAUCAGGAAUUUCACAGCACCAUUAUCUUUCUCUUAUUAACUGUGAAGGGAACAGAGUAUGAAGUAGCAAGAACCUUCAUAUUUACACAGCCAUUGAUCUGUCGUGCAACGAAUUUCAGGGAGAAAUUUCAAAGGUUACUGGAGAGCUUAGAUGGCUUGCAUUGCUCAAUUUAUCUCAUAAUAGUCUCACAGGACCUAUCCCAUCAUUGCUGAGAAAAAUGAAAGAACUCCAAUCUUUAGAUUUGUCCUCAAAUCAACUGACAGGGGCUAUUCCACCUCAGUUAACUGCAUUGACAUUACUUUUCUCUUUAUAUCCUUUCCUUUUGUAUGUACCUAUGCUAAUUAUCUGAUUAUCAAAAUUAUAACAAAGCUUCAAGAUUUUUAACAGGUGAGCUUCCACUAAAAAUUUGCAAAGUCACUUCCCUUUCGCGUCUCAUUAUGUCAGAUAAUGGGUCAAGUGGUGCACAUCCACAGUGUUUGGGGAACCUUUCUUUGCUUGGUUUCAAUAAUCUUGCUAAUUAUCAAUUUCAAGGACCAAUACCAACGACUGUCCAAGACUUGUCUGUGCAUAUCUAAACAUCCAUAACAAUCACUUUGAAGGUUUGUUGCUGCAAUCUUUGACAAACUGUAAACACUUACAAAUUCUUGAUAUUGGAAACAACAAAAUAGGUGGUACAUUUCGGUCAUGGCUAUUUAUUUUGGAGAGCUAGAUGUCCUAGUUAGGGCGGUAAUUCAACUAGAGCAAACCGAGUUUUGAGCGGAGCCAAAUUCGAGCCAAGUUUAAUCGAGUCAAGCCGAGUCGGCUCGUUUAGCUAAUCGAGCCUAAAACUCUGCCCGAACUCGACUCGUUUAAUUUCACGAACGAGUCAAGCGAGUGAGCUCGUAUAAUUUUAACUUAAUCGAGCCUAAAUCUCUACCCGAACUAUUGGCUCGUGUAAUUUCGCGAGUAGAAUCGAGCCGGCUCGUUUUAUUAUAGAAGCCGAAAUUUUUGCCCGAAUUUGGCUUGUUUAACAAGCCGAUCUUUCAUCAAAAAUUUCAAACAUUUCUGAAUAUGUAUUUUCAGAGAAUUUCUCCAGCACUCUUAAGGCCUAUAAUUAUUGCAACUCUCACGUUAUGGACCACUGUGUAUUUUACAAGCACGACGAAUCAUGUUGUCAUUAUGGACUCCCCAAGCCUUAGAGGACUCAUUCCAGGUCUUAGGAGGACCACUGCCUAGCUCACCCUUUCGGAGUGAUGUAAAUUAUUUUCCAAACAUUAAAAAUAAAUAAUCAGAUUAAUCAAUACAAAAUUAAAGAUAUAAAAUCAGAAUAAAUCCUAAACUUUGAAUAUACAAAAAAAAUUAUAAUUGUAAAUUAUACAAUCAAAUUAAAAUUGAAUUAACUUCCCUCACACUUAAAAUUUAUAGCGAUCAAAUCAAAAUCGAAUUAACUUUCCUAUUACUAAAAUUUAGUUACAAUAUUAUUAGAUAAAGAGAAUAUAUAAUAAUCAAGGGAAAAUAGAUUUUUUUUUUUUGCCACUCAACUUAUUGUUUUUUAAGAAACUUACCACCCAACUAAUUAUUUUUUCCUUUUGCUCACUAAUGUUAGGUUUGGAUUUGUUUUUAGCCACCAACUAAGGUUCGGAUUUGAUUACUAGCAUUAUGAUAAUUUUUUUUGUCACUAAACUUAUUGUGUCUUUAGAAACUAACCACUCAACUAAUUUUUUUUUAAUUUACUCACUAAUGUUAGGUUCAGUUUUUUUUUGUCACUGAAGUUAGGUUCGGAUUUGAUUAUUAGCAUUACAUUAAUUCUGUGUAGCAUUUUUAAAAUAUGGCUCAUAAGAAUUUUACACGCAUUUUAUGACUUUUAAAAGAUGUAGUUUCAUUAAUAAUUUUAUUUUUUUCUUCCGAAUUAAAAUUUAGCGUUUGAAUUUUACACACAAAAAAUCGAAAGAAUAAGUUAUGAAAGUAUGCUUUAUAAGAGUCUUAAAAUACGUGCUAAACGGUAGAAAAAACUGUACACUAAUGACAGGUAAAUAGGGAGUAAUAAUAACAUAAAAUGAUGCACAAUCAUCGAAUUAAGUUUUCCUCUCUCUAUAUAUUUAUUUUGAAAAUUUUAAUAAGAUAAAGUUAUUAAAAUUUAUGAUAUAAAUUUAAGAGAUAUCUUAGAUUGAGUGGCAAAAAUUUAGUUGGGUGAUAAAUUUCUAAAAACACAAUAAAUUGAAUGGGAACAAAAUCUAUUUUCCCGAUAAUCAAAGUGACGAAAAAUCAAAGUCAUCUAAUAAGUCCAGAAAAAAUAUGACCAUUAGUAUAUCGGAAUAAUAUUCACACAUUUAUAUACGAGAAUAUAUGGUCCACAAGUUAGUGCACAAUGUCCAAGAAUCUUUAUUAAAGUAACACGGCAAGCAUGCAGCAUAUAAAUAAGAGUGGGCACUGGGCAGUAUGGUAUUGCAUUCAUAACCCACUUGAGGAGAAAUAUGGCACACUUCCUAAAGCCUUCUCACCUUCUUCUCUUUGUUUUCUUUCUCUCGUUACUUCAAUCCAUUCUACUAACAAGACCAGAGGGAGAAGCUCUUGUGAAAUGGAAGAAUAGCCUUGCCCCUUCUUCUUUUCUCGAUUCUUGGUCACUCACCAAUCUCGAUGAUCUUUGUAACUGGACUGGCAUUACUUGUAACUCUGCAGGUUCAGUCUCUGAGAUUAACCUUUAUGAGAAACAACUUGAUGGAAUGCUGUCCGAGUUUAGUUUCACUUCAUUUCCAAAUCUUAACAGUCUCACUCUCGCAUACAACUUCUUCUCGGGUCCAAUACCACCAGCCAUUGAGAAUUUAACACAGCUUCAAUAUCUUGAUUUAAGCAUCAAUAGUCUCGAUGGUCUCAUUCCGUUCCAGGUUAGCCAUCUUCAGAGGUUGCUCGUCUUAAACCUGUCACAGAAUGCAUUGCAAGCUCCAAAUUGGUCCCAAUUCUCUCCCAUGCCCUUUUUGUGCAGCCUCAACCUCAGUAGCAAUCCUCUUGCGUCGAAAUUCCCAAAUUUCAUAUCCAAUUCUCAUGGCCUGACUCACCUUAGCCUUGAUCAAAACGAGUUUACAGGUGAUUUAGCGCGUGAAUCAAUAUUUGCCAAUCUGCAUAAUCUUGAAGUCCUCAGUCUUGUUGGCAAUUCUUUUGAGGGGCCAUUUCUGCCAAAUAUAUUCAAGCUUUCCAAAUUAAAACGUCUCACCCUGUCAAGUAACAAAUUUUUAGGAUCAAUUCCCAAUGACAUAAGGUUGCUUUGUGAUCUUGAAUUCCUGUAUUUAGGAAACAAUUCUUUUGAAGGACCGCUUCCACCAAAUAUAUUCAAGCUUUCAAAAUUAAAACAUCUUGUUCUUUGGAGUAAUAAGUUUUCAGGUUCUGUUUCCAAUGAUAUAGGUUUGCUUUCUGCGCUUGAACUUUUGAAUCUUCACUCUAAUUUUUUUGAGGGGCCGCUUCCGCCAAAUGUAUUCAAGCUCUCUAAACUAAGGUUUCUUAACCUCUGGGGUAACAACUUUUCAGGUUCUGUUUCCAAUGAUAUAGGUUUGCUUCCGGAGCUAGAAAUCCUCAAUCUUCACUCUAAUUUUUUUGAGGGCCGCUUCCGCCAAAUAUAUUCAAGCUCUCUAAACUAAGGUUUCUUAACCUUUGGGGUAAUAACUUUUCAGGUUCUGUUUCCAAUGAUAUAGGUUUGCUUCCUGAGCUAGAAUUCCUCAAUCUUCACUCUAAUUUUUUUGAGGGUCCGCUUCCGCCAAAUGUAUUCAAGCUCUCUAAACUAAAGUUUCUUCAUCUUCGAGGUAAUAAGUUUUCAGGUUCUGUUUCCAAUGAUAUAGGUUUGCUUCCUGAGCUUGAAAUCCUCAAUCUUCGCUCUAAUUUUUUUGAGGGGCCGCUUCCGCCAAAUGUAUUCAAGCUCUCCAAACUAAGGUUUCUUUCCCUUAAGGAAAAUAAAUUUUCAGGUUCUGUUUCCAAUGAUAUAGGUUUCCUUUCUGAGCUUGAAUACCUAUAUCUUGACUAUAAUUUAUUUGAAGGAAGUAUUCCUAUUGGACUGGGACUCUUGACUAACCUCAGCUACUUAGAUCUAAGUUCCAAUAAUCUCAGUGGCUAUAUUCCAUCUGACAUUGGAAACCUGAAGCUACUAGUAUUUCUUGAUCUCAGUUCUAACCAAUUGACUGGACCGCUUUUAAAGAUCGUUUCUAAUCUCACAAAUCUUAUGAAUCUUGAUGUAAGUGAUAAUAGUCUUAGUGGAAAUAUUCAGAGUGACUUGUGGAAGAACUCUAUAUCCUUACGUUACAUUAAUUUUGCAAAUAAUUAUUUGUCUGGGAACAUUCCUAAGGAAUACAACGAUCAUCCAACUUUGGAAUACAUCAAUUUAAGUGGGAACCAUUUUACAGGUAUAUUUUUCUCUAUAUAUCUUUUCCUUUUCUCAUAUGUAACUAAGCUGGUAAUCUGAUUAUUGCAGUUUUACCAAAGUUUCAACAAUCUUGACAGGUGAGCUUCCAACAACAAUUUGCAAUGUCACUUCCCUUGCGGUUCUUGUUUUGUCAAAUAAUGGAUUAAGUGGAGCACUUCCAAAUUGUUUCGGGAAACUUGCUGAUAGAUUGCUUUCCAUUAAUCUUGCUAAUAAUCAGUUUCGAGGAACAAUACCAACUACUUUCUCCAGGAGUUGUCAGGUGAAAUAUCUAAACAUGGAUAAUAAUGAGUUUGAAGGAUUCUUGCCCCCAUCUUUGGCGAACUGUAAGCACUUGAAAAUUCUUGAUAUUGGCAAUAACAAAAUAGGUGGUCCAUUUCCGUCAUGGCUUUAUGUACUUGGAGAGAUAGAAGUCCUUGUCUUGCGAUUAAAUAAACUCUAUGGUACAAUAAGUGGAAGGAGCGUAAAAGAUCCCUUCCCCAAGUUGCGGAUUGUGGAUCAAUAGACAUCGGCUAAAAAGCGAUGUCUAUGUAAAAUCAGACCGAUGUCUUCGUGGGUGAUGAGAAAAGUAAGUGCAUUACACAUCGCUUUCUAGCCGAUGUCUAUAACCUAUUUACACAUCGUUUAAUAUGACAAUCUGAUGUAUUUUUUAACAGUAGAUACCUUCACUAUAAUUUCAGUUCCUCAUUCCUAUGCCCUCUAUAUCAUUUUAAACUUGUCACAUGCUUAAUAAAAUGAUACUUUAACAUCUUAAAACUUGUAAAAUAGAUGUAUAUGAUAACCUUUUACAUCAUGCUUUUAUAGGAAGUGAUGUGGUACCCUUCUUUUCUUUAAGAAAGCGAUGUCUUUGUUCUUGUUUUACAUCAGUGAUUUUUAUACUCUGAUAUCUAUUAUAUAGUUUAACAUCAGGCUUUUUCUUGUUAACUGAUAUGUAUUCAUUCUUAUGACAUCGCUUACUAAGUGAUGUAAAUGUUAGUUUUAAAUUGCCAUGAAUCCUCCUGUUUCUUAUGAAUCCCCCUGUUUCAUUUAAAUUUCCAACAAAUUCCAAAACAACACCAAAGCUAUACUAAUUAAACAACCAAUUACCAAUGUCUAGCCUACCAUAACAGAACUAAAACAAAACUAGCUAGCAAAACAAUACUUCCGCAAAAGCCAAAUAUAUUACCAUCAAUCAUUACCAAUCAAAUUACAUCCCACAAUCAAAGAAACUGCACAAAUCCUAAAUAUUAACCAAGCAACCAUAAUUUACAAGCAGUUCACCACGUACUCCAGCAACCAUAAUUUACCAACUACAUUUCCCUCCAUUUAUCAACAAAAUCUACUUAGCUAGCUAGUGUCACUGUCUUACAUAAACUGAACUAAUUAAAGGAAACCAAAGUUCUCCAAUAAACCAAAGGCCUGUUUAUAAGAAGGACUCGAUAUGGCUAAGUGUCUCAAACCGAACCUCGUCAAGCUCAGCCUUGGAACAAAUCACUUUUCGAUUCUUGGAUGCCCACUGAAAAAUGUAAAACAAUAACAUUGAAUUAUACCUAAAUUUAUAUGUACACCAUUUAAUUAUAUCAACAAUGGAUUAGGCAAAGAAAAAUACCCUUUUAAAAAAUGUCAUUUCAUUGUCCAUGACAAUCUCUUUCAUAUACCGCAUAAUAACAUAGCCGCAUUCAGUUCCACCGGGCUGUUUAGGACAUCCCUAUUUAACCAAAAAAAACUCAAAAUAGUAAGUAAAGUAAUGCCCCUGGUUCUAAGCAUCAGUAGCACAAAUUGUUAAAAAUAAAUACGAAAGCUUACUGUAAUAUAUUUGAAGCUUGGGGCUUUAUUUCCCCUUCCGGCCUGAACAUUGAAAGUAAUCACAGCCCUGUCAUCUUGGCAGUGUUAAUAAUGCACAUGCAUUUAUAUCUCCAUAAGAAAGAUAAUCAAUAAAAAAAUAAAUGAAAAUACCUUGAUAUUGCUUUUUCCAAGUUGGGGAAACUAGUUGAACGAGGCAGAGGAUUAAGUAUGAAAACCUCGCCACCCCAAAACAGAACCAAUACCCAAUGGAAACUAUUUUUAACAAAUAUUUAUGAAAAACACAAUUACUAUCAAAAUCAUAUAAAUUUUAUUUUCAGUCAUGUAAAAAACUAAAUAAAAGAGAUUUAUAAUAAAUAAGAAAACACUUAAGCUACUUACUUGCUAUUAUGCGGCAUCAAAAAGAGACGAUCAGGAUUACCCUCUUUAAAUCGAUUAACCAAGUUAUCUUCAAAAGAAUUGUUCAUCAAGUUCAGCGAGGCUCCAGGAUCACAAAAAGCAAAUUGAUCCUUAGUGCCAUUUUCACGAACCACGCAAUGCAAGUAUCUACAUUGUAAAUGAAAUGAAAUUAUAUAAAAUUACACGAAUAUGAAUUAUAACUAAACAACAGUCAUGAUCUAGAAGACAGUAAUUAAAAAAAGUUUACUCACGCCAUGUAUGCAGCAAUUGCUGCUUGGCCAAUCAUAUUAAACUCCAGCAAGGCGACUAUGUUUUCAUACAAGAUGAAGAUUCUUUUCUCGAUACCAAACACCUCAGCAUCACACGGGAUUUGAAUUGAGUCUCCGGAGGAUUGCAUAAAUGUUGUUGCAUGUUUAUACAACAACCGAAAGCGUUUUGGAACAUUUUUAUUGAUCUCCAUGUUAUGAAACAAGGACUGGACUUUAUCUAAAUCGGUUUUAGGUUCCUUUACUUUCCGUUUACCUUUCUGAAAAAUGAACAAAAUUAAUUUAAAACAAAAUAUAACAAAAUAUAGGGGUAACAUAUAAUAGUACAAUCCAGUACAACAAUUAUGUUAAAGUACACACCAUAGUAGGAAUAGUAGGAGGGGCAUUUGGGAAUAUGAUCAAGUCGCGGGGCCAUGAGACGUACGAGCCAACAGCUUGCUCUACUGUUUCAAUCUCACCUGGUACCGGUUUAGGAAUCUUGGCUUGUCCUUGAAUUGGGCCAUCCACUGAGACGCGAACACAUCCAGGCUCUAUCGGCACUCCAUGUAUAGAUUUGUUCAUGUUAUCAUCAUCAAACAACAAACCAAAUGCCACUUUAUUUUCUAUUGUGCCUACAGCCAACUCACAUUUUCGUGGACCGGCCUACACACAUAUAUUUAAACAAUUAUGACGAAUGCUUGAAAUAUGUUGAGCUAAAUUGAAUAAAUGUGCUAGUUAUUUUACCUUAUUCUCUGGUGGAUUAGGUUCCAAGUCAACUUCAAUCAUCUCUGGUUCCAGUUUUUUCACCACCUCUGUCUUAGCUUCUUUGACAGUGUUUGCCUCACAACUUGCUUUAUCAGAAGCAAUAGGAGAUGAAAUAUUUGCUUUGCUGAGCAAGGCCUUCAUUUCAGCCAUCUCCUGCCUUGUCUUCUCCAUUUCCAUGGCCAUCUCUUUCUUGGCUUUCUCCAGCUCCGCGUCCCUCUCUCGAUCCCUCUCCAACAACUCAGCUUUGGUGAUUCUAUUUCUUCUUCCUGGUGGUAUAUUAAAAAAAAUUGACGGGCUCACAAAGCCUCCAACUCCUCGAACCCUCCCCGAAUGUUCAGGAGUUUGUAGGGCCGUAGUCAACACAUCUCGACUCCCAGAAGGAGUGAAUUCCCCCUUACUUUGCUGCUCUAGUAAAAUAUUCUGACAUGAAAAAUAUGAACAUACAAAUCAUCAUCUAGUGAACCUCAUCAUCAAUAUUAACUUUAAUUUUACGAGCCUUUUAAUUAUAAAUACUCACAAUUCUUUUUCCUAUUUCAGCUAGGUCUGAAUCCUCAUCAUCAGCAUCAUCAGCCUCAUCAUCAUCAUCAACAUUAUCAUUAUCAUCAUCAAUUUUAAUUUUACGAGCCUUUUGCCACAUGAGAGCCCGAUCAGGUUCUUCAUCGGCAGCCAAAGUUCCUUUCUUGAUCUGAUUAAAAUCAAAAAAAAAUUAAAAAGGCCAAGAUAUGUAAAAUACAAUUAUUUAGGUUCAAUGCUUAAAAUACAACUAUUUUUAUACCUCUUCUUCCAAUAAUCCAAUGUAACCCUUUCUUGAUGUCCGGUGAGGAUAUUUUCGAUUACUCACCCUCAGCUUUUGUUUUUCACUAAAAGACUUCAAAUAUUUUAAAUAAUAUUAGAAUACUAUUUUUCAGAAUAUAAAAAGACAUUUAUAUCACAAUAAAGCAGAACAUAAAAUAUAUUUCAUACCAGAAAUUUCGAGGUAGUCCUCUCAGCAACAAAAUUUUUCCAAGCCUCCUUUCCAACAAAAGCAUACUUCUUUGGAGGCUUUCGUAAUUUCUUCUUCUGCCCAAGAUACGGCCUCACAUAAUCUCUUGUUAAAUUUGCUUUAAAAUUCCUCCACUUUGCUCCUGCAGACCUGAUCAACCCCUUCUCAAGUUGCUUAGGAACUUUAAAUGUCUCCUGCAACCAAUGUUAAUUGACAAAAUUUACAAAAUUAUACUCUAAAUGAGUAGAAGAAAAUGCAAAAUUUACAAAAUGCAUAGGAGAUUACUUAUUUUUAUACCUUCACAUCAAUCCAUAUUUUCUCCUUUAGUUCAUCAGGUACCUUUGACCAGUUAGGAUAAUCAAUCGGAAUCAUUGUCCUAGCCAACAUUCCAGUGUAGGAUUGUAGACUGUGCCUUGCAUCCCCUGUAGGAACUCCAUGUGCAUUACAUGAAACCUUUGUUUUCUUGCCCUGCGCCUUCCUCACCACCACUUUAUACAUAGCAGAAACCCCUCGGGCACCCCCACGCUUUUUCUUUGCUGUUUCAGAUGUUGUAACUGUUGCAUCCGUUUCCUCCACAGAAUUCACAUUUUCUCCCUGAGGUUCUGUUGUCAGCUCCAACCUUUUAUCUGAUGCCUCAUCCGACUUUUUGGAGUCUUCAUGGAAUUGUACUUUGGUUUUUUGCUUUUUAUUUGCCAUUUAUCUUCUUCAAUCUGAAAAUGAAACAUAUAUAAUCCAUUAGUCACAGGCAUAUAUACGAGCAAUUACAGGAUAAGCAGUUAUAAAGUUACAUAAGCCUACAUAAGCCGUUACAAAAUUGUAAAAAUGCAUAACUAAACAUUUACACAGAGUGAAAAUUACAGGAGUCUAAUUACACAGAGUAAAUUACAAAGUUGCAUCACAUAUAUUACAUGACUUGAAAUAAUGUUAUCACAGAGUAAAUUACAAAGUCUCAUCACAAAAUUAACUAUUACAUGACUUGAAAUAAUGUUAUCACUUCUUAACCCAAGUGCCCUUAAUAUUUUCUCUAAUACUUUUCUCAACAUCAUCACCGACAUCACAUGUAGGAAUUUGGCAGCAGAAUGGAGGAUUUUCCAUGGUUGUGUCUCCUAAAUCAUCAUCGUUAUACACCUCUUGGUAGUCUCGAGUUGUAGAGGUUAAUACGACGGACCACUUGGCAUCCACCGGAUCUUCAAUAUAAUAAACUUGCUUUACUUGAUCUAUAGACACGUAUUUAUCUCUCUUGUGGCCUUGUCGACUUAGAUCGACAAGUGUGAACCCAAGAUCAUCCACCUUAAUUCCCUUGUCAUUGUCCGCCCAAUUACAUAAAAACAGUGGGGCUUUGAAUGCAUGAUAAUCCAGCUCCCAUAUAUCUAGGAUAACACCAUAAAAUGUCAAGUCACUUUCUACGGGGUUUAAAUCUUUAGCGCUAGACACUUGGACAGUUUUAGCAACUAAAGACACUCCGCUGUUUUGAACUACCCUCACAUUGUCUCGCUGUUUUGUAAAGUAUCGGACCCCGUCUACUAGAUAAGCUUCGUAAGUCAUAACUGAAAAUGAUGGUUUUCCAGCUAUCCAUCUUACUGUCUCUGAAACUCCUCCAGGAUUCUCCACCAUUUCACUACUGACCUACACAUUUCAUAAACAGAAAUUAUCCUAAAUUACUAUAGAGAAAAUAAAUUAGGCACAAAUGAAACUAUAAAAAUACUAACUUUUUCUAGAAACCAAUCAGCAAAACUGUUAUUGUGCUCUCUCAAGAGCCAAUGAACGCUUUUCUUUUUCCCACGAUGGAUUUCCUCUAGAUACUCCUUAUGCAUUCUGCCAAAAAUUAUAUAUUCAUUAAAGAAGUAGUUUAUACAGAAUGUAUAUAUUAAUUGAACAGCCACAAAAUUAAAAAAAUCUUACAAGAUAUAUGGCUGUACUUCAAGGUUGUUUAGAAGAACGUGUAAAUGAGCUUCAUCCCUCUCUUUUUCUUCGAUUGAUUUCAUUACCGCAACAGAUAAUGGACCACUUAACUUGCCUUCAUCUUUGCGAAGACCAGCAGUGGUGCAAGUUUGCUUGACAAACUCUUGGCAGAAUUCAAUCGAUUCUUCUCCAAGAUAACAUUCUGCUAUACAACCUUCGGGGUAGUAACGAUUGCGUACGUAACUCUUCAACACCUUAUUAAACCUCUCAAAUGCAUACAUCCAUCUAUAGAAGACUGGCCCACAUAACCGUAAUUCCCGAACCAAGUGCACUAUGAGAUGUAUCAUUACAUCAAAAAAUGAUGCAGGAAAAAUUUUUUCUAGCUCGCACAAAGUUACUAUUACAUCUGAUUGCAAUUUAUCUAGUUUAGAUACGUCGACAACUUUGCUGCAUAAAGCAUUAAAGAAGAAACACAAUCUAAUUAUUGUGACCCUGACUUUUUUUGGAAGUACCGCGCGAAUUGCAAUAGGAAGUAAUUGUUGAAGUAGGAUGUGGCAAUCGUGGGACUUCAACCCAAACAUUUUUAAUUCUUCCAUGGAAACACAGUUUUUAAUGUUUGACGCGUGUCCAUAAGGAAGUUUCAUGUGCAUUAACGAUGACAACAUCUUCUUCUUUUCUGCCUUGGACAAAUUAAAAAUCGAAGGAGGUAAAUAGGUCUUUCUUUCUCCUUUUUGUGGAGCUAGAUCAGCCCUAACCCCCAUGUCAAUCAUGUCAAGACGAGAAGCUUCACUAUCUUUAGACUUAUGUUUCAUAUUCAGUAGUGUGCCAAUCAAGCUAUCACACACGUUUUUCUCCACGUGCAUAACAUCUAGACAAUGACGGACAUGGUGAAAUUUCCAAUACUCUAACUCGAAGAAAAUUGACUUUUUCUUCCAUGGACAGUCAACCUUCUUUGACUUCCUUACUUCUUUCCCAAACUGAAAUUCAAUUUUUUCUUGCUGCAAUAAAACCUCUUCUCCCGAAAGAGGUUGACGUGCCUGCCCUAAUUCUUGUUGUCCAUUAAAAGCAGCUUUUUGCUUCCUAUAUGGAUGAUUUCUAGCCAAGUAACGUCGAUGACCUUGGUAACACAUCUUCCUACUAUGGCUUAAAUACUUUGCAACAGUAUCAUCACCACAUAUUGGACAAGACAUAUAACCUUUAUUAACACAUCCGGACAGAUUUCCAUAUGCGGGAAAGUCGUUUAUUGUCCACAAUAAAAUUGCUUUUAAAGUGAAAUACGACUUAGUGUGUGCAUCAUAGACAUUUGGUUCACCUUCCUCCCACAACUUCUUUAAAUCAUCGAUUAGAGGCUGUAAAUAUACAUCAAGGUCAUUACCAGGCUCAUGAGGACCGGGAACUAAAACUGUUAGCAUCAUAAACUUCCUCUUCAUGCAUAACCACGGAGGAAGAUUAUAAGUCACUAGUACUACUGGCCAACAAGUGUAUCUAUUGGUUAGACCGUUAUUAUGCGGGUUUAUACCAUCUGCAGACAACGCCAAGCGAAUAUUUCUUGCCUCACUACCGAAGGCAGGCCACCUAUAGUCGAUAUUUCUCCAAGAAGGAGAGUCGGCUGGAUGCCGCAUCUUUCCAUCUUCUAUUCGCUGCUUUGCGUGCCAGGUAAUCAGUUCAGAUGUAGAAGGAGAUUUAAACAUUCGCUUCAAUCUCGGAAUAAUUGGAAAAUACCACAUUAUUUUAGCAGGAACAUUAAUCCUUACUUUACCAUCCUUUCCUAACUUCCAGCGAGAUAGACUACACUUAGGACACUUAGAAGCAUCAACAUAUACCCCCCGAUAUAGUAUGCAAUCGUUUGGACAUGAGUGGUACUUUAUGUAUUCUAGGCCUAAGUUGGAUAAUGUUUUCUUGGCUUCAUAUGCAUUAGGUGGCAUCACAUUUUCCUUAGGAAGGAGAGAGCCAACAGUAGACAAUAAAUCUGUAAAGGCGCUAUCACUAAUUCCAAACCUUGCUUUCCAAUUAUGCAGUUUUAGCAUCGACUCCAAUUUGGUACAUUCACUACCCUCAUACAAAGGCUGUUGAGCAUCAGCCACAAAUCUCCUAAACUGAUACGACUCAUUAUUGUACUCACUCGAAUUAUACGCAGCAUCACAAACAUUGACUGUUUGUGAUGCAUGACCAGGGGAAUGCAUCGAUGCAGGGUCAAGCGUAGGUGCAGGGCUAGGGGCAUUGUCAUGAACUGUUGAUCCAGUGAUUCCACACCCUUGUGUGUGCCAAAUCCAAUCAAGGUAUCCCAAACUAAAACCGUAUUCAUAUAAAUGUCCCCUAAUAAUCUUAACUGCAAAUUUUUUAAAGUUAACACAUCUUUUGCAGGGGCAUGGGAUUUUUUUAGUAUCACUAGCAUUUUCCUCGGCAAAUAUUAAAAACUCUUCAACCCCGAUUUCAUAGUCAAGUGUAUCCCUAUCUUUGAAAAUCCAAGACUUGUCCAUGUUAUUCUCAAACUACCUGAUUGUCAAAUAUGAUAUCAAAUUACAUGGUAACAAAGAUCCAAACACAAUAUACAAUUACAUUUACAAACUAAACAAACACAAAUAUAUUUACACAGCUGUGCAUAAAACAUAAAAAACAAAUCCCAAGCUCUAAACAUAUAUAACACAGUACAUAAAAAAGAAACCCCAAGCUCCAAACAUAUAUAAAACAUAUAUACAACUACACGUUUAAUUUUCACAUGCAUACAUAUAACUACAAAAAGUUAUACUUGCAACCGAAACAUUUAUAUAAAUAUAAAGAAGAAUAUAGAAGAAUAUAUAUACCUAAAACCCAGCAGCUUCGAAACCCAGCACCUCCAAAAUCCAGCAGCUAUCCAGCAGCUUCGAAAACCCAGCAACUACCCUAAUCUCCAAGCUUCAAAUCUCCAAGCUUCAAAGAACCCUAAUCUCCAAGCUCCACUCGACCCUAAGCUUGAAGAUCGAACCUUAAGCUUGAACACAGCAGCUUCGAAUCGCGCACAAAUCGCACCUAGGGUUUAGAAGAGAGGGAAUCAGUUAAUAGAACAUUUGAAAGGGGGUUUAGAAGAGAGGGAAUCAGUUAUUAAACCAAGAACGAGGAUUGAAGGACUGAAGGAUUGAAGAAAAUCGCAUACCUAGGUUUAGCUGUCGAGAGAAAGGGGGAAGAGCUGCUGUCUGAAAGAAAUAUGUAUAUAUGUCCCGAUUGUUUUCUUUUGAAUGCUUUUGUUUUAAUUUUGAUUUAUUUUUAAUGUUUUUUUAUUGUUUUAUACUGAGGCGGGAGUGAAUGAUAUGUUAAAGGGGGGGAAAACAGUAGGGGGAACUAAUUAAAAAAUUGACUAAGGGCGGGGGAGCGGAGGGCGCGGGCUUUAAUAUUUUUAAAAUUGAGAUUAGACAUCGCUUAAUAAACAAUGUGAUGUGAAAAAAUUUUAAAGUGAGAGCUUAGACAUCACUUAUGUUAAGGACUGAUGUAAAGAUACCAGAAAGACAUCACAUAUAAAACGAGCGAUGUAAAAAAGGCAUUUUACAUCGGUGACACUUCCGACUGAUGUCUAAUGUGCGAUGUCUAUUGACGAAUUUCUAGUAGUCUCCAAAGGAUAUUUAUCUUUCCAUCAUGAUGCAGCAGUCUCCUUAACUGUGAAGGGAACGGAGUAUGAGGUAGCAAAGAACCUUCAUAUUUACACAGCCAUUGAUCUGUCGGGCACCUAAUUUCAGGGUCGAAUUCCAAACGUCACUGGAGAGCUUAGAUGGCUUGCAUUGCUCAAUUUAUCGCAUAAUAGUUUAACAGGACCUAUCCCAUCAUUGCUGAGAAAUAUGAAAGAACUCCAAUCUUUAGAUUUGUCCUCAAAUCGACUGACAGGGGCUAUUCCACCUCAGCUAACUGCAUUGACAUUUCUAGAGGUCUUGAACCUCUCGAAAAACCAUCUUAGUGGAGAGAUUCCUCAGAAAGGACAGUUCAGCACAUUCAACAAUGAUUCUUAUCUAGGAAACUCCGCGUUAUGUGGAUCACCUUUGACGAAGAAAUGUGCAAACACAGCAUCACCUCCACAAGAAGUCGGAAAUGGUGAUGAAGAUGAUGCUGGAGAUGAAUUGACAUGGGAAGCAAUCGUGAUGGGAUAUGGAUGUGGACUGAUAUGUGGAUUGUCAUCUGCGUACAUUGUUCUCAAACUAGGAAAGCCUUGGUGGUUUGUGAGAUAUAUCGAAGUACUGCAACUGAAGUUGAUGAAAAGAUAUGCAUGAAGAAUGGUACUGCACUACAACAAAAACAGCAUCACACAACGGUUUUUGCCCGUUGUCUGAUACCCAAGAAAACCGUGGUCUAUUGCGAUGCCGUCUGAUACGCGCCUCAGACAACGUUUUAUUAGUUAAAGGCUUGUCUAUAAGGCCAUGCUACGAUGGUAACAAAAACACUUGUAUGUUAGCUUCCUGGUCACACAACACUGUAUGGAACCCUUGUUUAAACGGCUCGUAAACAACACAACAAAUAAAACACUUGUCUAAUUACAACAACGGUUUCUUGAAAUAUUGUCUGAAGUUUCUUCACACAUCGGCUCUAAAAACAGUUGUCUAACGUGCAUCAUUACACAAUAUCACAGUUAAGAUACCGUUGUCUGAUUGAAUUUACUAGACAACACUUUUUAAACCGUUGUAGGUUGUAGGUGUUGGACAAUAGUUUUUCGAGGACGAAAAUAAAGUGUUGUGUCUUUGUUUCGGCCAACACUUUUUCCAGCGUCCGUUGUCUGACUAGUGUCGUGUGAUGCCAGUUUUGUUGUAGUGCUGGUUGAUCCAGACGAACUAGAAAGUUGUUGUCCUGGUAGACAUUUCUGAACCAUUUGUGUCCUGGCUGAAUAAGUAUUUGGUAUUAUGUAAUAAUCCGUUUGGUUGGGACUCAAAAUGAUUUCUCUUGCUUCAGGGGUAUUAAUAUUAACCUUCCUAUCUUGAUCAAUGUUAAAUCAAAUUAAAUGAAUGAAAAAACAAAAAGUAUGCAUCAAAUCCGCUCCUGCUGUACCUAACAAUUUAACAGCACCCUUCCACACUGUUCAUACCUAAUUUGCGUGUAAUAUGAAAACUAAGAGGCAUGGCUUUUGUCUUUGAGAGAACUUAUUCCAAGUCUUCUUCGGAGGCCUACUGCCUCAACAACCUUUCAAAGACUAUGCAAUAAUCCACGUGACAGAAAAACCAAAGUCCAAUUAGUAUUAUAAGUUCAUAAAAAAUACUAUAGGAUCAUUAGCAUUAGCAUUACAUUAGCAUACAGCAUAUAUAUAAAUAGAAGAAUGCAGUGUGGUAUUGGAUUCAUAAUCCAAUUGAGCAGAAACAUGGCACACUUUGUAAAGCCUUAUGACCUUCUUCUCUGUGUUUUCUUUCUCUCAUCACUUGAAUCCAUUCUUGCAACAAGACGAGAAGGAGAAGCUCUUGUGAAAUGGAAGAACAGCCUAGCCCCGUCUUCUUCUCUUGAUUCUUGGUCACUCACUCAUCUCGAUAAUCUUUGUAACUGGACUGGCAUUACUUGUAACUCUGCAGGUUCAGUCUCUGACAUUAACCUUUUCAACAAACAACUCACUGGAAAGCUUUUCGAGUUUGGUUUCACUUCAUUUCCGAAUCUCAACAAUCUCACCCUCGCAGAUAACUUCUUCUCUGGUCCAAUACCAUCAGCCAUUGGGAAUUUAACACAGCUUCAAUAUCUUGAUUUGAGCAAUAAUUAUCUCAAUGGUUCCAUUCCGUACCAGGUUAGCCAUCUUUCAAAAUUACACGUCUUAAACCUGUCAGAGAAUGAACUGCAAGCUCCAAAUUGGUCCAAUUUCUCCCCCAUGCCUUAUUUGACCAUCCUCGACCUUUAUCAGAAUAAUCUUAUGUUGGAAUUUCCAGAAUUUAUAUCUAACUCGCGUAACCUGACAUACCUUGACCUUUCAUAUAACAAGUUCACAGGCGAUCUUGUGCGCGAAUCAGUAUUAGCCAAUCCAGGUGAUCUCGAAACCCUCUAUCUUAAUGAAAAUUCUUUUGGGGGGCCAUUUCCACCAGACAUAUUCAAACUUUCCAAGUUGAGAGUUCUUGCCCUGUUCAAUAAUCUUUUUGAGGGGCCGCUUCCGUCAAAUAUAUUCAAGCUCUCUAAACUAAGAUUCCUUUUACUUUGGAGUAAUAAUUUUUCAGGUACUCUUUCGAAUGAAAUAGGUUUGCUUUCUGAGCUUGAAGACCUAGAUCUUCACUCCAAUUUUUUUGUGGGGCCGCUUCCGCCAAAUAUAUUCAAGCUCUCUAAACUAAGAACCCUUUUCCUCUUGGGUAAUAACUUCUCAGGUUCUAUUUCCAACGACAUAGGUUUGCUUUCUGAGCUUGAACACCUAUAUCUCGACUCCAAUUCUUUUGAGGGACCUUUUCCAACAAAUAUUUUCAAGCUUUCCAAAUUAAUACAACUUGGUCUCGCAAACAAUACAAAUUUAUUUGAAGGAAGUAUUCCUCCAGGACUGGGGCUCUUGACUAACCUAGAGGACUUGUCUCUUGCUUACAAUAAUCUUGGUGGCUAUAUUCCGUCUUCCUUUGGAAACCUAACACUACUAGUAUAUCUUAAUCUCGCUCGUAAUCAAUUGGUUGGAACACUAUCAAAGACCAUUUCUAAUCUCACAAAUCUAUGGUUUCUUGAUGUACAUCAUAAUAGUCUCUCUGGGAAUAUUCAGAGUGACUUCUGGAAAAACUCUACAUCACUGCGUUACAUUAAUUUGGCAGACAAUAAUUUUUCUGGGAACAUUCCUAAGGAAUAUAAUGUUCUUCCAAUCCUGGAUCACAUCAAUUUUAGGGGGAACAAUUUUACAGGUAUUUUUCUUUCCAUAUUUUUUCCUUCUGUUGUAUUCAAUUAUGCUAGAAACUACAGCCUCUGUUUUUUCAAAUACAUAUCGUUUAACUUUUUGGCACAAAACUUUAUAAUAAUUCUAACUAAAAGGUCAAUGAACUCAAAAAUGUGUGUCAAAAAGUCAAACGUCAUUUAUCUGAAAUCAGAGGGAGUAUAUAUUACUGUUUUACCAAAGUUUCAACAAUCAUGACAGGUGAGCUUCCACCAACAAUUUGCGAUGCCACUUCCCUUUCGAUUCUUGAUCUGUCAAAUAAUGGAUUUAGUGGUGCAGUUCCACAUUGUUUGGGGAAUCUUGCGGAUAAAUUGAUUUCGAUUAAUCUUGCUAAUAAUCAGUUUCAAGGACCAAUACCAACAAAUUUCUCCGAGAGUUGUCGUCUGACGUAUCUUAACAUCUAUAACAAUCACUUCAAAGGUUUGGUUCCCCAAUCUUUGGCAAACUGUAAGCACUUGCAAAUUCUUGAUUUUGGAAAAAAUGAAAUAGGUGGAACACUUCCGUCAUGGUUUUUUACUCUUGGAGAGCUAGAAGUCCUGAUCCUGCGAUCAAACAGAUUUUUCGGGAGAAUAACUAGAAGGAGCAUACCACGCCCCUUUCCCAAGUUGCGGAUUUUGGAUCUAUCCAACAAUCAGUUCACCGGCUAUCUGCCAAUUUUAUACUUCAAGAAUAUGAAACCAAAUGAUAAUAAUUAUGAUUAUUUCAACAACACAAACGAAGCCUAUUACGUUUAUCAAGUUUCUAUCACAUUAAAUGUGAAAGGAAGCGAGCAUGAAGUGACAAAUAUUCUUCAUAUUUACACGGCCAUUGAUCUGUCGUGCAACAAAUUUGAAGGAAAAGUUCCAGACAUUACCGGAGAGCUUAGAUGGCUUGCAUUGCUAAAUUUAUCUCAUAAUAGUCUUUCGGGGCCUAUUCCAUCACAACUGGGAAAAAUGAAAGAGCUCCAGUCUCUAGAUUUGUCGUCAAAUCAAUUGACAGGUGUUAUUCCGGAUCAACUUACUAGUAUGACAUUUCUUGCUAGUUUGAACCUCUCAGAAAACCAUCUUUCUGGGAAAAUCCCUCGGAAAGGACAGUUCAGCACUUUUGGCGAAGAAUCUUACUUAGGUAAAUCGGCCUUGUGUGGAGUUCCUUUGACAAAGAACUGUAUAGACGAUGUGCCACCUUCACAAGUUGGAAAUGGCAAUGAUGAAAAUGUUGAUGAAGAUGAUACCGUUGAUGAAUUCAAUUGGAAAGUGAUCCUGAUGGGAUAUGCAUGUGGAUUAAUAGGCGGAUUGUCUGCAGGAUACAUUGUCUUCACAGUCGGAAAGCCUUGGUGGUUUUUGAGAUACAUUGAGACACUGCAGCAGAAGUUGAUCUGAUGCGCAACUAGAAACAACGUUAUAAUCUUAGAAUGACUUGUGUCUUUAAACAGAGUUAGGAACUUAGGAUGACUUGUGGUGCUAUAUUUUUUUUUUGAAAAAAAAAAACAUAUUUUUGUAAUUUUUUAGAUACAGAUGUUAAGAAGGUGUUGUAUAUUCAUUUUUUACCCAAAAAAAAAAAGAGGGCUUAUUUCAUGAAAAUUAGAGUUUUAUGUAUUUUCUCCAGAAAUUAGUCCUUAUUUCUGAAAAUAAGGUUAGUCAAAACGGUCACUACACGAUUGGUAGCCUUUCAGUUCUUCCUAGUGUCCACUACAGUUUCAUUCCUUACCAGUUAUUUUAUGCUCUGCACUGCAUUAUGCAGCUUUCAUAUUACUGACAGCUAAUCUCCUUCCAACACUUUGCGAUGCGAAGCAGGGACGCAUAAGUAUUUUUAUAUGUGUAUUAGUUUUGAAGAUUAAAGUUGCAUGGACAAUUGUGUUGAUAAUUUGAGCAAUGUUAACCGGGAUAGGUCUUCUUCUCUCUCCCAAGUCUUCUGAGGACUCAUCGGCUCAGAUUAGUCUAUCCAAAAAUUAUGAUCUGACGGCUAUUGGCACACUAACGAUUUACAUAUCACUUGAAUAUUACUGGAUACCCGCAUCUUGUUUUAAAUGGCGUAUAUCGGCUAAUAGUUCAACGAUGGUGACAAAUCCCGGUGAUCCAAAUAAUUGAUUGUCGCAAAAUUUUCCGCUUACAUCCAACUAACACGUAUUAGGAAAAAAAAUUAUAUAAUUAAACACGCUCAUGUAUCUAUAUCUUUUACAAGAUUGUAAGUCCCCAAUUCUAUGUGAUAUUAGCUAUAUGUGACUAGAAGGUUUAGAAAUACUAGAUUAUCAAGAUUUCUUUUUAUUCUAGCUAGUGUUGAGUUAUAUUUAUUUUCUUCAAACAAUCAAUACUUAUUUUUUAUUAAUAUGUGAAACUCCAAUAUAUAUUAUUAUACGAUAUAUUAUGAAAACACUAUAUUUUGUAAUGUUCAUCUUAUCCUACCAGCAAAAUUACAUCGCUAACAAAAUUAUAUCAAUUUUAUUUUAUAAACUCAAAUAAUUUAAUUUAUGAAACAACUCUAUGAGAUUCUUAUCAUGAGUUAGAAUUCAAAUAAAUAAAGAGUUCAUAUUGAUAAGUGGAAUUGAUGUGCAAGUAAGGGGUAUAAAAAAAUCUCAAAAUAACUCCAAAAAGCACAUGACAUGUUUGAUUUAAUAGAACUGGUACAUAAACAGGGGGACCAUUAUAUUUAUAAGCAAGUGACCAACAAUAGUUUACUACUGAUAUUUUGUGAUAUUUUUUGUGAUAUUUUUUGAGACCUUUAACAUUAUUCUGUGAAGUGGUAUACUACUGUUACUAGUUCUGAAACUUCAAACAAAGUAGGCGCAACAUUGUAAGAGUGAUUAAUAAAGUUGAGAAACAGUGUGUACAUUGAGCAGUAUGACAAUCAGGUUCAGCAUAUAAUACAAUCAGAUUCACAAUCAGGUUCACGAGAAACAUGCUGCAUUCCAAAAAGCCUUAUUAUCUUCUUCACUAAAUAACAAGGCAAAUACAGCAUAUAAAUACAAGUUAUAAGUACAAGUGUGGUAUUAGAUUCAUAACCCAGUUGAGGAGAAACAUGGCACACUUUGUAAGGCCUUCUCACCUUCUUCUCUUUGUUUUCUUUCUCUCAUCACUAGAAUCCAUUCUUGCAACAAGACGAGAGGGGGAAGCUCUUGUGAAGUGGAAGAAUAGCCUAGCCCCUUCUUCUUUUCUCCACUCUUGGUCACUCUCCAAUCUCGAAAAUCUUUGCAACUGGACUGGCAUUACUUGUAACUCUGCAGGUUCAGUCUCUGAGAUUGACCUUUGUGAGAAACAACUUGAUGGAAUGCUGUCCGAGUUUGGUCUCACUUCAUUUCCAAAUCUCAACAAUCUCACCCUCGCAGACAACUUCUUCUCAGGUCCAAUACCACCAGCCAUUGAGAAUUUAACACAGCUUCAAUAUCUUGAUUUAAGCAUGAAAAGUCUUAAUGGUCCCAUUCCGUUCCAGGUUAGCCAUCGUCAGAGCUUGCUCAUCUUAGACCUGUCACAGAAUGCAUUGCAAGCUUCAAAUUGGUCCAAUUUCUCUCCCAUGCCUCAGUUGCGCUUCCUCAAGCUCAGUAGCAAUCAUCUUGUGUCGAAAUUCCCAAAUUUUAUAUCCAGUUCUCAUAGCCUGACUUACCUCAACCUCUCAUAUAACAUUGGAAACCUCAAAAAAUAUAUAUUUAUAUAUUUAUAAUUAAAAAAUUGAAUUACUUAAUAUAUUAAAAAAUUGAAUAAAAUUUUAUAUAUUUUAUUAAAAAAUUGAAUAAAAAUUGAAUAAAAUUGAAUAAAAUUGAAGUACACGAAAAGGUACACGACACGAAAUACACGACUGAGAAGUCGUGUCGGUUUUGUGUUUACCCUUCGGGUACACGACACGAGGUACACGAAAUAAAUAAAUAAAUAUAUAUAUAUAUAUUUACCCUUCGGAUUAAGAGUUGGUCGCGGACAAAUUCAAAGUUUCCCAAUUAUCCUUUAUUUUAUGUAACUUUGCUUAUGUUUAAGCCUAAAUUUGGACAAUAUUUGUAAAAUAUUAAUAUUUCGUGUACUAAUUCGUUACCAGUUUCGUGUAUUUUUUCGUGUAUAUUUCGUGUUUUCGUGUUUUCAUGUACUAUUUCGUAUCGUGUCGUUUUCGUGUACAUGAAAAAAUUCGUGUACUACAGUUCGUGUCGUUUUUACCUGUUUCUAAAUCGUGUCGUGUUCGUGUUUACAAUCGUGUACACGAAUUGAAUUCGUGUCGUGUUCGUGUAUACCCACCAGAUACACGAAACACGAAAGUACACGACACGUUUAUACACGACACGAACGAUUUGCCAGGUCUANGAAACACGAAAGUACACGACACGUUUAUACAUGACACGAACGAUUUGCCAGGUCUAUUCAAACCUAGCAAGUAACCAAGAGGGGGCAAACUCCACCAGAGACAAAUCAAAGACCAUACCUGAGUAUUGCCAACAUAACAUUACAAACUGGCAGGUGAAAAAUAUGUGAAUAAGGUCUUCGUCACCAGAGUUACACAUGGGACAGUCAAGAGAAAGAUUUACUCCCUUAGAUUGUAAUCGACUUUUCACAGGCACAUUAUUCCUGCAAAAACGCCAUAAAAACACUUUGAUCUUAAGAGGAACCUCCAACUGCCAGAGUUUCUUCCACCCACUAGAUUGUGUAACAGUGCCAGUGCCAAUAUUUUGGGCAUGCCAAAACUGGUAACCUGUUUUCACAGAAUUUUGGCCGUUAGUAGUCUUUGACCAAGCUAGAUGAUCCACGGUCGACCUAUAGGGAACAGAAGUUUUUAAAAAUUAUGUAAUUCAUUCAAUUCCGUAUCAGACAAUACAUCUUAUCAUCGGUGAUAAUGGAAAUAGUGUAGAUGUUUGACCUAGUCCAUGUUUGACAACCAAUAUAAUAAGAAAUAAAUUCUUAUUUUUCUAAAAAAUAUAUUUUUGUAUAUAAAUGUUAAAGAGAUAUUUCUUAUUUGUUGUUUGAAAAAAGUAAAGACUUAUUUCAGAAUAAAUAAAAAUUAUUGUACAUUCUCUUUAUUUUUAAAAAUAAGUUUGGUCAAAUCGCCCAUAAUUCUCGUAAUUCAAAAGCCCAUUAUUUUUUUUUUUCUUGCUAAUUGAUCAGCACACGCACACGUUUCCAACUUCCCGCAAAGGGUACCGGAGUACCACCACACCGACGCUUUGUUGGGCCCAAUAAUUGGCUGAAGUUGAACGGGGCUUUCUGCCUCCGCUGGACCCCAGUUGGGAGGACUCUUUCCAAGUCUUUCGGAGACUCUUUCCCAUUGACUCCAACUUUCCAGGGUGUAUACAAAUUUUUUGAAAGAGGGUGUAUACAAAUUAUUCACGGCCAUCAAAUUAACCAGCGUAGCUGGUGAACAAAUAUUAUUGUUUAUUAUAAUUUUAUUUAAUUUAAAUGUGAUUAUAAAGAACAUAAGAGGACGUUUGAAAGUGUGGGUCUUAUUUCAAACAGUAGAUUUCAAAAAAUAUGAUUUCAAUUGUUAUUUAAAAUUCUUAAAUUUAUAUUAUAUUAAAAUGUUCUUAUCUAUACUAUACUAUUAAAACCGAAACAUUAAAAGUUUGGUCGGUCGGUACUUGGGCCGAUAUAUGGGCCUAUCUAUAUAACUAAUUAUUUUUUUUUAAUUUUGGGCCGAAAUACAGGCCUGUCUAUAUAAUCAAUUAUUCUUUUUAACUAAAAUAUGUUAUCUUUUUUACUAUUAAAGCCAAAACAUUAAAAAUUUGAUCGGUCGGUACUUGGGCCGAAAUAUGAGCGUAUCUAUAUAACUAAUUAUUUUUAUUUUUUUUUAUUUUUGGCCGAAAUACAGGCCUAUCUAUAAAAUCAAUUAUUCUUUUUAACUAAAAUAUGUUAAUUUUUUUUACUAUUAAAGCCGAAAUAUUGAAAGUUUGGUCGGUCGGUACUUGGGCUUCUAGGCCGAAAUAUAGGCCUAUCUAUAUCAUCAAUUAUUCUUUUAAACUAAAAUAUGUUAUCUUUUUUACUAUUAAAAUCGAAACAUUGAAAGUUUGAUCGGUCGGUACUUGAGUCGAAAUACGGGCCUAUCUAUAUAACUACUUAUUAUUUUUAACUUGGGCCGAAAUACAGGCCAAUCUAUGUAAUCAAUUACGCGGUAUUCUUUUUAACUAAAAUAUGUUAUUUUUUUAACUAUUAAAGUUGAAAUAUUGAAAGUUUAGUCGCUCGAUACUUGAGCCGAAAUACGGAUCUAUCUAAAUAACUAAUUAAUUUUUUUUAACUUUGGAUGGAAAUACAGCCCUAUCUAUAUAAACAAAUAUCUUUUUAACUAAAAUAUGUUAUCUUCUUUAUACUUUCUAACUAAAAACUCAAUCUUCUAAAUGAACAUGGAAGAAUAUAGUAAUUAUCUUUUUAACUAAAACAAAUUAUCGUCUAUUAAAUCAAAUUAUAACAAACUAUCCAUAAACAUCCUUAAUUUAUAACAAAUUAUUAAAUAUUUUUUAUCAUCUACUAAAUCAAAACAUUAAAAAUUAGAUUACCAUUAUGGAUCAGUAUUUGAAUUACGCUUCUCUUUAACUUAUAAUAUGUUUUAUACUAUAUUAUUAACUAUUAAUAACUAAAUAUUAAAACGCUGAUUGGGUUGUUUCUAUCUGGGUUUACGGGUCUCCUCAAAUUAUAAUCCCUCCGUUCUUAAAUAUCUGCCUUUUGACUUUUUGGCACGCAUGUUAAAGUGUUUUGAAUUUAUAGUAAAAAUAUUAUUUUUAAAUUUCUUUUUCUGAAUAAAAAUUUUAUAUCAAUACUUUUAUUCAUAAAAAGAAAUAUUUGAAAAUAACAUUUCUAGCUAUGUGGUCAAAAUAUCUUAAAAUGUGUGCGAAAAAGUCAAAAGGCAUAUAUUCAAGAACGGAGGGAGUAACAUGUAAAAAAAAUUAUUUUAACAUUAUCAUUAAAAAAUUAUAUAUUUGACCUAAUUAUAAAUUAACUAUUUGAAGGAAUAAACUAUUAAGAAUUUAUUUAGCUGCUAAAUAAAAGUUUUUUUAAUAACAUUAUUCUAUCACAAUUUUACUUUCAAUAAAAUUCGUUAAAUCUAAAAUAUAUGCGAUGAAAUAACAAAUAUUAAAACCGCCCGUGCAUUGCACGGGUUUUAAGCUAGUUCUAAUUAAUGAGUCACUAUUCGUAUUCUCAAGCAUGUUAGUUUGUUAAAAUUUAAAAUUUCAAAUGAAAUUAGGCUAAAAGACCAUAAUAUCAAAUCAAAAUCUCAUUAUCCAAUAUAUUGGUGGGCAAAAAUAUUAAACCUGGCUAUUCAUUAAUAUUGGUUCUUUAUUCAAAUUAUGUCAAAUUUAUAUAAAAUUUCGAAAAUUAUUUAUGAAUAAGAGUCGGCAUUCAUAUAUUUAUUAAGGAUACAAGUGAGAAAAUGUUAUUAAAUUAAUAUUUUUUAAUAUACGUAAGUUUUUUAAAAUAAAUUUGUAGCGUGGGACGGGAGUAUUAGACUGAUUCUGGCUUGGAGUGAAUCAGCCCAUAAAGUUUACAGGGUAGAUGACCAUUCUUAAAUCUUAAAGAAUCUUACGGUGACAGCUAACUGAACGACUCGGUUUCAGAAGUGCUGAAAAGUUUCGACGUAAACUACAAUUUGCCUAGCAUGUAAUUUCCAUGCAUUUUCUCGUUACGAGUAGGUUUGUCCGGAAGUACAAUUCAAAAUAGAGUGCUGUUAAAAAAAAUUGAGUUACUUAUUCAAUAACUUUUUUGAUAUUUAUAUAUUUUUAAUUAUAAUAAAGAUACUAGUGAUUAUGGUUAGCUUUUGGAGUACUUUUGGAGUACUUGGAAAUUUUCUUUUCGAGAAAAACGAGAGUACCUAUUUCAAUUUUUUACCAAAAAUUAUAAUUGAAAACAACGGACUUUUAUACUUAUCAUAACAAUUUUUAACAUCUUGUUUAGAAAUAACCUGUUGUUGUAUUAUGCAAAAGUAAUAUCACUAGUUUCUAUAUCCGUAUUCUAAUGAUAAUAAAAACAUCUCUAAUUCAUUAAAACUCUUACAUAGAAAUUGAUAAAAAAAGAAGAUAUAAAAUAAUUUAUUAAAAAUAUAUCAAAGUUUUUGCACUCGGUUAUAAUUAUUGUGUAAUUUUUUUUUUCAAUUCCAAGAUAUUGUUAUAAGAAAAUUUUACAUCAUAUAUAUAUUACAAAAAAAAUUAAUGUAUUAUAUAUAUAUAGGGUCCUACUCUGGUACAAACCUUUUUAGCGUACAAACUACAAACCAAAAUUAAAAAGUCUCUAAAUCAAAUCAGAAUAUAGCACAUAUGGUAUGGAAAUUGAUCGUUGCGAGAUGAACAAAAAUAAUGAUUAUAAAGUUUGUAUUUGAGCCAUUAUAUAUAUACUUACAAUAAAAGUAAUAAUAUAUUAUAUUCUAAAUAUAGUUAACCACUGCAGUUGGUCGCUUAUAAAUAGAAGUGUGCAUUAUAGGAUGAAACGUACAUCAAGCUGAGGAGAAACAUGGUACACUCUGCAAAGCUAUAUCAUCUUCUUUUACUUGUUUUCUUUUCCUCCUUACUUCCAUCCAUUCUAUUGGCAACAAGACGAGAAGGAGAAGCUCUUGUGAAAUGGAAGAAUAGCCUAGCCCCGUCUUCUUUUCUUGAUUCUUGGUCACUCUCCGAUCUCGAUAAUCUUUGCAACUGGACUGGCAUUACUUGUAACUCUGCAAGUUCAGUGUCUCAGAUAAAUCUUUCCCAAAAACAGCUCGAUGGAACGCUGUCCGAAUUUGGUUUCACUUCAUUUCCGAAUCUCGAAAAUUUGACUAUAAGAGACAACAGCUUCUCCGGGCUAAUACCACCAGGCAUUGCGAAUUUAACACAGCUUCAAUACCUUGAUUUAAGCUACAAUUAUUUCAGUGGUUCCAUUCCGUACGAGGUUAGCCAUCUUCAGAGAUUACGUGUUUUAGACUUGUCGUAUAAUGAAAUGCAGGCUCCAAAGUGGUCUGACUUCUCUCCCAUGCCUUUUAUGAGCAUCCUCAACCUACGGGCCAAUCAUCUUGUGUCGAAAUUCCCAGAAUUUAUAUCCAAUUCUUUUAGCCUGACUUUCCUUGACCUUGGAGACAACAAGUUCACCGCUGAUCAUCUUGUGCUCGAAUCAGAAUUUACCAAUUUGCAAAAUCUUGAAACGCUGUUUCUUGAUGGUAAUUCUUUUGAGGGGACGUUUCCACCGAAUAUAUUCAGGCUUUCUAAAUUAAAAUACCUUUCCCUAUCUGCUAAUAAGUUUUCAGGUUCUGUGCCGGAUGACAUAGGGAUGCUUCGUGAUCUUGAAUCCCUUUAUCUUGGUAACAAUUCUUUCAAAGGGAUGCUUCCACAAAAUAUUUUCAGACUUCCCAAAUUACGGGAUCUUUCCCUCUGGGGUAACAAUUUUUCAGGUCUUAUUUCAGAUGAUAUAAGGAUGCUUUCUAACCUGGAAUCUCUUGAUCUUAAUGGUAAUUCUUUUCAGGGUCCGCUUCCACCAAAUUUCUUCAAGCUUUCCAAAUUAAGACAUCUCGCCCUCUCAAAUAAUAAAAGAGUAUUUAAAGGAAGUAUUCCUCUUGGGUUGGGGCUUUUGACUAACCUUGACUACUUAUGUCUUAAUUCCAAUUAUCUCACUGGCUACAUUCCAUCUGACAUUGGAAAUCUAAAGCUACUAGAACAUCUUGAUCUCAGUUUUAAUCAAUUGACCGGACCGCUCCCAAAGAUCAUUUCUAACCUCACUAAUCUAACGCGUCUUGGUCUGAAUGAUAAUUGGUUUUCCGGCAGUAUUCCAAGUGACUUCUUGGAAAACUCUACAUUAUUAUUUUACAUUGAUCUUUCAAACAAUGAUCUGUCUGGAAGCAUUCCUAAGGAAUUCAACGUUCAUCCGACAUUGGAUUAUAUCAAUUUAAGUGGAAACCGUUUUAGAGGUCUACUUCUCUCUUUAAAUUUUUAUGUUCGUUUUGUAUAUGCUAGUAACCUGAUUAUUACACUUUUACUGAAGCUUCAACAAUUCUAACUGCAGGCAAGCUUCCAGCAACGAUUUGCAAUGCUACAUCCCUUUCGACUCUUGUUCUGUCAAAUAAUGAAUUCAGCAAUGCACUUCCACAUUGUUUGGGGAAUCUUGCUGAUCAACUUCUUUCCAUUAAUCUUGCUAAUAAUUUGUUUCGAGGACCAAUACCAACAACUUUCUCUAAGAGUUGUCGGCUGACAUAUCUAAACAUGUACAACAAUCACUUUGAAGGGUUGUUGCCGCAAUCUCUGGCAAACUGUAAGCACCUACAAAUUCUUGAUAUUGGAAACAAUGAAAUAGGUGGUAAAUUCCCGUCAUGGCUGUUUACUCUUGGAGAGCUGGAAGUCCUAGUCUUGCGAUCAAAUAGAUUCCACGGUCCAGUCAAUGGAACAAGCUCAGCAAAUUUAUUCCCCAAGUUGCGGAUUGUUGAUCUCUCCAACAAUCAAUUUACAGGCGAUUUACCAAUUCAGUAUUUUAAGAAUAUGAAACCAACAGAUAACCACUAUAGUUAUUUUUAUACAGAAAGUGGUUUUUACUAUCAUCAAGCAUCGAUCUCAUUAACUGUGAAAGGAAGAGAGUAUGAAGUGAAAAAGAUCCUUCAUAUUUAUACAGCCAUAGAUGUGUCAUGCAACAAAUUUCAGGGAGAAAUUCCCGAGGUUAUUGGAGAACUUAAAUGGCUUGCAUUGCUCAAUCUAUCACAUAAUAGUCUUAUUGGACCUAUCCCAUCACAGCUCGGAAAUAUGGAAUCACUUUUAUCUCUAGAUUUGUCUUCAAAUCAUUUGACAGGGGGUAUUCCCGAUCAGUUGAUUAGGUUGACAUUUCUAGAGGUCUUGAACCUCUCGGAAAAUCAUCUGACAGGGCCUAUCCCCCAAAAAGGACAGUUCAGCACAUUCAACAAGGAUUCUUACCUAGGUAACUUUGCCUUGUGUGGAUUACCUUUAACUAAUAACUGUACACACACUGUGUCACCACCACAAGAAGGCGGAACUGGUGACAAUGAUGCCUAUGAUGAACCCGAUUGGGAAGUGAUCCUCAUGGGAUAUGGAUGUGGACUAAUAUGCGGAUUGUCCACAGGGUACGUUGUCUUCACAUUCAGAAAGCCUCAGUGGUUUAUGAGAUACACUGAAAGCGUGCAACAGAAGUUGAUGAGAUGAUGCAUGUUGAGUACCGUUCAAUCAUGAAGCACAACUGGAAACAAUGUUAUCUUAGGAAAACAUGUGUUCUGAACCAGUAGUGUUUGCACAAAAUUUGUGGUGCUAUGUAAUACUUAUAUAAUUGUACGUAUGAUUAUUGAUUAGUCGUUGAGAAAAUGCAUUUUAUUUCAGUGUCAAUGAUAAUCUACAUGUUUUGGAUACUUCCAGCUUCUCAUACUAAUAUAGGAACCACUUGAAAAAUUUUGGACAGGCUCUGAGGAUGCUAAUGCUGCUGUUUAGUUUCUACCGCGGAAUUGACUUUAGCAUAUACUCGUAUGACAUAUUACUAGAUAUAUGGUUGUUAAAUAAAAUUAUCUUUUUGUGGAAUAAAUAGGAAAGCAAAAUCAUAGAAUAAUGUAUGUUAUAUAGGAAGGUAUUGUCCUCUUAGAUAGGUAUCAUUUAUGCCUCAUUGGCAUGUCUCAGAAAACUUUUGGGUUAACACAAUGUUUACUUAGAGCAUUGCCAUUCCUUAAAUAUAAUAUAAAAUAUUGGAUCUUAGUGACUUAAGAUGAUAAUAGCUAUUCGCACCUCCAACAAUAUUCCUUAUAUUCAUUCCUUAUAUACUAUUUUAUUAUUAAAAGUUACCAUUAUUGCAAUAGGUGAAAAGAGAGAACAUGUUUGUAUUCAAAAUUUAUUGUAAAAUAAUAUUUAGGAGAGGAGAGAGGUUACCUAAAGAUAAGGCAUGGCUAGUUAUUUAGAGAAUCACUAGGAUACUGUUGGAGUGGAUUAUUUUCCCAUAUUACUCAUAUUUUGGUUUAAGAUUCCUAAUAGGGAAGCUGCUGGAGUUGCUCUUAGAGCAUCUCCAAGAGAUUCUUCAUUUAAGCUCCUAACUUGAGAUUUGAGUAGGGAGAGGAAAAAUGUUGCUCCAAGAGACUCUUAAGUGGCUCUUAAAUCACUAAGAGCCUCUUGUUUCUCUCUCCUCUCUCCUCAAAGUUAAGAGCCACCACAUUGCUCCUAACUUAUUUUUUCACAAUAAAAAAAUCUUUUCCUCCAAUUCAGCUCCAUCUUUCCAUCUCUUUUGUUAUAGUGGAGCCCAAUAUAUGAAUAAAAUAUGAAAUAGAGAAGAGAUGUAGAGAGUAUUGUUGGAGUUUACACUCUUAACUUUGUCUUAAAUUGCUAAGAGCUAUUUUUUUAUAUUAUAUUUAGGAGCCAAUAAGGAGGCUCUUGGAGAUGCUUUUAGUACUAAUUGUUAGAAUAUGAAAAUGCAGUUAUGAACUAUUAUGCUAGAGAGAGAAAAAUUCAACAAACUUCAUUUCUGUAAACUACAACUAUUAGUCUGUUACAUUGCUGAAAGCUACAUUUAUACAUUUACAGUUUACAACAAACUAUGAAACUGAUUUUCCCGCGUCCUCCUCACUUGUCCACGUGGCCUGACUGGCUUGGUGUCCUUGACACUCUUUAUUAUUGCUAAUAUAUACUUAACACUAAUACCUCAAAGCAGGGUAUAAAUUCAAUAGCACAGCUUCUGGAUAAUGGAAAUUUAGUUAUCCAGAGGUCUUGGUUUUACAUAUCACUUGUAUAUUAUGUCUCGGUCUCAUUGAAGCAUACCAAACGAGAUUUUGGGUUUGUUAAUAUUUUUUUAGUCCAAAUUUGAAUAAUACUGUUAUGCUUAUUCACACGGUAGACGUGUUUUUAUUAAAAUACUGCAACUGAAAUUGAUGAAAACAUGCACAAAGCAUAGCAGACGAAAGACUUGAGGAGAUAUUGUCUUAGGCGAUGCAAUACGUUCUAAUAUAAUGCUAUAUUAUGCAAUCUCGUUUAAUACUUUCAUCAUUAUUCUCCAAGAUGUCUGAACAUGUAUUUUCAAAGAAUUCUCAGUUCACCUUUAGUCUUAUAGCGACAUUUUGAAGGCACUCUCAACUUACACCCUAUAUAUACACGUACGGUUCACUUCAGUACAAAGAUUUUAUGAUACAACUCUCAUAUUAUGAACUAGUUCUGUCGAAUACAUGAAUAUUGAUCAAUCAUUUGAACUCGAGUUUCCCAGCUGGCCAGAUACCCAGAUUAUUAGCCAUGCAAAACAUGCAGAACCACUAGUAAUGCAGAAAAACAAUAUAUUAGUUUUCUCCGGUGUUACAGAAAUCAGGAAUCGGACCUAAUCGGUUUAGCUACCGAUUUAGGGAUUAAUAGGAAAUAGGGGAUUAAUCGGAGUGAAAAUCGGAUUUAUUUUAAUAUUAAAAUAUUAUUUAAUAUUUAGUUAUUAUUAUAUUAGCUAUUUAGUAACUAAUAUAUUUACUAUAUUCAUAAACUCUAUAAUUAUUCGUAUUGAAAGUAAUAUAGUAUUUUAAUUUUAAUAAUUUACUAUAUAUACUUCGAUUAAGAAAUAUAUAUAUAAGGAUUAAUCGGAUUUCAAAAAUCGAAUCGGUGGCCAACCUUGCAGAGGAUUAAUCGGGGAUUAAUUGGUUGAAUCGGGGAUGUUUAGAACACUGGUUUUCUCCAAAUAUCACUACAACAAAACUGCCAUUUUACGACGGAAAUCUAAUAUUCUAAAGGGUUACGACCAAACUAUGUCGGUGGACUUUAUUUUAAUUUACCGUUUAACAGUAGUUAAUUUUGGAUAUCUACACUUGCGAUGGAAAACAUACGACAGUCUACUUCGUGAGAGAAAAUCAUUUUAUUUUAUUUUUUAGCGCCAGAAUUUUAAUACUGAAAUAUUAUAUAUAUGAAGGAAACUGAUCUCUAAUGUUUUCAGCUUGCUCAUCCAUCGUAAGUAAUCCGUCGAAAAAGUUAGUUUGUUGUGGUGGUGUCUUAUCAUGAGAGAAAAUGAUAAUAUCGCAAAAUAUUUGCAACUGAAAGAUAAAUUAUAAUUCUAGAAACCAUUUAGGUAACGAUGCACGAAGUUAUUUUCACUCACUUAGAAUUAAUGNUGAAAACAUGCACAAAGCAUAGCAGACGAAAGACUUGAGGAGAUAUUGUCUUAGGCGAUGCAAUACGUUCUAAUAUAAUGCUAUAUUAUGCAAUCUCGUUUAAUACUUUCAUCAUUAUUCUCCAAGAUGUCUGAACAUGUAUUUUCAAAGAAUUCUCAGUUCACCUUUAGUCUUAUAGCGACAUUUUGAAGGCACUCUCAACUUACACCCUAUAUAUACACGUACGGUUCACUUCAGUACAAAGAUUUUAUGAUACAACUCUCAUAUUAUGAACUAGUUCUGUCGAAUACAUGAAUAUUGAUCAAUCAUUUGAACUCGAGUUUCCCAGCUGGCCAGAUACCCAGAUUAUUAGCCAUGCAAAACAUGCAGAACCACUAGUAAUGCAGAAAAACAAUAUAUUAGUUUUCUCCGGUGUUACAGAAAUCAGGAAUCGGACCUAAUCGGUUUAGCUACCGAUUUAGGGAUUAAUAGGAAAUAGGGGAUUAAUCGGAGUGAAAAUCGGAUUUAUUUUAAUAUUAAAAUAUUAUUUAAUAUUUAGUUAUUAUUAUAUUAGCUAUUUAGUAACUAAUAUAUUUACUAUAUUCAUAAACUCUAUAAUUAUUCGUAUUGAAAGUAAUAUAGUAUUUUAAUUUUAAUAAUUUACUAUAUAUACUUCGAUUAAGAAAUAUAUAUAUAAGGAUUAAUCGGAUUUCAAAAAUCGAAUCGGUGGCCAACCUUGCAGAGGAUUAAUCGGGGAUUAAUUGGUUGAAUCGGGGAUGUUUAGAACACUGGUUUUCUCCAAAUAUCACUACAACAAAACUGCCAUUUUACGACGGAAAUCUAAUAUUCUAAAGGGUUACGACCAAACUAUGUCGGUGGACUUUAUUUUAAUUUACCGUUUAACAGUAGUUAAUUUUGGAUAUCUACACUUGCGAUGGAAAACAUACGACAGUCUACUUCGUGAGAGAAAAUCAUUUUAUUUUAUUUUUUAGCGCCAGAAUUUUAAUACUGAAAUAUUAUAUAUAUGAAGGAAACUGAUCUCUAAUGUUUUCAGUUUGCUCAUCCAUCGUAAGUAAUCCGUCGAAAAAGUUAGUUUGUUGUGGUGGUGUCUUAUCAUGAGAGAAAAUGAUAAUAUCGCAAAAUAUUUGCAACUGAAAGAUAAAUUAUAAUUCUAGAAACCAUUUUGGUAACGAUGCACGAAGUUAUUUUCACUCACUUAGAAUUAAUGCUAAAUAUUUGCAACUGAAAGAUAAAUUAUAAUUCUAGAAACCAUUUAGGUAACGAUGAGCGGAGUUAUUUUCACUCACUUAGAAUUAAUGAUAAAUAUUUGCAACUGAAAGAUACAUCAUAGUUCUAGAAAAGGAUCCACGAAGUUAUUUUCACUCACUUAGAAUUAAUUGUAAGUUAUUGUGAGUUUUUGAAUAUGAAUUAUCUCAAAUUUUAUUAAAACACAUGUUGAUUCUUAUAUACAAAUUUGCCUAUCUAAUAUUAUAAUAUUUAUGGAGAAGGUGUAUGAACAAUUGUGUAGAUAAUUAUACUUUACAAAGCAUACUUCUGCUAGCUGAAUUUUGAUUAAAAAAAUCGAAAGGGAUAGGUCUGGGUCUCUCCAAGUCUUUGAGGACUCAUUCCAAGUCUUCUGAUGAGGACAAAAUAUAUUGCUGGAAGUCUUUCAGUCCUUCCUAGAGUAUUUUGUGCUCUGCACUGCAUUAUGCAGCUCUCAUAUAACUGACCGCUAACCUCCUUCCAACACUUUGCGAUGCAAAACAGUGGCAUGUUAUAAGUAUUUCCGUAUGUGUAUUUAUUUGGAUAUUAAAGUUGCGUAACAUUUGUGUUGAUAAUUUGCGCAAUGUUGAUGAGGAUUGCUCCCAAGUCUUGGCGGACUCUUUCCAAAUCUUCUGAGGACCUAUGGGUUCAAAUUAGUCCAUUAAAAUGAAUACCAUUGUUUUGUGAUUAAGUUGUAUGGUUAAGAGCUUAUCCUCUGUCGUCCCAGGUCCUGGGUUCGACCCUGGCUCACCCCGAGAGUUUCGUAGAACAGAUACUCAUUAUAAGGCUAUAAGCCAUAUUUGUCAAAAAAAAAGUUGUAUAGGCAAUAUGCAUUGCAAAAUCAGCAACAGAAUAUAUACUAAUUAAUUACCUGAUAUCGGUUUGAACAAAUACUUUCUAUGUAGUUGUAAUAUUAGUCUUCUUUAAAAGUUAUCAUGAGGGAAGAUAUAUAUUGUGAUGCGGGGGAAAUAUUGUAACCGAAAAUAAUUAUAAUUCUAAAAAUUUCCAUUAUACACUUUUUUUAGUGUUCGUACGUGGUAAGUACUUCAGACGACAUUUCUCGCGUAUGCCUCCAAUUAAGAAUUUGAUGUUCAGCCUAGUCCUAAACUAAAAUUAUUAUAAAUGUGUAAUUCAAAAUUAUAUUGCUGGUAGGCUCUGAGAUUAACCUUAAACAAAAACAACUCAGUGGAACGCUUUCCGAGUUUGGUUUCACUUCAUUUCCAAAUCUCAACAAUCUCAACAUAGCACGAAACAACUUUUACGGUCCAAUACCACCAGCCAUUAAGAAUUCUAUUUUAAUAUGUAACAUUCUAUUUUCUAAAAUAAUAAAUAUUUUUUUUAAUAGUUGGUCAAAAAUUAGUCAAUUUGACUUCUCAAAAAGCAGAAAGGACAUGUAAAUUGAGACGGGGGAGUAUUUAACGGAAUUCAACGAAAGGUGUGCGUAUCGUUCUUGAAAUGUAAAAAUAGGUGGUGCAAUUCGAGUUUCCAAACCUAUGGGUACAAUAUCGUUUUUAAACGUAAGCUAGGGGGUCCAAAUUACAAUUACAUGUAUAUAUAGUGACUUAACGGAGUGCAUAUAGUUAACGGAAGUUAACGGCAGGGAGUGCAUCUCGGGCUUGAAUAGUAAAGAUAAAAGGUGCGAGUUGAGUUUCUCAAAGUAUGAGUACAAUAUCGUUUUUGAAUGAUAGUUAAGGGGUGCGAUAUGCAAUUACCUCAAAAAAAUAUGAUCAUUAGUAUAUUAUAUUAGUAUCCACACACUUAUAUCUCAAAAUCUAUCCUCCAAAAUUAUCAUCUAUAUAGGCUAGCCACAUAAAAUAAAAAUUUAAAGAUAUUAGAUAUUUAGUUAUUUCAAUUAUAUAAUUUUUCCACGCAAAAUAACAAAAUAUCUUUAUCAACUUAUUAUUUAUGAGUUAAAUAUUCAACUUAUAUAAUUCGGGCAUGCUGGGUAUAAAUAGAAGUGUAACGCCUAAUUUCCGGGGUCUGGGAGUAGUUAGCGGGGUAUGAGAGAGCAGGCUAUUUAGAAGUCUUGGUCAUGAAAACUUCCAAGCUAACUUCGACAACGGAAUCUUCUGAGGCUACUAUUCUAAAGCACGCAUAAUCAUUGUAUUCAUUUUCCUCUAACACUGGCAAAAAGUCUAUUUAAGCAAAUGAAAUACAAACAACUGAGUGGAAUGCUGACCGAAAGUCUUUUUGGCUGAGCUUAUGAUUUAUUAGUACAUGAUUAAUAUGAUAAGCUAAGCUGAGAGCAUAAGAUAUCGUGUGUAUAAUUUUGUGUUUAUUAAUGACUUAUAAAUUAUUAAAAAUAUAAUAAGAAAAAUAAAAAUGAUUUAUAACUAAUUUAUGUUUUAUGAGUAAUUUUUAUUAGAAAAAAGUUUUAAAAAAUUAUUUCACUGAAAAAAAAUCCUCCAACUAACUUUUGGCUCUAAGUCAGUUUUUGAUUUAUUUAUGAUUUUAAGUCGGAUUCUGAUUUUUACACAAACAGAAAAUUUCCAGCUUAAAGUUAAAAACAACUUUAAGCUCCGGUUUUAAACCUCUGAGUUUGGUUUCACUUCAUUUACAAAUCUCAACAAUUUCACCAUCAAACACAAUGACUUCUCCAAUCUCCGGUCCAGUUCACCAGCCAUUGAGAAUUUGGCACAACUUCAAUUCCAUACCAGGUUAGUCGGCUUCGGAGGUUACACGCCUUAGACCUGUCAAAUACAAAUUUCAAUCUCCAAACUGGUCCGAUUUAUCUUCUAUGCAUUUUGUUGAGUCCGGCUCAUCUAAAACCUGAAGGUGUUAGAAGAAACCCGAAUGAAUCUUAUAUAUGAAUCUUAUAUAUGCUAUAUUUAAACAAUUCUGAGCACACUCAACCUUGGUAUUAAUAAUAUCGUGUCGAUAAUUCCAGAAUUUAUAUCUAAUUCUCAUAGCCUAACUUUCCUUGACCUUUCCAUAUAACAAAUUUACAGUUAAUCCUGUGCUUGAAUCAGUAUUUGCAACCAAAAUUAUGCAAUUAUAGUGCAGGUAGUCUUCCAGUUCUUCCUACUCUAUGCUAUAAUUUCAUUUGAUACCAAUAAUUUUACGCUCUACACUCCAGGAUGAGCUCGCAUAUUAUUGACAGCAAUAAUCCUUCCAACACUUUGUGAUGCAAAGCAGGGGGGCGCCUGUAUUUUCAUAUGUCUAUAUUAUUGGAGAUUAAAGUUGUGUGGACAAUUGUGUUGAUAAUUUGCCCAAUGUUAACAGGGAUAGGUUGGCUUAAAAAUAUAUAAGGUCACUUGUGCAUCGCUGUUCACACACUUAGACCCUGUUUGUGUAAGCUUUAAGUCCGGGCUCAAGCAAUUUCGACUUAAUCACUUCCGAGGACCAAUACCAACAGCCUUCUCAAAGAGUUGCCAGCUAAGAUAUCUAAACAUGUAUGACAAUCAGUUAGAAGGACUAUUGCCCCGAUCUUUGUCAAACUGUAAGCACUUAAAAAUUCUUGACAUCGGGAACAAUAAAAUGGGUGGUACAUUCCCUUCAUGGCUAUUUAAUCUCGGAGAGCUAGAAAUCCUAGUCUUGCGAUCAAAUAGACUGUACGGUCCUGUAAGUGGAAGGAGCACAUCACAUCCAUUCCCCAAGUUGCGGAUUCUAGAUCUCUCCAACAAACAAUUCGCGGGCUAUUUGCCAAUUCUAAACUUUAAGAAUAUGAAACCAGCUGCUGAUGAUAACGCGUAUAGUUAUAAAAAUAAGUCACAAGGACUAAUUAAUUACAUCUAUGAAGCAUCUAUCUCCUUAAAUGUGAAAGGAACAGAGUAUGAAGUGAAGAACAUUCUUCAUAUUUACACAGCCAUUGAUCUAUCGUGCAACAAAUUUCACGGAGAAGUUCCAAAGAGAGCUUAAAUGGCUUGCAUUGCUCAAUCUAUCUCAUAAUAGUCUUGCCGGACAUAUGUUCUGAAUUAUUAUUAUGCUUUCAUCAAUAUUUUCAAACAUUUCUCAAUAUGUAUUUCAAAGAAUUCUCAAGCCCUGGAACAUUUGGACCGGUCCUUUCGAAGCCAAGAUGCCCAGGUUAUCAUGGCCAUGCACAAAAAUGAAUAAAUUAUUCCAAGUCUUCCAUGACUCAUUCCAAGUCUUCGGAGGAGACCCUGAGCACAAAGAUGCUCAGGGUCUCCCCAAGCCUUCCAGGACUCAUUCCAAGUCUUCGGAGCACGGCCUCGACUCGCCCUUUCAAAGAUGUGAUAGUAGCUCGAGAGUGAUAUAAAUUAUUUUCCGGACACUAAAAAUAAAUAAUCAGAUCAAAUUAAUCAAUAAUAAAUUAAGGAUGAAAUCCAAAUUAAUCCUAAAUUUUGAUAAUAUAUAAAAAUUAUAAUUAUAAAUUAUAUAACCAAAUCAGAAUUGAAUUAACUUCCUUGGCACUAAAUUGAUAAGGAAAGUAUAAUAAUUUAAAUUUAAUUGAUGAAAAGUCAAAGUCUUCUAAUAAAUCCAUAAAGAAUAUGAUAAUCAAAAUAACGAAAAUUAUAAUUGAAAAAUCAAAAUCAUUAGUGUAUUGGAAUAGUGUUCACACACUUAUAUAUCAAAAUUUGUGGUCCAAAAACUAUAGCACAAUAUCCUAAAUACACCACAUUAAAUAUUAGUUCAAAAAUAUUCUGUAAAUAAUUGUUUUCAUUCAUCAUUUUGUUAUUUAAAAAACUAAUAAUUUGGGUUGAUGUUAACCUAUAUUUUAAUAUAUAAUUAUAUUAUUUUCGUAUUAUUUUAUUUAACUAGAAACAAUAUUUUUAUCAGACAUCAAUUAUAUUAAAAGAUAUAAUUUUAUUAAAAAAAAUUGAAUUAAAUUAAUAGGAUAACUCUACGCCUCACCAAGUCUACAAGACUCAUUUCAAGUCUACCAAGGACCACUACCUCGGUCCUCAACCAUUGGGAGAUGUGAAAGUAGCUUGAGAGUGACAAAAAUUAUUUUCCUCACAAUAAAAUUUAAUAUCUGAUAUAAAUUAAUUAAAUUAGUUAAUAAUAAAUUAAAACUAAUCAUGAAUUAUGAUAAUAAUUAAAUAAAUUAUAAUUAAAUUAUAUAAAUCAACUCCAAAUGAUACAAAUGACACUAAACCUUAGUUACUUUAUUGGUAAAUAAAUAUAAUAUAAUAAUCAAAUUGAUGAAAAAUCAAAAUCAUCUAAUAAAUUCAUAAAAAAUAUAUGAUCAUUAAUAUAUAUUAUAUUAGUAUCCACACACUUAUAUUUCAAAAUCUAUCCUCCAAACUUAUCAUCUCUGUAAACUAGCCACAUAAAAUAAAAAUUUAAAGAUAUUAGAUAUUUAGUUAUUUUCAUUAUAUAAUUUUUCCACACUAAACAACAAAAUAUCUUUAUCAAAUUAGUAUUUAUGAGUUAAAUAUUCAAGUUAUAAAUCCAGCAUGCAGCGUAUAAAUAGGAGAAACAUGGCACACUCUGCAAAGCCUUCUCACCUUCUUCUCUUUGUUUUCUUUCUCUCAUCACUUGAAUCCAUUCUUGCAACAACACGAGAAGGAGAAGCUCUUGUGAAAUGGAAGAAUAGCCUAGCCCCGUCUUCUUUUCUUGAUUCUUGGUCACUCACUCAUCUCGAUAAUCUUUGUAACUGGACUGGCAUUACUUGUAACUCUGCAGGUUCAGUCUCUGAGAUUUACCUUUAUGAGAAACAACUUGAUGGAAUGUUGUCGGAGUUUGGUUUCACUUCAUUUCCAAAUCUCAACAAUCUCACCCUCGCAUACAACUUCUUCUCCGGUCCAAUACCACCAGCCAUUGAGAAUUUAACACAGCUUCAAUAUCUUGAUUUGAGAAAUAAUUAUCUAGAUGGUCCCAUUCCUUUCCAGGUUAGCCAUCUUCAGAGCUUGCUCAUCUUAAACCUGUCAGAGAAUGCAUUGCAAGCUCCAAAUUGGUCCCAUUUCUCUCCCAUGCCUUUUUUGCGCAUCCUCAACCUCAGUCACAAUCCUCUUGCGUCGAAAUUCCCAGAUUUUAUAUCCAAUUCUCAUAGCCUGACUCACCUUAGCCUUAAUUAUAACGAGUUUACUGGUGAUUUAGCACGUGAAUCAAUAUUUGCCAAUCUGCAUAAUCUUGAAGUCCUCAGUCUUAAUGGCAAUUCUUUUGAGGGGCCAUUUCCACCAGAUAUAUUCAAGCUUUCAAGAUUAAAACGUCUCUUCCUGGCAGUUAACAAAUUUUCAGGUUCAAUUCCCAAUGACAUAAGGUUACUUUGUGAUCUUGAAUACCUAUAUUUAGGCAACAAUUCUUUUGAAGGACCGCUUCCACCAAAUUUAUUCAAGCUUUCGAAAUUAAAGCGUCUUUUUCUUUGGAGUAAUAAGUUUACAGGUUCUAUUUCCAAUGAUAUAGGUUUGCUUUCUGAACUUGAAACCCUCAAUCUUCAAUUUAAUUUUUUUGAGGGGCCGCUUCCCCCACAUAUAUUUAGGCUCUCUAAGUUAACAGGUCUAGAACUCGGAGACAAUAGAAAUUUAUUUGAAGGAAGUAAUAUUCCUAUCGGACUGGGACUCUUGACUAACCUCAGGUACUUAGAUUUACAUUUCAGUAAUCUCAGUGGCUAUAUUCCAUCUGACAUUGGAAACCUGAAGCUACUAGUACUUCUUAGUCUCGGUUCUAAUCAAUUGACUGGACCGCUUUCAAAGAUCGUUUCUAAUCUCACAAAUCUUAUAUUCCUUGAUGUAAGUGAUAAUAGUCUUAGUGGAAAUAUUCAGAGUGACUUGUGGAAAUAUAACCAUCAUCCUACUUUGGAAUACAUCGAUUUUAGUGGGAACCAUUUUACAGGUAUAUUUUUUCUCUAUAGAUCUUUUCCUUUUGUCAUAUGUAACUAAGCUAGUAAUCUGAUUAUUGCAGUUUUACCGAAGUUUCAACAAUCUUGACAGGUGAGCUUCCAACAACAAUUUGCAAUGUCACUUCCCUUUCGGUUCUUGAUUUGUCAAAUAAUGAAUUAAGUGGUGCACUUCCAAACUGUUUCGGGAAUCUUGCUGAUGGAUUGCUUUACAUUAAUCUUGCUAAUAAUCAGUUUCGAGGAACAAUACCAACUACUUUCUCCAGGAGUUGUCAGCUGACAUAUCUAAACAUGGAUAAUAAUGAGUUUGAAGGAUUGUUGCCCCCAUCUUUGGCGAACUGUAAGCACUUGAAAAUUCUUGAUAUAGGCAAUAAUAAAAUAGGUGGUACAUUUCCGUCAUGGCUUUAUGCACUUGGAGAGCUAGAAGUUCUUGUCUUGCGAUCAAAUAAACUCUAUGGUACAAUAAGUGGAAGGAGCAUAGAAGAUCCCUUCCCCAAGUUGCGGAUUGUGGAUCUGUCCAACAAUCAAUUCACAGGCCAUUUGCCAAUUCAAUACUUUAAGAAUAUGAAAUCAACUGAUAAUUUGUAUCGUUAUCAGAAUUCCACAAAAGUUUUUUCUUUCCAUUAUGAAGCAUCUGUCUCAUUAACUGUGAAGGGAACAGAGUAUGAAGUGAAAAAUAUCCUUCAUAUUUACACAGCCAUUGAUCUGUCCUGCAACAAGUUUCAAGGAGAAAUUCCUGACGUUAUUGGAGAGCUUAGAUGGCUUGCAUUGCUCAACUUAUCUCAUAAUAGUCUAACAGGACCUAUCCCAUCAUUGCUGAGAAAUAUGAAAGGACUCCAAUCUUUAGAUUUGUCUUCAAAUCAACUGACAGGGGCUAUUCCACCUCAGUUAACUGCACUGACAUUUCUAGAGGUCUUAAACCUCUCGGGAAACCAUCUUAGUGGAGGGAUUCCUCAGAAAGGACAGUUCAGCACAUUCAACAAUGAUUCUUAUCUAGGAAACUCAGCGUUAUGUGGAUCACCAUUGACGAAGAAAUGUGCAAACACAGCAUCACCUCCACAAGAAGUCGGAAAUGUUGAUGAAGAUGAUGCGGGUGAUGAAUUGACAUGGGAAGCAAUCUUGAUGGGAUAUGGAUGUGGACUGAUAUGUGGAUUGUCAUCUGCGUACAUUGUUCUCAAACUAGGAAAGCCUUGGUGGUUUGUGAGAUAUAUCGAAGUACUGCAAUUGAAGUUGAUGAAAAGAUAUGCAUGAAGAAUGGUACUAGCCGAUCAAGAUGAACUCGAAAGUUGUGGUCCUUGUGGACAUUUCUGAACCAGUAGUGUUCUAUUCUCUUUGUGGCUGCAUAAGUAUUUGGUAUUGUGUAAUGUUCUGUUUGGUCUUGAAUCAUAAUAAUUUUUCUUUCUUCAGGGGUAUUUAUAAUAUAAACCUUGGUAUUGUGUACUAGCUGUAAUAUUCUGUUUGAUCAAUGUUUAUACCAGUAAUUUUAUGCUCCGCACUGCAUCAUGCAGCUCUCAUAUUAUCUUCAUAUGUGUAUUUAUUUGGAUAUUAAAAACAUAUGGGAUAUGUGUUAACAGGGACAGCUCCCAAGUCUUGGAUAGACUCUUUCCAAGUCUUCCGAGGUCCUAUAGGUUUAAAUUAGUCCAUUAUCUGCAUACUAAUUUGUCCAACUGAAAAAUCAAGGAUAUUAUGUAUUAACUGUUUUAAUAACAAUUUACAAGUAUAAAUUUCAUAUAUUUUUUCAUAGAAUAUAAAUUAGUUGACGUACUAAAAUCACUAGUCAAAUUAAUUUAAAUAAAUAUAUUGAAAAGAUGAUAAUAAAAUUAUGGUAAUUUAUCACUACAACAAUUCUGGACAUUAAUUAUAUGUAUACUUAAAUAUAUUGAAAAGAUGAUAAUAUAGUAGAAUACAAAUGGUUAUGAUUCCGUAGUAACUACACCGUCGUAAGUUCACAUAAUUAUAUAAUUAUAGUUAUUUGAAAACGAAAAAUAAAUGAGAAAAUAUAUAGUGACCAAAUAUGAAUCAAUCUAAAAUUUUCAUUAUGGAGAUCGUAAGAAACGUGAUGAAGAACUGGAAUGAGAAUUCCUUACAAAACAUUUGGGUUAUAUUAUCAAUGAUGAAUGUUGUAUAUUAUACCUAUGAUUUCAAGUCUCAUACAAAAUUAUAUUGCUCAUAGUCUUUCGAUCAGUUCUUACUAGUGUAUGCAAUAGUUUCUCAUUCCAUACCAGUUAUUUUAUGCUCUGCACUGCCUUAUGCGCGCAGCUAUCAUAUUACUGACAGCUAACCUCCUUCCAACACUUUGCCAUGCGAAGCCUGAAGAUUAAAGUUAACAGGGAUAGGUCUUCUUCUCUCCCAAGUCUUGGACGGACUCUUUCCAAGUCUUCUGAGGACCCAUCGGCUCAGAUCCGUCCAUUAAAAAUUUAUUAUUGAUUACUUAUUAUUAUUGAUUGAUCUAAGAUUCCAAAGACAUGUUCCCGUAAUUUUCAGACUUAGCCAGUUGGUGUGGGCAGAAGUUUUAGAAAUAGUAGAUUAUGGGGAUUUUAUUUAUUCUAACCAAUUUUGAGUUAUUUAUUUUCUUCAAAAAAAUCAAUACUUAUUUUUUAUUGUUAUGCGGAAUUCCAAUAAAUAUUAAAAUAUAUAAUUUUGAUUAUUAUCAUAAAUUUAUUUAUUCAAUAAAUAUUAUUAUACUAUUAUGGAAACAUUUUAUUUUGUAAUGUAUAGUACACCCUUAUCCCACCAACAAAACUACAUCACAAACAAAUUAUAUCAUAUUUAAUUUAAUAAACUCAAAUAAUUUAAUUUAUGUAACAACUCUAUAAAAUUAGAGUGAUUGAUACUUUGCACCCCUUAUGUUUAAGCGUUUUUUCAAUUUGGUUUCAAACAAUUUUUUUGGCAGUAUGCACCCCAAAAUUUGAAAAUUGCUUCGCUUUGCACCCUUUUAAUCGCUCUCCGUUUAAUUGAUAUUGACCGUUAAAGACUUAAAGUUGACAGAUAUGGGUUUACAUUUUCAACACCACAAUUUUAAUUUUUUUUCAUGGGUAUUUUGAAAUAUUCAGACGACUGGGAUGAUUCAAGUGUCUUCAUGUUAGACAGUGCGAUAGGUCGGUCGAGGGGUUUUCAGAAACUGGGACCAAAGAUUGGCGCCAUCAGAUUGGAUUUAUAUCAUUGGAAACUCUCUGUACACCUCUAUAGAAACUGGGACCAAAGACAAGAGGGAGAAGCUCUUGUGAAAUGGAAGAAUAGCCUAGCCCCGUCUUCUUCUCUCGACUCUUGGUCCCUCACCAAUCUCGAUAAUCUUUGUAACUGGACUGGCAUUAAUUGUAACUCUGCAGGUUCAGUCUCUGAGAUUAACCUUUGUGAGAAACAACUUGAUGUAAUGCUGUCUGAGUUUGGUUUCACUUCAUUUCCAAAUCUCAACAAUCUCACCCUCGCAGCUAACUACUUCUCCGGUCCAAUACCACCAGCCAUUGAGAAUUUAACACAGCUUCAAUAUCUUGAUUUGAGAAAUAAUUAUCUAGAUGGUCCAUUCCGUUCCAGGUUAGCCAUCUUCAGAGCUUGCUCAUCUUAAACCUGUCACAGAAUGCAUUGCAAGCUCCAAAUUGGUCCGAUUUCUCUCCCAUGCCUUUCUUGCGCAUCCUCAACCUCAGUAGCAAACCUCCUGCGUCGAAAUUCCCAGAUUUUAUAUCCAGUUCUAAUAGCCUGACUCACCUUAGCCUUAAUUAUAACGAGUUUACUGGUGAUUUGGUACGUGAAUCAGUAUUUGCCGAUCUGCAUAAUCUUGAAAAGCUCAGUCUUGUUGGCAAUUCUUUCGAGGGGCCAUUUCCGCCAGAUAUAUUCAGGCUUUCCAAAUUAAAACAUCUUAGCCUGUCAGAUAACAAACUUUCAGGUUCAAUUCCCAAUGACAUAGGGUUGCUUUUUGAUCUUGAAUACCUAUAUUUAGCCAACAAUUCCUUUGAAGGACCGCUUCCACCAAAAAUAUUCAAGCUUUCAAAAUUAAAAAAUCUUGUUAUUUGGGGUAAUAAGUUUUCAGGUUCUGUUUCCAACGAUAUAGGUUUGCUUUCUGAGCUUGAAAGCCUCUAUCUUGACUCCAAUUUUUUUGAGGGGCCGCUUCCGUCAAAUAUAUUCAAGCUCUCCAAAUUAAGGAUUCUUUUCCUUUGGCAUAAUAACUUUUCAGGUUCUAUUUCUAAGGAUAUAGGUUUGCUUUCUGGACUUGAAACCCUCUAUCUUGACUCUACUUUUUUUGAGGGUCCGCUUCCCCCACAUAUAUUCAAGCUUUCCAAAUUAACAAGUCUUGACCUCGCAUACAAUAGAAAUUUAUUUGAAGGAAGUAUUCCUAUUGGACUGGGACUCUUGACUAACCUCAGAUACUUGAGUCUAUCUUCCACUAAUCUCGGUGGCUAUAUUCCAUCUGAAAUUGGAAACCUGAAGCUACUAGAAGUUCUUGAACUCAGUUCUAAUCAAUUGAAUGGACCGCUUUCAAAGAUCAUUUCUAAUCUCACAAAUCUCACAGUUCUUGAUGUAAAUGAUAAUAGUCUUCGUGGAAAUAUUCAGAGUGACUUGUGGAAAUAUGACGAUCAUCCAACUUUGGAAUACAUCGAUUUAAGUGGGAACCAUUUUACGGGUAUAGUUUUUCUCUAUAGAUCUUUUCCUAAUCUCAUAUGUAACUAAGCUAGUAAUCUGAUUAUUGCAGUUUCACCAAAGUUUCAACAAUCUUGACAGGUGAGCUUCCAACAACAAUUUGCAAUGUCACUUCCCUUUUGGUUCUUGAUUUGUCAAAUAAUGAAUUAAUUAGUGGUGCACUUCCAAACUGUUUCGGGAAUCUUGCUGAUAGAUUGCUUUUCAUUAAUCUUGCUAAUAAUCAGUUUCUCCAGGAGUUGUCAGCUGACAUAUCUAAACAUGGAUAAUAAUGAGUUUGAAGGAUUGUUACCCCCAUCUUUGGCGAACUGUAAGCACUUCAAAAUUCUUGAUAUUGGCAAUAAUAAAAUAGGUGGUGCAUUUCCGUCAUGGCUUUAUGUACUUGGAGAGCUGGAAGUCCUUGUCUUGCGAUCAAAUAAACUCUAUGGUACAAUAAGUGGAAGGAGCAUAGAAGAUCCCUUCCCCAAGUUGCGGAUUGUGGAUCUGUCCAACAAUCAAUUCACAGGCCAUUUGCCAAUUCAAUACUUUAAGAAUAUGAAAUCAACUGAUAAUUUGUAUCGUUAUCAGAAUGACACAGGAGAUAUUUCUUUCCAUUAUGAAGCAUCUGUCUCAUUAACUGUGAAGGGAACAGAGUAUGAAGUGAAAAAUAUCCUUCAUAUUUACACAGCCAUUGAUCUGUCCUGCAACAAGUUUCAAGGAGAAAUUCCUGACGUUAUUGGAGAGCUUAGAUGGCUUGCAUUGCUCAACUUAUCUCAUAAUAGUCUAACAGGACCUAUCCCUUCGUUGCUGAGAAAUAUGAAAGGACUCCAAUCUUUAGAUUUGUCUUCAAAUCAACUGACAGGGGCUAUUCCACCUCAAUUAACUGCAUUGACAUUUCUAGAGGUCUUGAACCUCUCGGGAAACCAUCUUAGUGGAGAGAUUCCUCAGAAAGGGCAGUUCAGCACAUUUACAAAUGAUUCUUAUCUAGGAAACUCCGCGUUAUGUGGAUUACCUUUGACGAAGAAAUGUGCAAACACAGCAUCACCUCCACAAGAAGUCGGAAAUGGUGAUGAAGAUGAUGCUUGUGAUGAAUUGACAUGGGAAGCAAUUGUGAUGGGAUAUGGAUGUGGACUGAUAUGUGGAUUGUCAUCUGCGUACAUUGUUCUCAAACUAGGAAAGCCUUGGUGGUUUGUGAGAUAUAUCGAAGUACUGCAACUGAAGUUGAUGAAAAGAUGCUUGAAGAAUGGUACUGGUCGAUCAAGACGAACUUGAAAGUUGUUGUCCUUGUGGACUUUUCUGAACCAGUAGUGUACUAGCUGCAUAAGUAUUUGGUAUUAUGUAAUAUUCUGUUUGGUCGGGAAUCAUAAUGAUUUUUCUUGCUUUAGGGGUUUUUUUUUUUUUUUUGAUGAAAAAAAAAUAUAUUAAGAUUGAACAUCAUCGAACACAAUCAUCUGCAAAUUGAUAGGAACAGACCCCCUAUCAAUAACUCGAUCUGGAAAUGAAUAUGACUCCCUCGCUAGCAAGUGAGCGGCCAUAUUAGCAGAUCGUUUAAUAAAAAAACAAAGCAAUAUUUAAAUCCUUCACCAAAUUUCUGCACUCCAUUAUUAUAUCGCCAAAAGGAGAGUGCAUUGGAAUCUUGCUUCGGAUAGCCUGAACAACUGCUAGACAGUCCGACUCAAUCAUCACCUUUUCCCAUCGAUUUUCCUUGCUCCAGCUUAGAGCUUCUUUUACUGCUAUUGCCUCUGCAACAUUUGGUCGAAUGUUUCCUUGAAACAGCUUCGAUUUCCCCUCCAGAACUUCACCUGAGCUAUUUCUUGCUAACAUCCCUACGCCAUACGCAGCUUCUUCAGCAAACAUUGCAGCAUCGACUGUUAUCUUGACUUCAUCAUUCAAAGGUUUAACCCACUUAUCUGCUCCGUCCCCAAGUUCUACAACCUGGUACAGAGCCUGUGAAGAAAAAGGUUGGGCAUGCUUCCACUUUGCAAGAUACUGCUUCAUCGAUGAAACUACAAAGUUAACCGAGGACUUUGUUAUAACCUUAUAUCUUGAUCGAUGUUAAUGCAAAUUAAAAUGAAUGAAAAAACAAAAAAUUAUGCAUCGCAUCCGCUCCUGCUGUACCAAGAUCCAUUAAUUUAUUUUCUUUGGUUUCUUACAUAACGAUUUAAUAGCACACUCCCACACUGUUUGAAAGAUUUAAUAAUAAACUCGAGUUUUCCAGGACGGACACCAAAUCCACAUAGUCAAUAUCACACAUUACCGUAUUAAUUUGGUGUCUGGUAUGAAUCAUUUUGCCUGCAGAUGUAAAGAAACAAGAUAUUAAUCUUCUUUAAAAAUUACCAUUUAUAUCUUAAUAUUAAUAAUCUUACCAGCCAUAUAGGAUGUGAGCGGCAAGUGCAACAAUAAUACAGAUUCUAAGAACUAAUAUAAAAUUACUAGUUACUAGCAGAAAUGCAUAUAUAGGAUGGAAUGUGGAAGACAAUGAACUUUAUUAUGAUAUAUAUGAGAUUAAUACAAUUUAACUACAAAGUAUUUUACUUUCAAUUGCAUUUGUAUUAAAUUUGAUCUAGAUGAACAAAACAGAAUACACAUGAUCCCGAGACAACAUUUUGUCAAUGUUAUCGUCUUCAUCGAACUCUCUUCUUCAUGCGUGUCCUUAUCAACUUCAGUUGCAGUAAUUCAAUGUAUCUCACGAACCACCGAGGCUUUCCCAUUUUGAAAGCAAUGUAUCCUGAAGACAAUCCGCAUAUCAAUCCACAUCCGUAUCCCAUCAGGAUCAAUUCCCAGUUGAGUCCAUUGUGAACAUCAUCUUCAUCAUCACCAUCAUUUCCGACUUCUUGUGGUGGUGACACUGCAUGCAUGCAUUUCUUCGUCAAAGGAAGUCCACACAAAGCUGAGUUACCCAAGUAUGAAUCAUUUCCAAAAGUGCUGAACUGUCCUUUUAGAGGAAUUUCUCCGGUAAGAUGGUUUUCAGAGAGGUUCAAGACCGCAAAAAAUGUCAAACUAGUUAAUUGAUUAGGAAUAACACCUGACAAUUGAUUCGAUGACAAAUCUAGAGAUUGGAGCGUUUCCAUAUUCCCCAACACUGAUGGGAUAGGUCCUGUAAGACUAUUAUGAGAUAAAUUAAGCAAGGCGAGUGAACUAAGAUCCCCAAUGACCUUUGGGACUUUCCCUUGAAAUUUGUUGCACGACAGAUCAAUGGCUGUGUAAAUAUAAAGGAUUUCUUUCACUUCAUACUCUGUGCCUUUCACACGUAAUGGGACAGAAGCUUGGUAAAAGUACUGAAAAUCUUCUUUUGAAUUGUUAUAAUCAUAUCCCUUUCUAGUCGGUUUCAUAUAAUAAAAAUAUUGAAUUGGCAAAUUUCCAGUGAAUUCAUUGUUGGAGAGAUCAACAAUUCGCAACUUAGGAAAGGGAUGUUUUGUACUACUGGCACUUACUUUACCAUGAAGUCUAUUUGAUCGCAAGACAAGGACUUCUAGAUUUUGAAGAGUACUUAGCCAUGAUGGAACGGUACCACUUAUGUGGUUGUUUCCCAUAUCAAGAAUUUUCAACUCCUUGCAGUUUGCCAAAGCUUGGGGCACCAUUCCUUCAAAGUGAUUGUUUUGCAUGUUCAAAACUUCUAGGUGACAGGUAUUGCUGAAGGUUGUUGGUAUUAUUCCUUGAAAUUUAUUAUUACCGAGAACCAUGGUAUGCAGAUUGUUGGCAAGCUUUCCCACACAAUGUGGAAGUGCACCGCUUAAUCCAUUAUGCGAUAGAUCAAGAACCUCAAUGGACGUGACAUUGCAAAUUGUUGAGGGAAACUCACCUGUUAAAAAAUGUUGAAACUUUGGUCAAUUUGUAACCAUCUAAUUACUGGCGUUAAAAUAAAGGUGCAUACUAAAGAAAAUAGCACAAAGUGAAAUAAAAACCUGUAAAUUGGUUUCCACUUAAAUCAAUGUAAGUAAGAUUCAGAUUAGUAUUUAAUCCCAGAAUGGUUCCUGAAAAAAGGUUGUCGCGACAAUCCAUGUAUAACAAAGAUUUAAGAUUUUUCCAGAAGUCACCAGGAAUAUUGCCAGUAAACUUGUUAUUAGGUAGACCAAGAACCUCUAGAUUACUGAGGUUAAAAACGGACUUCACAACUGGUCCAGUCAACUGAUUAGAACCGAGAAGAAGUUGAGUCAGUAGCUUCAGGUUUCCAAUCUCAGAUGGUACAUUUCCUGUCAGGUUAUUGGAAAGAAGAACCAAAAGGUUGAGCUUAGUCAAGAGGCCCAGCUCGGAAGGAAUAUUGCCUGUAAGAUUAUUCAUAUCGAGAUAUAAUUCGCUGAGAUUAGUCAAAAGCCCCAUCUCACGAGGAAUAUUGGAAUUUAAAUGGUUAUACGAGAGAUCUAGAAUUUGAAGCUCCCUAAGUAGACCAAUAGAAGAAGGUAUACUUCCUACAAAUGAAUUAGCAAACAAGCUCAGAUAUUUAAGAUCAUGAAGCAUCCCUAUAUUCUGGGGUAUAGAACCUGAAAAGUUAUUACUUGAUAGCUCAAGAUGUCUUAUUCUGGAAAGAUUGAGUAUACUUGGCGGAAAUGGCCCCUCAAAAGAAUUUUCCAUAAUACUGAGGAAUUUGAGAUCUUGCAAAUUAUUAAAUACUGAUUCACGCACCAUAUCACCUGUUAGAAAGUUAUGUGAAAGAUCAAGUUUAGCCAGGUUAUGACAAUUGGAUAUGAACUCGGGAAAUUCUGACACAAGAUUAUUGAAUCUGACAUUAAGUGUAGUCAAGAAAGGAAUAGGAGAAAACUUGGACCAGUUUGGAGCUUCCAAGAGAUUAUAUGAAAGGUCUAAGGUGCGCAAUUUUUGAAGAUGGCUAACCUGAUAAGGAAUGAAACCAUUGAGACUAUUAAAGCUGAAAUCGAGAUGUUGAAGCUCUGUUAAAGUACCAAUCUCUGGUGGAAUUGGACCUGUGAAACUGUUGCCACUGAUGGUAAAAUUGUUGAGACUUGGAAACAAAUUGAAGCGGAACUCAGCUAGCGUUCCUUCAAGUUGUUUUCGUGAAAGGUUGAUUUCAGAUACUAAAGCCUCGGAGUUACAGGUAAUGCCAGUCCAGUUAAAAAGAUUAUUGAGAUUGGUUGAGGACCAAGAUUCGAGAAACGAGGACGGGGAUAGGCUAUCCUUCCACUUCACUAGAGCUUCCCCUUCUUUUCUUGUUGCGAGGCUGGAUGGAAGCAAGAGGAGGAAGAAUACAAGUAUAAGAAGGUGACAAUAAGGCAUUUCAAAGUGCUUCAUGUUUUAUACUCCAGUAGUAUUAUGCACACUUCUAUUUAUAUCUCAGAUUUCUUAAAAAAUUUGCACUGUGUCAGAAAGAACACUCGGUUUUUUUAAUAUCAGAGAUUAUGAUAAUUAUUGCAUCUCCACAGAAAUCACUAAUAAAGAAAGAAUCCACCACAAAUAAGUUAUGAUUUUAUUAAAGACAAUGAGCGUGUCUUGGAUUACCAUGUGGACUUUUGAAUGUGUGAAAUUAACUAAUUCAACUCUGUGAAAGGCAGUAUGCACACUGCUAAUUAAUCAAAAUGACCUGAGCGGAAGGUGUGGCAAUAAAAAAAUAAUGAAACAAAUGGAAAAAGGAAUAUCGGCAAUUUUGGAUAAUGGAUGGGGUUGGUGGAGUUGUCUUACCGAUCUACUUUUAGUUUUUGGAUCAAUCCUAACCGGAAAAGGGUCGAAAAUAUUAAUCAAACUUCUCAAACUCAUAUCUGAAAUGUCAUAUGUGAAGAGCUUGUUCAUGAAAUCGAGGAUAUGAAUUUUUUAUAUUUAAAAGAGGAGGCAGGUAUUAAGUAUGAAUAUAGAUGAAUAAAUCUUUUUUUAUAUUUUUUUUUACAUUUUUUAUAAUUAUAUAUAAAGUAAUGAAUCAUAAAUGUAUAAAAAUAUUAAUUAGUAUAAUAUUUAAAAUAUAUAACAUAAAAAUAUUAUAAAUCACACAUAUUAAUACAUCACUCAACACUCUAUGCCUCUAAACCCAAUUCAUUUUUCCCAUUACUACUCGAUUCAAAAAUAAUGCACAUCUAUUAUUUGGAUUAUAUAUAUAUUUCACCAUUUUUUUUAAAUUCAUUUUGAUAAUCAGUUAGCUAUAUUUUUAAAUUAUAUGACUAGUAAAUAAAUACAUAUACAUGUAUAUAGACAAAUGAUAUAUGGUUUCAUCAUAUUAUCAAGUCCAUUCACAGGUAUGUCCUAUUCAAGUGAUAGACGUAUUUUUAACUGCAUAAUGUUCGGUGGCUUCCAAUCAUUUUUCAAAAUAAAGGUCGUCUUUUCUCAUUUAAAAGUACUGUAUUAAAGUUCGACUUUAAAGAAAAAUUUAUGUUUUUGUUAUACAAAAAUUCCAAAAGGUUUAGAAAGUUUUGAGCUAUGACUUUGAAAUUGUUUGUCGUUAAAAAUAAAGAUUGUCACUUUUUAAGUUAUAUAUUAACAUAUGUACGUCCUGUGGUGGUAAUUAAUUUGUUAUUUUAUUCGUGAAGUGUUGCACACGAUAUUUCUGUAAAAGUAAAAGUCGUUGGAAUUUGCAUGAUAGCAUGAUGAAUAUUUGAAGUUUCAGUUAAAAAUUUCACCAAAACAUUUUACUUGUGGCUUAAGGCCCGGAUUGACCAAUUCCGCUUAUCACAUUUCUAAUCGACCAAUUCGGCUUAAAUAAAUUAUAUAUGAACUAUAUAUUAUUUAUAAAUAAUAACAAAUUGUUUUUUAUUUUGAUUUUAUACAGAUCCUAGAUAAAAUUUCGUAGAGUUAAUAUAGAGUUUUUAGAAUUUAAGCAUAAUGAUUCAAAUCUCAUGAAUUUUGAUGAGCUUUCAAAAUAUUAAUUUAACAUACACAGAACAAUCCUACAAAAUACAUCAAUUUAUGAAGUCCAAAAAAAUCAUCAAACAUUUGAAUACCAUCAGAUUUUAAUGGAUUUCAAAUAAUCCCAAUUAAAUACUAUCGAAUUUUGUAACAUAAUUUAAAAUCUUGAUUAUAUAUCACCAAAUUUUAUAUCAUAAUUUAAGAUUUCAAUUAAAUACCCAAAGAUUCUAAUACUCAUUUUCUAAAAUUUGAAUUAGGUACAUCCAGAUUUCAUGAAUAAAAAAAAAUCUUUUUUCUUAAAAAAAAAAAAAGAAUCUUUUAAAAUCUCGGGUGAAUAUAGCCCUUGAUGGCACAACAGCUUCUAUCCAAUUUCCUGAGUUGGUGGUGGGGGGCCGGUGCUUCUUGUGUUUCUUCCUGAGUUGGUGGUGGGGGGCCGUGCUUCUUGUGUUUCUUUCUUUUCAUUAUUGCCAUUGUUAUUUAGGUCCUUCCUUCUGGGCUCCUCUCAUUUGAUUGAUCAGCUGAAUUAGGCAAAGUUUACAUAUGCUCAUGAUCAUAGUCUCCCAUAUGCGCAUUAUAGUUUAUAAUUAUAAUGUUAACGGGGAUUUGUUUUUGUUUGUUUUUUUUGCUAAAUAUUAACGGAGAUUUAAGUUCCAUUUCCCAUUAAUAAUAAUAUAAAAUUUAAUAAAAUAAUAUUUUUAAGAGUAAUUCAUGCUAGUCAUCCAAAUACGUAGAAAAAAAUAACAAACAACAUCAUUCAUUCACACAUUCAGAUUAACUCAUAAGUUCACUCAUCCAGAAAUAAUCAUCCAGAUUUAACAAAUGACCCUUUUGACGGACUCUUUUCGAGUCUUCCGAGGACCCAUCUGCACACUAAUUUGUCCCCCUAACUAAAAAAUCAACGAUUUUACUCUCUCUUUUUUCUAAUGACGUUUUGAUUUUUGACACAUAUUUUUAUAUGGAUUGAUUGUAUAGUAAAAAUAAUUAUUCUUGAUUAAUCUUUUGUGGAAAAAAAUUGGUUAUAUAUUUUUAUUCAAAAAAAGAAAAUUUACAAAAAUAAUAUUUUUAACUACCCAGUCAAAAUACUUGAAAGUGUGUGUUAAAAUCAAAGCGUUACAUAAAAAACACGGAGGGAGCAUGUACUAACUGUUUCCAUAAUAGUUUAUAAGUAUCAAUAAAACUCCCGUUUUUUACAUGACACUUUGACUUUUGGCACACACUUAUAAUAUUUUGACCAGUAGUUAAAAGUAUUAUUUUUAAAAUUUAUUUUUUUGAACAAAAAUGUAAAACCAAAAGUUUCAUUCAAAAAAGAAUUUAAUCAAAAACAAUAAUGUUUACUCUCGGUCUACCCAUCUAAAAUGUGUCAAAAAUCAAAACAUCGUAUAAAAAAAUAAAUGGAUAUAUAUUUUUUCCAUAGAAUAUAAAUAGUUGGGGGUACUAACAAAACCUCUAGUCAAAUUAAUUAAUACAUGAGUUAUAAGGCUUAUAAGUUAUAAAUAGAAGUGUAGUAUUGGGUUGAUGGUCAAGUUGAGUGGAAAUAUGGUACACUUUGUAAAGCCUUGUUAUCCUCUUCUCUUUGUUUUCUUUCUCUCAUUACUUCAAUCCAUUCUAACAACACAAGAGGGAGAAGCUCUUGUGAAAUGGAAGAAUAGCCUAGCCCCCUCUUCUUUUCUCGACUCUUGGUCCCUAACCAAUCUCGAUAAUCUUUGUAACUGGACUGGCAUUACUUGUAACUCUGCAGGUUCAGUCUCUAAGAUUAACCUUUUUGAGAAACAACUUGAUGGAAUGCUGUUUGAGUUUGGUUUCACUUCAUUUCCAAAUCUCAACAAUCUCACCCUUGCAAACAACUUCUUCUCGGGUCCGAUACCAUCAGCCAUUGAGAAUUUAACACAGCUUCAGUAUCUUGAUUUAACUUACUCUUCAGAAUCGAUAAGUUUGGAACACGUAGAUUUAGCACAAGACGAAGGCCACACAUGCGCAUCGUCUGAUGCAGCUAUGGUGCCUUUACAGUUGCUCAUAUAUAUAGUGAAACAAUAAGGAUCAACUCCUCCAUUGUGCGUACACAUUUUCAUACAAGCUAUAAAGCAUGGUGAUGGAGUCUUUGCAAUCUCGUCACGACGAGCACAUCCGAUCAUUAUAAACUCUAGCAGGAUCAUCCAAGUAAUAGUUUUCAUAAUGAUAUUAAUUAUCAUUGUGAAUAGUUGCAUUAGUUAUGUAUGUGUGUAUAUAUAUGUAAUGAAUUUUGCGGUUGAGAAUAUCUAUUAGAUUUUGUAUAUCCAUAACAAUUAUUAAAAUUUAAACAAUAAUAUCCAUUAUUGGUUGUGGUUUGACUAUUGUAGUAGUCGAAGAAAUCUAUGCAAGUGAAAUCUAUAUUAUAUUUUAAAAAAAUUAUACAUGAAAUACAAAAAGUUUU